UCAUCCAUCGGAGUAAGACCAGAAGCUCAGAUCAAUCCUGUCGCGUUGAUUCGGUAUCGUUGUAUCGUCUAUGUAGUAGUGGGUACGUAAUUUGUGACAUUGCUGGACCUCUCUCUAAUCGUGUGGCGUGGAACUGGCGAUGAAUUGCCUGUGCUGUGCGUGAACCUCAACUUGUCUUGCGAUUUUGUUUGAUAUUUGCGUAGACUUUCCACUUGGUUAGGGGCGGUGUGCACCGUGCACAAGAGCUACCCUUUUGUUUAACUCCGUGUGUUGUUGCUCUGUUCUAUGCGGCUCGAGCAGAUAGGCACGACACGAUUAACCCCGGUCUCCGUAUAUAUCACUCUGUGGCUAGCUAGCACGGAGGCAGAUAGUUCUUUCACCUUACGUUAGGGUUCUUCCUUCUCUCGGCAGCGAAGCCGGUGUUGAGCUCAUCUAUUCCGAUCCCAACACCUUCUCCCCUCACCGGAGUCCCGUCUUGAUGAGCGGGCGGCGGAAGUACUACUGAAAAGGACAAUGAACAAGAUGGACCGAAAGGAAGUUGUGCACACCGAUGGCAGAAGCGGUGAUUUGUUGAGAUACGGGUCUAGAUUAUAUUGAUGUGUUCUUUUUAGGAUCAAUAAUGCCGCUUUGUUGAUUAAACCGUGACUAGGAAUGCCAUCCGAAACAAACUCCAUAAUGCAAUCUAGAUUAUAUUGAUGUGCUGUGCGUGAACCUCAACUUGUCUUGCGAUUUUGUUUGAUAUUUGCGUAGACUUUCCACUUGGUUAGGGGCGGUGUGCACCGUGCACAAGAGCUACCCUUUUGUUUAACUCCGUGUGUUGUUGCUCUAUUCUGUGCGGCUCGAGCAGAUAGGCACGACACGAUUAACCCCGGUCUCCGUAUAUAUCACUCUGUGGCUAGCUAGCACGGAGGCAGAUAGUUCUUUCACCUUACGUUAGGGUUCUUCCUUCUCUCGGCAGCGAAGCCGGUGUUGAGCUCAUCUAUUCCGAUCCCAACACCUUCUCCCCUCACCGGAGUCCCGUCUUGAUGAGCGGGCGGCGGAAGUACUACUGAAAAGGACAAUGAACAAGAUGGACCGAAAGGAAGUUGUGCACACCGAUGGCAGAAGCGGUGAUUUGUUGAGAUACGGGUCUAGAUUAUAUUGAUGUGUUCUUUUUAGGAUCAAUAAUGCCGCUUUGUUGAUUAAACCGUGACUAGGAAUGCCAUCCGAAACAAACUCCAUAAUGCAAUCUAGAGGAACACAAAAUCAAACCUUACAGAGUUCUUCACUCAUAGUCUCAAACCAAACAUAGCUAAGUUUAUCCGCGGCACCAUUCGCACUAUGUCUCACCCAUGAUUCCUUUACCUCUUGGAAAGCUUUGAGCAUCUCCUUAAUCUCCUCAAUGCAAGGCCCGAAAGCAGAAAGAUUCUUUGCCGCCGUUGAUCAUUUUGACCACCAAAACAUUAUCUAGCUCCAAGUGCAGCUUCUUCGUGUUGAGUUCCGACACCACCUAUAUUGCCCUUUUGCAUGCCUUGAUCUCCACCGCCUCCAGAUCAGUGAUUCCAUCAAAGCAAUGACAGGUCACCGCCCUGAACGCACCCAUGUGACCUUGCAACACAACACCCCUCCUCCCUUGUCACCAUACCUGGCAACAGCCAUGUCAGAGUUGGCCUUCACCCAGCCCUCUUCCGGGGGUUCCCAUUUCUGUUUAAUCUCUGCCUUGCUCAGCUUUACCUUGUCUCCAUGGAUCGCGCUCCACUCAUCAACAUAUGCUAACACCGAGCGUGUGGUUUCAUGUGGGUCAGCGAUCUUUCUUCCAUCUCUUGCCUCAUUUCGAACCAGCCAAAGCCCAUAUGUGGCCUGAAACAUCAUCAUCCGCUCGUGGUCAUGUGCAUAUGCAAACCAGCCCAGUAGCCAAGAAAAUACAUAUGCCGAUUGGCAGGUACUACUGGUUGGGGCUCACCCAUGGCGGCGCCGCCGCCUGAGAGGUGGCUAUGCGGUGCCAGGUGGAGGUGGGUACGCGCCCACUCGGUUUAUCGUUUUCAAUUUAUGUAGCAUAGUUGCAUAAACUUAGCUUUGUGUAACUAACUGAUAGUUGUUGCACGAGUAAAGUGCAUGUGUGGUUCUAAUUCUUUCAACAAAGUGUCGAUUGGGUCUUAAUUCUUUCAAAAUGCACAUCUGAGUCCUAAUUAUUUUAAAUUUGUUCCGAAGUCAUAAUUUCAUCUGACCACCGCUGCCCAGCUUGCGUGGCGCUUCGACCCUGGCCAUGUCGACAGGAGGGCCCAGACGGGAUAAUGACCAAUCGUGCAUAUUUGCAAAAGAACCCUUGAACCCUAAUUCCUUCAGCCGCGGUCCUUUCCUCUUCCCCACCCCUCUGGUGAAACAGGGGCGAUUGAUAGCGGAGGCGCUGCUUCGAUGAGAAGAGGUGGUCAUCGCAGGCGGUUGUCCGGCGGCGGCGCCGCUAGGAUGGUGGCACGACUACGGCAACCUGGAGAUCCUCAUUCAUGAUAUGGUCAGUGCCCGUACCCCUAACCCCCAAUGCUACUCUUUCGUUCCUCUUGUUCCGACUUAGGCCGAAUCCAUGAUCGAAACCCUUGUAUUCUAGGACCACAAGAGGAGCUUUUCAUCGUAGAAACAAACUGUGCUGGAAUGUUUUGCGGAUUUGGCAAGUCGAAGUCAUAUGAUGAUUGCAAAGUUGCUCCGUUCGAUGGCUGUGAAGUAGUACAUGGUCUCCUCUCUGGCUCAUUGAUUUCAUGCAGCAAUUAGGAUAUAGUGACCAAUCAAACAUCACUUUGUACUGCUUGCUCCCUAGAAAGAAUCUAGAUGGACUCGGAUUGUGGAUUGUGACACUCACACAUUGCACAUGAUAGCAGUUGUUCCACAAUUUCAGUAUUUUCAGUUAUCUGUGGACCACAAAAAUAUGACAUUUAACUAUGUAAUCUGUGAUAUUCAUAUUAGUGGUACACUUGAUCUGAUUCCUGUAUUAAGCCCUAAGUCUCCUGGAUUUAUGAUGACCUACAAGUACAUAGGGCUGUUGUAGCACUUUCGUGAUAAGUAAACUGUCGAACCCACAGGGAGCGAAUAGGAAGGAAUUACAAACCCUGCAACUACGCUAACACUUAUGUAGUUACGUACGCAACCAAACCGUAGUUUUUGGAAAUGGCCUAUUAUAGUAGGUUACUAGGAAGACAAAUAAAGAUAGUGUUUACUAAACUACAGAUAGGAAAUAAAGAGACUAAACUAAGGGAAACGGUGCUUGAGUAGUAAAUGUUCUUGAGGGAUUUGGAGUUAUCACCACAAGUAUGAUGCUGACAACACAUGAUAGACAUGGCUCUAUAUCUGUAUCACUAUGUCACUUGUAUAUGAUCUCGUGUGGGCGGAGCCAAUAAAGUACGCAUCCCCACUCCGGUUAUUGCACACACUCGUGCCAGCACCGUGCUUCCCCACUCUGGUUAUCACAACGAUGAUUAAGGAGGAGUGAACUCCCCAUGGACACAACAUUAAAUUCACCACUAAUCCCUACUGCAAUGACCAGGGAGGAAGGGAGAAUAGGGUGCUACUUGUGAUAGGCAUUGGGUUUCCGCCGAAGAGGAAGGGUGAUUGAUACGUCUCCGUCGUAUCUACUUUUUCUCACGCUUUUCCUCUUGUUUUGGACUGUAAUUUGCAUGAUUUGAAUGAAACUAACCCGGGCUGACGUUGUUUUCAGCAGAACUACCAUGGUGUUGUUUUUUGUGCAGAAAUAAAAGUUCUCGGAAUGGAACGAAACUUUGCGAGGACUUUUUAUAUAAUAAAAGAGAAUUUCUGGAACCAAGAACCACCGGAGGGGGGCACCUGGGUGUGCACAACCCACUAGGGCGCGCGCCCCUCCAGGUGCGCCCAGGUGGGUUGUGCCCACCUGGUGGCCCCGCAGACCCUGAAACCGACGCUAUAAAAUCACAUAUUUCCAGAAAAAAAUCAGAGAGGACGAAUUAUCGCGUUCCACGAGAUGGAGCCGCCGCCGUCUCCUGUUCUUCAUCGGGAGGCCAGAUCUGGAGCCCGUUUGGGGCUCCGGGGAGGGGGAUUUUCGAUCUUCGUCAUCACCAACCCUUCUCCAUCGCCAAUUCCAUGAUGCUCCCCACCAGGAGUGAGUAAUUCCUUCAUAGCACUACUGCAGGAUGCUGCUAACGCGACACUACGAUCAAAGACCCUUUCACGAAACUGUGUGCGAUGCAUUAAUCACAAACGGGGAUGUAAAAAACCCGUCAAAAAGGUGUAAAACGUUUGCAAUGGAGGAUGCAUCAAACACGGUUCAGAUUUUAGUUGCGUGUGCGAUCCAGGGCAUAUGGUUCAGUCCAAUGAACUGUUUGCGAUGAGGCGGAACAAAAGAAACGGGCAGCCUGAUGAAGGCGUGUGCGAUAUAGAGCGUACGGUUCACUCGGAUGAACUAUUUGUGAUUAGGCAACACAAAAGAAACGGGCAGCCAGAUGAAGGCGUGUGCGAUAUACAUCAUACGGUUCACUCGGAUGAAUUGUUUGUGAUUAGGCAACACAAAAGAAACGGUCAGCCAGAUCAAGGUGUGUGUGAUUGAGGGCAUACGCUUCAGAAGGAUUAACUGUUUGUGAUUAGGCAACUGAACAGAAACAGGUAAGCCAGAUCAAAGUGUCUGCGAUUGAUGGCAUACACUUCACAUGGAUGAACUGUUUGCGAUUAGCCACAACAAACUGAAACAGUUAGAUAGAUCAACGUGUGUGCGCUAGACGGGCACACCCAUUCUAAUUAAAAGAAGCGUACGCGAUGGUAAUAACAAGCGCGCACGGUUGUUGGAACAAGACGUGUGCUGACAUUGCCUAUUGCAGUGCACCCUAUGGUGCAAACGCCACGUACGCGGCCGAGAAGGCGUACGUGCCCACGUUACGCCUUCCGAGAAUAGUGCCGCACUUAUAACUGUCAGUAAAUUUUGAGCAUGCGUCCCAUCACAAUUUUUUUUAGAAGAACAGGGAGGCCGCGUCCCGUCACAUUCCAAAUUGCAAACCUAUUCACACCGAUCAAAACCUAAACGGUUUCCCACUUAGGAGCGUAUUACUACGCGGUUAUAAAUACUACUACUCCAAGAUGAUUGCACAUUCCUCCUCAACUCCUCAUCCACAAAAGUUCAAAAACAAACAAGUCAUUCAUCAUCGUUCCCUUGCGUCCGCCAUGGCCAGCGUGAGUUCUGCGUCGAGAGAUUGCCACCAGGGAGAGGCAAUCCUGAAAGCGGGAGCACGAUAAAUGUCCCGCCUCGCCGCGAAAGCAGCCAACUGUUGGGGAACGUAGUAAUUUCAAAAAAAUUCCUACGCACACGCAAGAUCAUGGUGAUGCAUAGCAACGAGAGGGGAGAGUGUUGUCCAUGUACCCUCGUAGACUGAAAGCGGAAGCGUUAUCACAACGCGGUUAAUGUAGUCAUACGUCUUCACGAUCCGACCGAUCAAGUACCGAACGCACGGCACCUCCGAGUUCAGCACACGUUCAGCUCGAUGACGUCCCUCGAACUCUGAUCCAGCCGAGUGUUGAGGGAGAGUUUUGUCAGCACGACGGCGUGGUGACGAUGAUGAUGUUCUACCGACGCAGGGCUUCGCCUAAGCUCCGCAACGAUAUUAUCGAGGUGUAAUAUGGUGGAGGGGGCACCGCACACGGCUAAAAUAUCGUAUAUCCAAUUGUGUGUAGAGGUGCCCCCCUGCCCCCGUAUAUAAAGGAGCAAGGGGGAGGCCGGCUGCCUUGGGCGCGCCAAGGAGAGGGGGGGGAGUCCUCCUCCUAGUAGGAGUAGGACUCCCCUUUCCUAGUCCAACUAGGAAGAGAGGGGGGAGGGGGAGGAAAGAGAGGGAGAGGGAGAGGGAAAGAGGGGCUGCGCCCCCCUCUCCUAGUCCUAUUAGGACUCCUUAUGGGAGGGGGCGCGCCACCUCCUGGCUGCUGCCCUCUCUCUCCCCUCAAGGCCCACUAAGGCCCAAUACUUCCCCGGGGGGUUUCGGUAACCCCUCCGGCACUCCGGUUUUAUCCGAAACUUCUCCGGAACACUUCCGGUGUCCGAAUAUAGUCGUCCAAUAUAUCAAUCUUUAUGUCUCGACCAUUUCGAGACUCCUCGUCAUGUCCGUGAUCACAUCUGGGACUCCGAACAACCUUCGGUACAUCAAAACAUAUAAACUCAUAAUAUAAUUGUCAUCGUAACGUUAAGCGUGCGGACCCUACGGGUUCGAGAACUAUGUAGACAUGACCGAGACACCUCUCCGGUCAAUAACCAAUAGCGGAACCUGGAUGCUCAUAUUGGUUCCUACAUAUUCUACGAAGAUCUUUAUCGGUCAAACCGCAUAACAACAUAUGUUGUUCCCUUUGUCAUCGGUAUGUUACUUGCCCGAGAUUCGAUCGUCGGUAUCUCGAUACCUAGUUCAAUCUCGUUACCGGCAAGUCUCUUUACUCGUUCCGUAAUACAUCAUCCCGCAACUAACUCAUUAGUCACAAUGCUUGCAAGGCUUAUAGUGAUGUGCAUUACUGAGUGGGCCCAGAGAUACCUCUCCCGACAAUCGGAGUGACAAAUCCUAAUCUCGAAAUACGCCAACCCAACAAGUACCUUUGGAGACACCUGUAGAGCACCUUUAUAAUCACCCAUUUACGUUGUGACGUUUGGUAGCACACAAAGUGUUUCUCUGGUAAACGGGAGUUGCAUAAUCUCAUAGUCAUAGGAAUAUGUAUAAGUCAUGAAGAAAGCAGUAGGAACAUACUAAACGAUCGGGUGCUAAGCUAACGGAAUGGGUCAAGUCAAUCACGUCAUUCUCCUAAUGAGGUGAUCCCGUUAAUCAAAUGACAACUCAUGUCUAUGGCUAGGAAACAUAACCAUCUUUGAUUAACGAGCUAGUCAAGUAGAGGCAUACUAGUGACACACUGUUUGUCUAUGUAUUCACACAUGUAUUAUGUUUCCGGUUAAUACAAUUCUAGCAUGAAUAAUAAACAUUUAUCAUGAUAUAAGGAAAUAAAUAGUACUUUAUUAUUGCCUCUAGGGCAUAUUUCCUUCAGUCUCCCACUUGCACUAGAGUCAAUAAUCUAGUUCACAUCGUCAUGUGAUUUAACAUCAAUAAUUCACAUCACCAUGUGAUUAACACCCAUAGUUCACAUUGUCAUGUGACCAACACCCAAAGGGUUUACUAGAGUCAAUAAUCUAGUUCACAUCGCUAUGUGAUUAACACCCAAAGAGUACUAAGGUGUGAUCAUGUUUUGAUUGUGAGAUAAUUUUAGUCAACGGGUCUGUCACAUUCAGAUCCGUAAGUAUUUUGCAAAUUUCUAUGUCUACAAUGCUCUGCACGGAGCUACUCUAGCUAAUUGCUCCCACUUUCAAUAUGUAUCUAGACCGAGACUUAGAGUCACCUAGAUUAGUGUCAAAACUUGCAUCGACGUAACCCUUUACGACGAACCUUUUGUCACUUCCAUAAUCGAGAAACACAUCCUUAUUCCACUAAGGAUAAUUUUGACCGCUGUCCAGUGAUCUACUCCUAGAUCACUAUUGUAAUCCCUUGCCAAAAUCAGUGUAGGGUAUACAAUAGAUCUGGUACACAGCAUGGCAUACUUUAUAGAACCUAUAGCCAAGGCAUAGGGAAUGACUUUCAUUCUCUUUCUAUCUUCUGCCGUGGUCGGGCUUUGAGUCUUACUCAAUUUCACACCUUGUAACACAGGCAAGAACUCUUUCUUUGACUGUUCUAUUUUGAACUACUUCAAAAUCUUGUUAAGGUAUGUACUCAUUGAAAAAGCUUAUCAAGCGUCUUGAUCUAUCUCUAUAGAUCUUGAUGCUCAAUAUGUAAGCAGCUUCACCGAGGUCUUUCUUUGAAAAACUCCUUUCAAACACUCCUUUGUGCUUUGCAGAAUAAUUCUACAUUAUUUCCGAUCAACAAUAUGUCAUUCACAUAUACUUAUCAGAAAUGCUGUAGUGCUCCCACUCACUUUCUUGUAAAUACAGGCUUCACCGCAAGUCUGUAUAAAACUAUAUCCUUUGAUCAAUUUAUCAAAGCGUAUAUUCCAACUCCGAGAUGCUUGCACCAGUCCAUAGAUGGAUCGCUGGAGCUUGCAUAUUUUGUUAGCACUUUUAGGAUUGACAAAACCUCCUGGUUGCAUCAUAUACAACUCUUCUUUAAUAAAUCCAUUAAGGAAUGCAGUUUUGUUUAUCCAUUUGCCAUAUUUCAUUAAAUGCAGCAAUUGCUAACAUGAUUCAGACAGACUUAAGCAUAGAUACGAGUGAGAAACUCUCAUCGUAGUCAACACCUUAAACUUGUCGAAAACUUUUUGCGACAAUUCUAGCUUUGUAGAUAGUAACACUACUAUCAGCGUCCGUCUUCCUCUUGAAGAUCCAUUUAAUCUCAAUGGCUCGCCGAUCAUUGGGCAAGUCAAUCAAAGUCCAUACUUUGUUCGCAUACAUGGAUCUCAUCUCAGAUUUCAUGGCCUCAAGCCAUUUUGCGGAAUCUGGGCUCACCAUCGCUUCUUCAUAGUUCGUAGGUUCGUCAUGGUCUAGUAACAUAACCUCCAGAACAGGAUUACCGUACCACUCUGGUGCGGAUCUUACUCUGGUUUACCUAUGAGGUUUGGUAGUAACUUGAUCUGAAGUUACAUGAUCAUCAUCAUUAACUUCCUUACUAAUUGGUGUAGGAGUCACAGGAACAGAUUUCUGUGAUGAACUACUUUCCAAUAAGGGAGCAGGUACAGUUACCACAUCAAGUUCUACUUUCCUCCCACUCACUUCUUUCGAGAGAAACUCCUUCUCUAGAAAGGAUCCAUUCUUAGCAACGAAUGUCUUGCCUUCGGAUCUGUGAUAGAAGGUGUACCCAACUGUCUCCUUUGGGUAUCCUAUGAAGACACAUCUCUCCGAUUUGGGUUUGAGCUUAUCAGGAUGAAACCUUUUCACAUAAGCUUCGCAACCCCAAACUUUAAGAAACGACAACUUUGGUUUCUUGCCAAACCAUAGUUCAUAAGAUGUCGUCUCAACGGAUUUAGAUGGUACCCUAUUUAACGUGAAUGCAGCUAUCUCUAAUGCAUAACCCCAGGACGAUAGUGGUAAAUCGGUAAGAGACAUCAUAGAUUGCACUAUAUCCAAUAAAGUACGGUUAUGACGUUCGGACACACCAUUAGGCUGUGGUGUUCCAGGUGGCACGAAUUUGUGGAACUAUUCCACAUUGUUUUAAUUGAAGACCAAACUCGUAACUCAAAUAUUUGUCUCCGCGAUCAGAUCGUAGAAACUUUAUUUUCUUGUCACGAUGAUUUUCCACUUCACUCUGAAAUUCUUUGAACUUUUCAAAUGUUUCAGACUUAUGUUUCAUCAAGUAGAUAUACCCAUAUCUGCUCAAAUCAUCUGUAAAGGUCAGAAAAUAACGAUACCCGCCGCGAGCCUCAACACUCAUCGGAUCGCAUACAUCAGUAUGUAUUAUUUCCAAUAAGUCAGUUGCUCGCUCCAUUGUUCCGGAGAAUGGAGUCUUAGUCAUCUUGCCCAUAAGGCAUGGUUCGCAAGCAUCAAGUGAUUCAUAAUCAAGUGAUUCCAAAAUCCCAUCAGUAUGGAGUUUCUUCAUGCGCUUUACACCAAUAUGACUUAAACGGCAGUGCCACAAAUAAGUUGCACUAUCAUUAUUAACUUUGCAUCUUUUGGCUUCAAUAUUAUGAAUAUGUGUAUCACUACGAUCGAGAUCCAACGAACCAUUUUCAUUGGGUGUGUAACCAUAUAAGGUUUUAUUCAUGUAAACAGAAAAACAAUUAUUCUCUAACUUUAAAUGAAUAACCGUAUUGCAAUAAACAUGAUCAAAUCAUAUUCAUGCUCAACGCAAACACCAAGUAACACUUAUUUAGGUUCAACACUAAUCCCGAAAGUAUAGGGAGUGUGCGAUGAUGAUCAUAUCAAUCUUGGAACCACUUCCAAUACACAUCGUCACUUCAUCCUUAACUAGUUUCUGUUCAUUAUGCAACUCCCGUUUCGAGUUACUACUCUUUAGCAACUGAACCAGUAUCAAAUACCGAGGGGUUGCUACGAACACUAGUAAAAUACACAUCAAUAAUCUGUAUAUCAAAUAUACCUUUGUUCACUUUGCCAUCCUUCUUAUCCACCAAAUACUUGGGGCAGUUCCGCUUCCAGUGACUAGUCCCUUUGCAGUAGAAGCACUUUAGUCUCAGGCUUAGGACCAGACUUAGGCUUCUUCACUUGAGCAGCAACUUGCUUGCCGUUCUUCUUGAAGUUCCCCUUCUUCCCUUUACCCUUUUCUUGAAACUAGUGGUCUCGUCAACCAUCAACACUUGAUGUUUUUCUUGAUUUCUACCUUCGUCGAUUUCAGCAUCACGAAGAGCUCGGGAAUUACUUUCGUCAUCCCUUGCAUACUAUAGUUCAUCACGAAGUUCUACUAACUUGGUGAUGGUGACUAGAGAAUUCUGUCAAUCACUAUUUUAUCUGGAAGAUUAACUCCCACUUGAUUCAAGCGAUUGUAGUACCCAGACAAUCUAAGCACAUGCUCACUGCUUGAGCUAUUCUCCUCCAUCUUUUAGCUAUAGAACUUGUUGGAGACUUCAUAUCUCUCAACUCGGGUAUUUGCUUGAAAUAUUAACUUCAACUCCUGGAACAUCUCAUAUGGUCCAUGACGUUCAAAACGUCUUUGAAGUCCCGAUUCUAAGCCGUUAAGCAUGGUGCACUAAACUAUCAAGUAGUCAUCAUAUUGAGCUAGCCAAACGUUCAUAACGUCUGCAUCUGCUCCUGCAAUAGGUCUGUCACCUAGCGGUGCAUUAAGGACAUAAUUCUUCUGUGUAGCAAUGAGGUUAAUCCUCAGAUCACGGAUCCAAUCCGCAUCUUUGCUACUAACAUCUUUCAACAUAAUUUUCUCUAGGAACAUAUCAAAAAUAAACACAGGGAAGCAACAACGCGAGCUAUUGAUCUACAACAUAAUUUGCAAAAAUACUAUCAGGACUAAGUUCAUGAUAAAUUUAAGUUCAAUUAAUCAUAUUACUUAAGAACUCCCACUUAGAUAGACAUCCCUCUAAUCCUCUAAGUGAUCACGUGAUCCAUAUCAACUAAACCAUGUCCGAUCAUCACGUGAGAUGGAGUAGUUUCAAUGGUGAACAUCACUAUGUUGAUCGUAUCUACUAUAUGAUUCACGCUCGACCUUUCGGUCUCCGUGUUCCGAGGCCAUAUCUGCAUAUGCUAGGCUCAUCAAGUUUAACCUGAGUAUUCCGCGUGUGCAACUGUUUUGCACCCGUUGUAUUUGAACGUAGAACCUAUCACACCCGAUCAUCACGUGGUGUCUCAGCACGAAGAACUUUCACAACGGUGCAUACUCAGGGAGAACACUUUUAUCUUGAAAUUUUAGUGAGAGAUCAUCUUAUAAUGCUACCGUCAAUCAAAGCAAGAUAAGAUGCAUAAAAGAUAAACAUCACAUGCAAUCAAUAUAAGUGAUAUGAUAUGGCCAUCAUCAUCUUGUGCUUGUGAUCUCCAUCUCCGAAGCACCGUCAUGAUCACCAUCGUCACCGGCGCGACACCUUGAUCUCCAUCGUAGCAUCGUUGUCGUCUCGCCAACUAUUGCUUUUAUGACUAUCGCUACCGCUUAGUGAUAAAGUAAAACAAUUACAUGGCGAUUGCAUUUCAUACAAUAAAGCGACAACCAUAUGGCUCCUGCCAGUUGCCGAUAACUCGGUUACAAAACAUGAUCAUCUCAUACAAUAAAAUAUAGCAUCAUGUCUUGACCAUAUCACAUCACAACAUGCCCUGCAAAAACAAGUUAGACGUCCUCUACUUUGUUGUUGCAAGUUUUACGUGGCUGCUACGGGCUUAGCAAGAACCGUUCUUACCUACACAUCAAAACCACAACGAUAGUUUGUCAAGUUGGUGAUGUUUUAACCUUCGCAAGGACCGGGCGUAGCCACACUCGGUUCAACUAAAGUGAGAGAGACAGACACCCGCCAGUCACCUUUAAGCAACGAGUGCUCGCAACGGUGAAACCAGUCUCGCGUAAGCGUACGCGUAAUGUCGGUCCGGGCCGCUUCAUCUCACAAUACUGCUGAACCAAAGUAUGACAUGCUGGUAAGCAGUAUGACUUAUAUCGCCCACAACUCACUUGUGUUCUACUCGUGCAUAACAUCAAUGCAUAAAACCAGGCUCUGAUACCACUGUUAGGGAACGUAGUAAUUUCAAAAAAAAUUCUACGCACACGCAAGAUCAUGGUGAUGCAUAGCAACGAGAGGGGAGAGUGUUGUCCACGUACCCUCGUAGACCGAAAGCGGAAGCGUUAUCACAACGCGGUUGAUGUAGUCGUACGUCUUCACGAUCCGACCGAUCAAGUACCGAACGCACGGCACCUCCGAGUUCAGCACACGUUCAGCUUGAUGACGUCCCUCAAACUCCGAUCCAGCCGAGUGUUGAGGGAGAGUUUCAUCAGCACGACGGCGUGGUGACGAUGAUGAUGUUCUACCGACGCAGGGCUUCGCCUAAGCUCCACAACGAUAUUAUCGAGGUGUAAUAUGGUGGAGGGGGGGCACCGCACACGGCUAAAAUAUCGUAUAUCCAAUUGUGUGUAGAGGUGCCCCCUGCCCCCGUAUAUAAAGGAGCAAGGGGGAGGCCGGCUGCCUUGGGCGCGCCAAGGAAAGGGGGGAGUCCUCCUCCUAGUAGGAGUAGGACUCCCCUUUCCUAGUCCAACUAGGAAGANNNNNNNNNNGGAAAGAGAGGGAGAGGGAGAGGGAAAGAGGGGCUGCGCCCCCUCCCCUAGUCCAAUUCGGACUCCUCAUGGGAGGGGGCGCGCCACCUCCUGGCUGCUGCCCUCUCUCUCCCCUCAAGGCCCACUAAGGCCCAAUACUUCCCCGGGGGGUUCCGGUAACCCCUCCGGCACUCCGGUUUUAUCCGAAACUUCUCCGGAACACUUCCGGUGUCCGAAUAUAGUCGUCCAAUAUAUCAAUCUUUAUGUCUCGACCAUUUCGAGGCUCCUCGUCAUGUCCGUGAUCACAUCCGGGACUCCGAACAACCUUCGGUACAUCAAAACAUAUAAACUCAUAAUAUAACUGUCAUCGUAACUUUAAGCGUGCGGACCCUACGGGUUCGAGAACUAUGUAGACAUGACCGAGACACCUCUCCGGUCAAUAACCAAUAGCGGAACCUGGAUGCUCAUAUUGGUUCCUACAUAUUCUACGAAGAUCUUUAUCGGUCAGACCGCAUAACAACAUACGUUGUUCCCUUUGUCAUCGGUAUGUUACUUGCCCGAGAUUCGAUCGUCGGUAUCUCGAUACCUAGUUCAAUCUCGUUACCGGCAAGUCUCUUUACUCGUUCCAUAAUACAUCAUCCCGCAACUAACUCAUUAGUCACAAUGCUUGCAAGGCUUAUAGUGAUGUGNNNNNNNNNNUUAUCCGAAACUUCUCCGGAACACUUCCGGUGUCCGAAUAUAGUCGUCCAAUAUAUCAAUCUUUAUGUCUCGACCAUUUCGAGGCUCCUCGUCAUGUCCGUGAUCACAUCCGGGACUUCGAACAACCUUGGGUACAUCAAAACAUAUAAACUCAUAAUAUAACUGUCAUCGUAACGUUAAGCGUGCGGACCCUACGGGUUCGAGAACUAUGUAGACAUGACCGAGACACCUCUCCGGUCAAUAACCAAUAGUGGAACCUGGAUGCUCAUAUUGGUUCCUACAUAUUCUAUGAAGAUCUUUAUCGGUCAAACCGCAUAACAACAUAUGUUGUUCCCUUUGUCAUCGGUAUGUUACUUGCCCGAGAUUCGAUUGUCGGUAUCUCGAUACCUAGUUCAAUCUCGUUACCGGCAAGUCUCUUUACUCGUUCCGUAAUACAUCAUCCCGCAACUAACUCAUUAGUCACAAUGCUUGCAAGGCUUAUAGUGAUGUGCAUUACUGAGUGGGCCCAGAGAUACCUCUCCGACAAUCGGAGUGACAAAUCCUAAUCUCGAAAUACGCCAACCCAACAAGUACCUUUGGAGACACCUGUAGAGCACCUUUAUAAUCACCCAUUUACGUUGUGACGUUUGGUAGCACACAAAGUGUUCCUCCGAUAAACGGGAGUUGCAUAAUCUCAUAGUCAUAGGAACAUGUAUAAGUCAUGAAGAAAGCAGUAGGAACAUACUAAACGAUCGGGUGCUAAGCUAACGGAAUGGGUCAAGUCAAUCACGUCAUUCUCCUAAUGAGGUGAUCCUAUUAAUCAAAUGACAACUCAUGUCUAUGACUAGGAAACAUAACCAUCUUUGAUUAACGAGCUAGUCAAGUAGAGGCAUACUAGUGACACACUGUUUGUCUAUGUAUUCACACAUGUAUUAUGUUUCCGGUUAAUACAAUUCUAGCAUGAAUAAUAAACAUUUAUCAUGAUAUAAGGAAAUAAAUAAUACUUUAUUAUUGCCUCUAGGGCAUAUUUCCUUCACCAACAUGUCCCGCCGCACGGCCGUAGCAGCAGAGAGGUCCCGCCGCGCCGCCGAAGCAGCACGGAGGACCCGCCGCGCCGUCGAUGCAGCAGACUGGUCCGGCAACGCCGCGGAAGCAGAAGAGAUGUCCCGCCGCAUGGCGAAUGCAACAGAGAUGUCCCCCCGCGCCGCGGCGGCCUGGGAAAAUGCCUCGCGGGCAGGCGAGGACUCUUACAGGCGCAUGCGUGCCCUCGUCCUUAGGCAGAUGGAUCAGAUCUCCAGGUGGGCGAGGUUGCAGGAUGACCUGAAAGCCUCGUUUGAACAGUGUACCGACGUCAUCCAGCAACUAAAUGAGAGCAAUGCGGCCGAGUGCGACCUGGUCAGGGCGAAGAUCGUCGGAAGUGCGGAGUAGUAGGAGCAGACCACUGCCUUGUUGAAGAGGACCGGCGUCAUCGUCGAGAAACUUAUGGACGAGAAUGCCAUGCUGCGCAUCGAGCGCAGAAGGCUGGUGGAGGAAUCUGUGGAUGCUCUCAACCAGCAUCUUGAGGACAAGAAAGAGCUCGUCGCCGCUCGCCGCGGAGACUAGUUCCCGCGGCCUGCAGCAACGCAUCAAGAAAGUAGAGAUCAGCGAGCCAGCGAGUUGUCUUCCUCUUCUUUUGCCCAUGUGUAUUUCGGGCGUUGCCGCAUGUGGCUUUUUUUAAUUAUGUUUCUAAAUAUGUAAGACAAUUAUUAUCCACUGUCAUCAUCCUUAUAUUCAUCAUGCUUGCUAUAAGUCGUAGUCGAUGCUAUAUAGGUCCGUCGGAUCUUACAUCAAGAUCCGUGCAAAACUUUCUUUUCAAAUUUUCAUUUUUCUCUCUUAAAUCUCAGUCUAGUGAGACAUAUAGCCACGCCGUAGAACAGGUGCUCGGGCGCCAUUAAUGGACACAUUGGGAGGGAGGUGCGCGCGGGUAGUGGUCAAAGGGCUCUCCUCCUGAUGAGCACGCGCAGGGGUCGGAUCGCACGCCUCCCGUACUCAAAUAGCUACCCCGCACGGCACCUUCCAGCCAAUAAAAAAAGGGGACGCGUGGCCACACGUAAUUGGUAAGUUGAACACCACGGUUUCAAUAAUACUUGUGUUUCCGAUUUGUAACGUGAUAGCACUUGUUCCAAAAUGACUUUGUUGAUUGUUAAUGUGUGCGCCUUCGCAAAUCGGACAGAAAAAUUACCACAACAUGUUGGUGCCAUGUCAUGAGACCAUGCCAAGUUCCAUGAUUUUCAGGCGUGUUUUGGAAUUACAGGAAUUAAAAAACCAAGUUUCUCAAUCUUUCCGGCCGAGCCACGACGCCCAGAUGUUUGAAUUUCACUCCCAUCUCUUGUAUGGGACCUAGAAAUUCACCCAAGGACACACAUGUGAUUUUUCAAACAACUUUGGUGCACUGGAGCACGUGCUUGUACUUCAAAUUUGAAUUAUACACAUUAAUUGCGCAGAAACUCAAUUAAUGUAUAAAAAAGGCCAUACGAACAUGGAAUAAUUCCAAAAUUUAGCACGAUACUUCUAUUUGGUCUAAUUUGCCUAUGUAAAAAAAAUUAAGGCGGGAGAAGGUAGUGUACGUAUGUCGUUUCGCACACGGAGGUGACACGUUCCCUCUCGGAACAAGGAGCCUUCUUGAGGGAAGCUCCGGUUUGCAAGAAGCUUACAUCAAAGCUUGUCCCAAUUCGGCCAAAAAAAUUACUGCAGCAUGUUGGUGCCAUGUCAUGACACCAUGCCAAGUUUCAUGAUUUUCAGCCGUGUUUUGGAUUUACAGGAAUUAAAAAACCAAGUUUCUCAAUCAUUCCGGUCGAGCCACGACACCCAGAUGUUUGAAUUUUAUUUCCAUUUCUUGCAUGGACCUAUAUAUUCACCCAAAGACACACAUGUGAUUUUUCAGCAAACUUUGGUGCAUUGGAGCAUGUGCUUGUAGUUCAAAUUUGAAUUAUGCACAUUAAAUGCCCAGAAACUCAAAUAAUGCAUAAAAAUGCCAAACGAACCCGGAAUAAUUCCAAAUUUAAACACGACACUCAUGUACUAGUUGCAUGUUCACUGUACGUAAAUGUUCUAGCAAUACAAACACCAUCCUUUCCUCCGUAACACCAUUUUGUCUUUCAAAACAUAAUGAAAAAAAAUCAGGUAUACCACAAACAGUUUACUAGAAAGAAUCGUGUGGGAUGCGAUAUAAAAUAUCUUGGCGCACCGUCUUGUCUGGCUUACGCAGGAAGCUUUGCCGUCUACAGUCCACCGCCCCCGCUUGAACCACACUUGCGCGCUAGUUUCUCGCGGCACCGAGCGAAAUUUUUUUGCCACCGCGGAAAUAUCUAUCUCCCCGCCCCUCUCUCCUACCAAAAGCCACAUUUCCACUAUUCCUCCUUGCUUUCCAAGUUCAAACCUUCACUGCUGCUUACUGGCAGCUCAGCCUCCUCACCGGCGACCCUUCUUCUUGCAGCACCGCCUCCUCGCCGGCUACCCUUCUUCUUGCAGCGCCACCUCCUCGCCGGCUACCCUUCUUCUUGCAGCGCCGCCUCCUCGCCGGCGACCCUUCCUCUUGCAGCGCCGCCUCCUCGCCAGUGACCCUUCUUCUUGCUGCGCGGCCUCAUCGAUAUGGUCAGGUAAUCCACACCCCACCCACACCAUCCUCCUCCUUUCCCGUCCCACAUGCCCCGACUGACGGAGCGACACCUUCCACCGAAAUCACUGCCCCCCUCCUCCAAUUAAGCGCCGCCCACAGCCAUUUUACACGCAGUAUAACAUGGAGCUGAGUAGCAUGCGGCUGCACGCGUGAACGAGGUCGCUAUGGCUGACAUGCGUGUCGACAGCCAGAUUUUGGAGGAGCACCUCGUCUUCGAGGCCACCGUCGACACCGCCGCGCGGUUGUCUACUUUAAAAUACAGUUCGUCAUUUUUUCUCGAGGCCACCGCCAGUGCCUUCUAGUGAUUUAUCCUCUGUAAUGUUAAUAUGCAAUCUGAUGUCCAGUUAACAGUUUGGACCUCUGAAAUGUAAUGUUUAGUUAACACUUUGGUCCAACAAUUGCUACAUUUUGUAGUACUGCUCUCAAGCAUUCUUUGUUUUGUUAACUGUCUUAUCUUCUAGUACAUGUUUCUAUUCUGAAAUGUCGUGCUCAGUUAACUAUUUUGGUUCAUUUGGUCUGCUGUCCAUUUAACUGUUUGGUUCAGUUCUGCAAUUUGAUUUUCAUUUGUCGUGGGUACAAUUUUGUAUUGUUAUGCAUGUGACAUCAAUCGAAUUUGGCUGUACUCAAUACACAUUCUACUGAUAGUAUGGCAACUCUCAGUUAACGUGAUCAAGAUCUUCCUUAUGUGUGUUGCAGGGAAACAAUGGGAGACACUGCGGUUUACCAUCGAGGUUUGUUCAAGCAGGGUCCUUUGGCUAAUAGCACAUUAUUGUGCAGUUGCAGGAAUCAUUCUAAUAUUUAGGUUUCUUACAAUUUGGUCUUGCACAUGUAGGUCCUGCUGUCAGAGGCUUAGACCCACUGUUCGACCCAUUUUGCAUAUGGGGAAAUGAGAUGUCCAUGAAUAUCAGUCAAGUCAAGAAACUCAGAAAGAUUGUUAGGAUGAAGAAACUUGCGACGAAUAACAACAAGAUCUUUGUUUGCACAAUGAAGAAGACAUCGGUCAACUAUAGGAUGGUACCAACUCUUUUACCUUAUUUUUACCGCCAUUCCAAAAUUUACAACAACGAUUUAUGCAUAGCUUUGUUUUCAGUACUUUUCAAAGCAGUUCACCGAUGAUUACCUCUCAAACCACAUGCAUGGUCAAGAGGCGAGGAAGGUAUUCAUUCAACACCCACGGUACAAUAUUGAAAUCUUGCUGAAGAGGACGAAGGUUGGGCGGGCAAUUAUCCAUAGCCACUGGCCUAAAGUUGCAAGGACAUUCAACAUCACUCAAGGCUCAAUAUUUGCACCGUGGGCGAUGAACUCAAACAACCCGCACGGUUUCUAGAAAGUAGGCGUGUUCGAUCAACUAACAAUCACACACGGCUUCCGGCAGCGAACUGUUUGCAUUAGGCCACCUUGCACAAACGUUUCCACACAAAGAAUUGUGUGGGAUGUACAUACCUACAGAAAUGAUUUUCUGGGAUUCACCGUGUGGGAUGUUCAUACCUACGGAAAUGAUUUAUGGGAUUCACCGCGUGGGAUGUACAUACUACGGAAAUGAUUUUUCGGAUUCACCGUGUGGGAUGUACAUACCUACGGAAAUGAUUUCUGGGAUUCACCGUGUCGGAUGUACGUACCUACGGAAAUGAUUUCUGGGAUUCACCGUGUGGGAUGUACAUACCUACGGAAAUGAUUGGGUUUCCAUGCCUCGCUCGAUCGCACACGGCCCCAGCCUGGGUCCCACGAGGGCCUAUCCCCGACGAUUUCUGGAUCGUGUGGGAAGGACCCCCCUAUCGCCCACACUCACUUGGCGACGGUUCCAAAUGCCGUCGCGGAAAGGGGUUUUAAACCGUUUGUUUAGGACGUCUGAAAGAUCAUGGAUGUCGCCUAGAGGGGGUGAAUAGGCGCUUUAAAAUAAUUACGGUUUAGGCUUGAACAAAUGUGGAAUAAACCUAGCGGUUAAUUUGUCAAGCACAAAACCUACAACAACUAGGCUCACCUAUGUGCACCAACAACUUAUGCUAAGCAAGAUAAACUACUAGGUGAUAGCAGGAUAUAUGACAAGAAACAAUAUGGCUAUCACGAAGUAAAGUGCAUAAGUAAAGAGCUCGGGUGGAGGUUAGAGCAGACGCUAAUCUCCUUUUGGAGCGGUGUGGAGGCACAAUGCUACCUAAGAAGCCACUAGGGCCACCGUUAUCUCCUCACGCCCUUGCACAAUGCAAGAUGCCGUGAUUCCACUAAGGGACCCUUGAGGGCGGUCACCGAACCCGUACAAAUGGCAGCCCUCGGGGGCGGUCACCGAACCCGUAAACUUUGGCAACCCUUGGGGGCGGUCACCGGUACCCGUCAAAUUGCUCGGGGCGAUCUCCACAACCUAAUUGGAGACCCCGUCGCUUGCCCGGAGCUUUACACCACAAUGAUUGAGCUCCGAACACCACCAACCGUCUAGGGCGCCCAAGCACCCAAGAGGAACAAGCUCAAGGGUAGCAAGCACCCAAGAGUAAUAAGCUUCUCAACUUGUAACUUCCACGUAUCACCGUGGAUAACUCAAAUCGAUGCACCAAAUGCAAUGGCAAGGGCACACGGAGUGCCCAAGUCCUUCUCUCUCAAAUCCCACCGAAGCAACUGAUGCUAGGGAGGAAAAUGAGAGGAAGAACAAGGAGAAGACCAAGAACUCCAAGAUCUAGAUCCAAGGGGUUCCCCUCACAUAGAGGAGAAAGUGAUUUGUGGAAAUGUGGAUCUAGAUCUCCUCUCUCCUUUCCCCCCCAAACUAGCAAGAAUCCAUGGAGGGAUUGAGAGAUAGAAAGCUCGAAGAAGGCCAAGAAUGGGGAAAGAACACGAGCUCAAAGGAUUGGGUUCAUUGGUAGGAGGGGGAAAAUCCAACCGUUAUGCUCACAGCCCGCACAGAGCGGUACUACCGCUCCUACGAGCGGUACUACCGCUAGGGCGGCAGAAGCCCAAGAAACAACACUGCAAAGGGGCAACAGGGCGGUACUACCUCCUGCCCUUGCGGUACUACCACGCGACCACGGAAGUAAAAAAACUGCCGCGCCUACAACCGCUGGAGCUAGCUACGAGAAAAAGUUGGGACGGUACUACCGCUCACAGGGAGCGGUACUACCUCGUAAGGGUGGAUGUAAAAAAUUACAUCCGCGCCUACUAUCGUACGCAAUAGCGCCAGGACACGAGGCAGCGGUACUACCGCUAACCAAUAGCGGUACUACCGCGUAGGGCGCAGAAGUAAAAAAUUACUUCCGCGCCUACUUCCAUGCGCGCCAGCGUUCUGGGCUAGAGGCAGCGGUACUACCACUCACCAGGAGCGGUACUACCGCUGGCCCCUGCGGUACUACUGCUCCCUUGAGCAGUACUACCGCACGCCACAGAGGCUUUAGCACUUGGAUGCCUUCAAAACGCAGCUAAAGACAACAGACGGAUCCAAUAAAACCAGAACGGACAUAACUUCUGCAAACCAUCUCCGAAUUGAGCAAACUCAAGCUUGUUGGAUACAAGACAACGAGUAGCAUAAAACCAGCUUGUUGGAUAUAGUAAGAAGAGGCAGGGGAGGUAUGCGAAACAAAAAGAGGAGAGAAACCUCCAACAGAGAAGAACCGGCAGAACCUCCAACAUCGAAAACAUCAUAGAAGAUGCAUGUGAACUCCAUUUUCGAUGAACUCGAGCUUGUCAUCAAGAUGACCAUAAGCUCCAAAUCUCCCAAAGAGAACCAAACAAGAACCAAGAAAUAUGAUGCAAGGAUGCAAUGGUUUGAGCUCUCUACGAAUAAUACGAUCAAGCUACUCAUCGAGAGCCCCCCUUGAUAGUACGGCAAACGAUCCUAUAACCCGGUCUCCCAACUACCACCAUGAGACCGGUAAAAUGGAAAACCUAUCAAGGGAAAACCUUUGCCUUGCACAUGGUCCACUUGAGCUAGAUGAUGACGAUCUGUCUCCCUCAAGUUGGACCACCUUUCUUGAUUGCGUUGGCUCGAUGAAGACUAGUUGAUUGCUCCCCCAUACUCCACUAUGGGUGAGCCACUCUUCCGCACAUCUUCACAAGUCCAUUGUCACCACAAUGGACGGCAAGCUGCAAGCAUUUGAUCUCUUCGUGAUGCUCCACUUGAACUUGUACACCGCAACCUAACCCCACAAAAGAACUCUCACAUAGACCAUGGGUUAGUACACAAAAGCAUAAUUGACAAUGCUUACCAUACACACCAUUGCCUCUCGGUACUUCUUCUACACUUUGUGUGUUGAUCAACUUGAUUCACUCUUUGACUUAGUCUUGAUCAACCUCUCACAAGACCAAUCUUUAGGUAAUUCCUUGAAUAGCACCUUGGUCUACACAAACUCUCCUUGAAACCAACACAUGUACUCCAAGAAAAGCCUAUGGACAAAACCUUCAAAUAUAAAUCAAGGCAACCAUUAGUCCAUAGAGAUUGACAUCAAUUACCAAAACCAAACAUGGGGGCACCGCAUGUUCUUUCAACGUCGCUGUACCAGUGUAGGCUCGCUGGUCGGUGAGGAGUUGGAUCAGAUUCAUCAUGUAAUCUAGUUAGUUUUGUUAGGGCUUGAUCCCUAGUAUCCACUAUGUUCCGAGAUUGAUGUUGCUAUGACUUUGCCAUGCUUAAUGCUUGUCACUUUGGGCCCGGGUGCCAUGAUUCCAGAUCUAAACCGUUUAUGUUAUCACCAUUAUAUCUAUGUUCUAGAUCCGAUCUUGCAAGUUAUAGUCACCUACUACAUGUUAUGAUCCGCCAACCCCGGAGUGACAAUAGUCGGGACCACUCCCGGUGAUGACCGUAGUUUGAGGAGUUCAUAUAUUCACCGUGUGUUAAUGCUUUGUUCCGGUUCUCUUUAAAAGGAGGACUUAAUAUCCCUUAGUUUCCAAUAGGACCCCGCUGCCACGGGAGGGUAGGAAAAAAGAUUUCAUGAAAGUUAUUUCCAUAAGCACAUAUGACUAUUUACGGAAUACAUGCCUACAUUAUAUUUAUGAACGGGAGCUAGUGCCGUAUCGCCCUAGGUUAUGACUGUCACAUGAUGAAUAUCAUCCAAUGAAUCGUCGAUCCAAUGCCUAUGAAUUUAUCUCAUAUUGUUCUUGCUAAGUUACUAUUGCUAUCGUUACUGUUGCACUUGCUACAAUUAUCAAAACUAUCAUACUACUUUGCUACUGAUCACUUUGGUGCACAUAAUUAAUCUCCACGUGUGGUUCAAUUGACAACUCAGCUGCUAAUACUUACAAAUAUUCUUUGGCUCCCCUUGUGUCGAAUCUAUAAAUUUGGGUUGAAUACUAUACCCUCGAAAACUAUUGCGAUCCCCUAUACUUGUGGGUUAUCAGUGAUGUAGCAUAGUAGCAAAUAGUAUUUCAUGUUGGAAAAAUAUGCCCUAGAGGCAAUGAUACCUCCUUUUAGUGAUCCGGUAAUAGAACAAAAAGUAUCCCACAUCUAUUUCCCCAGAAGUUACCCUGGGUUAUCGAACCACCGAGAGGAAGGUCCCCUUGAAGCGAUGGUCUCUAGCAAGCUUUUGUAAAAAAAACAAUUCUAGCUUUUGACCGAUUUAUACUAAAAACACUUAUAAUAAAAAUAGGUAUGUGAUGAUCCACAAGUAUAGGGGGUCAAUCGUAGUCCUUUCAAUAAGUAAGACUGUCGAACCCAACGAGGAGCAGAAGGAAAUGACAAGCGGUUUUCAGCACGGUAAUGUCUGCAAGCACUGAAAUUGUCGAUAGCAGGUAGUUUGAUAGCAAGAUAAUCUAUAACGAGCAAGUAACGGCGACGGUAAAUAAAGUGUAGCAAGGUAUCCCAAUCCUUUUGUGGCAAAGGACAUGCCAAAAUGAUCUCUUAUAAUAAGCAAAGCGUUCUUGGGGGCACACGGGAAUUUCAUCUAGCCACUUUCAUCAUGUUGGUUUGAUUUGUGUUCGCUACUUUGAUAAUUUGGUAUGUGGGUGGACCGGUGCUUGGGUGCUAUUCUUACUUGAACAAACCUCCCACUUAUGAUUAACCCCCUUGCAAGCAUCUGCAACUACGAGAAAAGUAUUAAGAUAAAAAACCAUAGCAUUAAACAUUUGGAUCCAAAUCAGUCCCUUACGAAGUAGCGCAUAAACUAGGGUUUAAGCUUCUGUUAACUACUCCAUGCAUUCCCUUAGGCCCAAAGAUGGUGAGUUGCCAUGUAGUCGACGUUCACAUGACACCACUAAGGGAAUCACAACAUACAUAUCAUCAAAAUAUCGAACACAUAUCAACUUCACAUGAUUACUUGCAACAUGAUUUCUCCCGUGACCUCAAGAACAAAAGUAACUACUCACAUAUGAUAUUCAUGCUCAAGAUCAGAGGGGUAUUAAAUAGCAUAAUGGAUCUGAACAUAUAAUCUUCCACCAAAUAAACCAUAUAGUAAUCAACUACAACAUGUAAUCAACACUACUAGUCACCCACAGGUACCAAUCUGAGGUCCGGUACAAAGAUUGAAUACAAGAGAUGAACUAGGGUUUCAGAGGAGAUGGUGUUGUUGAAGAUGUUGAUGAAGAUUGGCCUCCCAAAGAUGAGAGGGUUGUCGGUGAUAAUGAUGGCUUCGAUUUCCACCUCCGGGAGGGAAGUUCCCCCCGCGGAAUUGCUCCCCCGGAGAGCAAAAGUGCUCCUGCCCAAGUUCCGCCUCGAGACGGCGGCGCUCCGUUCCGAAAGUCCUCUCCUGAUUUUCUAGGUCAAAAGACCUUAUGUACCAGAAGAUGGGCACCGGAGGUGGGCUGGGCUGGCGACAACCCACCAGGCACGCCUGGGGAGCCUGGCGCGCCCUGGUAUCUUUUGGUCACCAGGUGGCCCCCCUCCGGUUGUUAUUUGCUCCUGUAUUUUUUCUAUAUUCCAAAAUAAUUCUUUGUAAAUUUUCAGCUCAUUUGGGGAUGUGCAGAAUAGGUAUCUCUGACAUAGCUUUUUCAAUUCCAGAAUUCCAGCUGCCGGCAUUCUCCCUCUUUUUGCAAACCUUGCAUAUUGUGAGAGAAAAGGCUUUAGAAUUACUCCAAAAAGCAUUAUUAUGCAUAAAAACAUUAUAAAUAACAAUAAGAAAACAUGAUGCAAAAUGGGUGUUGAUAGCUCGUAUCCGCUUCAGUAUUUUCCCCAAAGAGGAAGGGAUGAUGCAGCACAGCUUUGGUAGGUAUUUCCCCCAGUUAUGAAACCAAGGUUACCGAACCAGUAGGAGAACCAAGCAACACUAUGUAAACGGUACCUGCACACAAAGAACAAAUACUUGCAACCCGACGCGUAAGAGGGGUUGUCAAUCCCUCUCGGGUAAAAGAAUGGUAAAUUGAUAGAUCGGUAGAUGCAGAUAGAAUAAUGGCAAAUAAAAUUCAGCGAGGUAUUUUUGGGUUUUUAAUAAUAAAGAUCUAAAAAUAAAAGAUGCAAAUAAAGAAAAAGGCAAAUAGCAAUAUAGAUCUGAAAAUAUAUGAUGGGAAAAUAGCCCCGGGGGGCGUAGAUUUCACUAGUGGCUUCUCUCGAUAAAAUAGCAUACGGUGGGUAAACAAAUUACUGUUGGGCAAUUGAUAGACCAUCAAAUAAUUAUGACGAUAUCCAGGCAAUGAUCAUUAUAUAGGCAUCAUGUCAAAGAUAAGUAGACCGACUCCUACCUGCAUCUACUACUAUUACUCCACACAUGGACCUCUAUCCGGCAUGCAUCUAGUGUAUUAAGUUCAUGGAGAAACGGAGUAAUGCAAUAAGAACAAUGACAUGAUGUUGACGAGAUCUAUUCAUGUAGGAUUAGCCCCAUCUUGUUAUCCUUAAUAGCAACGAUACAUGCGUGUCUUGCUGCCCCUUCUGUCACUUGGAAAGAAUACGGCACGAUCGAACCCAUCACAAAGCACCUGUUCCCAUGGCAUGAAAAAUCGAUCUAGUUGGCCUAACCAAACCAAAGAUUCAAAGAAGAAAUACGAGGCUAUAAGUAAUCAUGCAUAUAAGAGAUAAAAAAACUCAAAUAACUUUCAUGGAUAUAGAUCUAGUCAUAAACUCAAAGUUCAUCAGAUCCCAACAAACACACCGCAAAAAGAGUUACAUCAAAUAGAUCUCUAAGAGACCAUUGUAUUGAGAACCAAAAAGAGAGAAGAAUCCAUCUAGCUGCUGCCUACGGACCCAUAGGUCUACAAUGAACUACUCAUGCCUCAUCAGAGAGGCACCAAUGAGGAUGAUGAACCCCUCUGUGAUGGUGUCCAGAUUGGAUCUCGUGGUUCUGGAACUUGUGGCGGCUGCAAUUGUGUUUCGUCGACUCCCCUAGGGUUUCUGGAUUUUUGGGGUAUUUAUAGAGCAAAGAGGCGGUGCGGGAGGCCACCUAGGUGGGCACAACCCACCAGGGCGCGCCUGGGCCCCCAGGCGCGCCCAGGUGGGCUGUGCCCCCCCCCCCUCGGGGCACCCCUCUGGUACUUCUUUGGCCCAAGUUGUUCCUUCUGGUCAAUAAAAAUUCUCCAAAAAGUUUUGCUGCAUUUGGACUCCGUUUGGUACCGAUAUUCUGUGAAGUAAAAAACAAUAGUCUGAAAAAAUGAUAUAAAGUUUCUAUAAAAUGAUUGUAAAACAUCCAAGAAUGAUAAUAUAACAGCAUGGAACAAUAAAAAAUUAUAGAAACGUUGGAGACGUAUCAAGCGUAUCAACUCCCCCAAGCUUAGACCUCACUUGUCCUCAUGCGAAAGCCGAUAUCGAAAAACAUGUCCACAUGGUUUCAGAGAGAGAGGUAUCGAUAAAAACAAAAUAUGGACAUAUUAUUAUAACAACAAGAAACUUUAUCACAAAACUUUUUCAUAUAACUUUUAUCAUAUAAUUUCUCAUGAACAAGUAACAAUUCAUCACAAAUCAAAGUAGAAAGCAUAAACUUUAUUAAAAACAAACAAACUAUGUUCUCAGCCAACUUUGCAACUAUAAUUCAUCAUAUUUCCAGGAAGGGUCACGUACCGGAGCCUUUUGGCAAGUCCACAUACUCAACCAUCUUUUAGUCUUCUAUGAUUGCUAACACUCGUCGCAUACCCAUGAGCAAAAAGUUUCAACCAGACACAUAGAAAGAUAGGGGCUUAUAGUUUCGCCUCCCAACGUAUUCACCUCAAGGGUGAUGUUAACAAUAAUAACUCAUGCUCACUCAUAUCCAACUAGAUAUAUGUGCCUAGAUCUUUCCUUACCACAUGAUGCUUGCAAAAAGAGAAAAAUAAAAAGGAAUAGGGAAGAAUACUUUGACUUUUACAUAAAAGUAAAUACAUAAAGGUAAAAGAUAGGCCCUUCGCAGAGGGAAGCAGAGGUUAUCAUGCGCUUUUUGGUUUGUAUGCCAAAUCCCUUAAUACAAAAGAACGUCAUGUUAUAUUGCCCCUUAUGAUAGCAACCUUUAUUAUGUAGUCCGUCGCUUUUAUUACUUUGCCAUCACUAUAGGAUUGAAAUCUAUAUCAAGCACAAUAAAAUCUACGGGCACAUAAUUCCUGUUUGCAAAAAUAAGAACCUCAUUAAUUCUUCCCAUAGGUUUCUUAAUAGUGGAAUCCGCGAGAUGCAAAUUUAAAGAACAAUCAUCAAAUUCACGAAAACCUAGCACAUCACAUAAAGUUUUUGGAAUCGUGGAAACGCUAGCACCCAAAUCACACCAAGCAUGGCACUCAUAAUUUUUAAUUUUAAUCUUAAUAGUAGGUUCCCACUCAUCAUAAAGCUUUCUAGGGAUAGAAACUUCCACUCAAGUUUUUCUUCGAAAGAUUUCAUCAUAGCAUCAACGAUAUGUUUAGUAAAAGCUUUAUUUUGAUUACAAGCAUGAGGAGAAUUCAACAUGGAUUGCAACAAGGAAAUACAAUCUAUCAAAGAACAAUUAUCAUAAUUAAAAUUCUUGAAAUCAAAAAGAGUGGGUUCAUCGCUACUUAAAGUUUUGACCUCUCCAAUCCCACUUUUAUCAAUUUUUGCAUCAAGAUCUAUAAACUCCGAAUCAUUGGGAUGCCUUUUAACUAAAGUUGACUCAUCUCCAGUCCCAUCUUUAUCAAGAUUUAUAUUCGAAAACAAAGAUUCAAUAGGAGUCACUUCAAUCACUUUAAGAUCUUUAUCGUUAUUUUCACAAAACUAGAAGAGCACGCUUUUACAAACCAAUCUCGCUUAGCACGCAUCCUAGUAGUUCUUUCUUUGCACUCAUCAAUAGGAAUUUUAAUAGCUUUCAGAGAUUCAUUAAUAUCAUGCUUGGGUGGAAUAGAUCUAAUUUUUAAAGAAUCAAUCUCAAGAGAAAUUCUAUCCAUGUUCCUAGCCAAAUCAUCAAUCUUAAGCAAUUUUUCUUCAACCAUAGCAUUGAAAUUCUUUUGAGAACUAAUGAAAUCUUUAAUAUUGUUCUCAAGAUCAGAGGGCAUCUUAUAAUAUUUUCCAUAAGAAUUGUUGUAGGAACUACCAUAAGUAUUAGAGGAAUUACUAGGAACGUCCUAGGAUUAAAAUUACCUCUUGAUAUGUCUCCAAUGUAUCUGCUACCUCUUGAGCACUGCGAUGGUUUUCCCUUGAAGAGGAAAGGGUGAUGCAGCAAAGUAGCGUAAGUAUUUCCCUGAGUUUCCCCAAACCAAACUGAUAAUUCGAAGAGACUUGCAAAGAUAACCAAUCAUACAUAAAAGAAUUUAGAGGAGAUUCAAAUAUCGUUCAUAGAUAAUCUUGAUCAUAAACCCACAAUUCAUCGGAUCUCGACAAACACACCGCAAAAGAAGAGUUACAUCAAAUAGAUCUCCAAGAGAAUCGAGGAGAACUUUGUAUUGAGAUCCAAAGAGAGAGAAGAAGCCAUCUAGCUAAUAACUAUGGACCCGAAGGUCAGAGGUAAACUACUCACACAUCAUCGGAGAGGCUAUGGUGUUGAUGUAGAAGCCCUCCGUGAUCAAUGCCCCCUCCGGCGGAGCACCGGAAAAGGUCCCAAGAUGGGAUCUCACGGGUACAGAAGGUUGCGGCGGUGGAAAUAGGGUUUUUUCUCCGUAUAUGAUGUUUCCAGGGUAUAUGAGUAUAUAUAGGCGAAGGAGGUCGGUCAGGAGAGCUACGAGGGGCCCACGAGGGUGGAGGGCGCGCCCAGGGGAGUAGGCGCGCCCCCCUGCCUCGUGGCCUCCUCGUUGAUUGCUUGACGUCCACUCCAAGUCCUCUAGGUCACGUUUGUUCCGAAAAUCACGUUCCCGAAGGUUUAAUUCCGUUUGGACUCCGUUUGAUAUCCUUUUCCUUCGAGACACUGAAAUAGGCAAAAAACAACAUUUUGGGUUGGGCCUCCGGUUAAUAGGUUAGUCCCAAAAAUAAUAUAAAAGUGUAUAAUAAAGCCCAUCAAACGUCCAGAACAGAAUAUAUAAUAGCAUGGAACAAUAAAAAAUUAUAGAUACGUUGGAGACGUAUCAAGCAUCCCCAAGCUUAAUUCCUGCUCGUCCUCGAGUAGGUAAAUGAUAAAAACAGAAUUUUUGAUGUGGAAUGCUACUUGGCAUAAUUUUUAAUGUAAUUCUCUUAUUUGUGGCAUGAAUAUUCAGAUCCGAAAGAUUCAAUAUAAAAUUUUAAUAUUGACAUAAACGUAAUAAUACUUCAAGCAUACUAACUAAGCAAUUAUGUCUUCUCAAAAUAACAUGGCCAAAGAAAGUUCAUCCCUACAAAAUCAUAUAGUUUGGUCAUGCUCCAUUUUCGUCACACAAGAAUGCUCUCAUCAUGCACAACCCCGAUGAGAAGCCAAGCAAUUGUUUCAUACUUUAGUAAUCUCAAACUUUUUUCAACUUUCACGCAAUAUAUGAGCGUGAGCCAUGGAUAUAGCACUAUGGGUGGAAUGGAAUAUGAUGAUGAGGGUUAUGUGGAGAAGACAAAAAAGGAGAAAGUCUCACAUUGACGCGGCUAAUCAACGAGCUAGGGAGAUGCCCAUCGAUUGAUGUCAAUGCAAGGAGUAGGGAUUGCCAUGCAACGGAUGCACUAGAGCUAUAAAUGCAUGAAAGCUCAACAAAAGAAACUAAGUGGGUGUGCAUCCAACUUGCUUGCUCACGAAGACCUAGGGCAUUUGAGGAAGCCCAUUGUUGGAAUAUACAAGCCAAGUUCUAUAAUGAAAAAUUCCCACUAGUAUAUGAAAGUGACAAAACAAGAGACUCUCUAUCAUAAAGAUCAUGGUGCUACUUUGAAGCACAAGUGUGGAAAAAAGGAUAGUAGCAUUGUCCCCUUUUUUAUUUUCUUUUUUUUGGGCCUUUCCUUUUUUUGGCCUUUCCCUUUUUUUAUUUGGGACCAUGCUCUAUGAAUGAUGAUCAUCACACUUCUAUUUAUUUACAACUCAAUGAUUACAACUCGAUACUAAAACAAAGUAUGACUCUAUAUGAAUGCCUCCGGCGGUGUACCGGGAUGAGCAAUGAAUCAAGAGUGACAUGUAUGAAAUAAUAUGCAUGGUGGCUUUGCCACAAAUACGAUGUCAACUACAUGAUUAUGCAAGGCAAUAUGACAAUGAUGAAACGUGUCAUGAUAAACGAAACGGUGGAAAGUUGCAUGGCAAUAUAUCUCGGAAUGGCUAUGGAAAUGCCAUAAUAGGUAGGUAUGGUGGCUGUUUUGAGGAAGAUAUAAGGAGGUUUAUGUGUGAUAGAGCGUAUCGUAUCACGGGGUUUGGAUGCACCGGCGAAGUUUGCACCAACUCUCAAGGUGAGAAAGGGCAAUGCACGGUACCGAAGAGGCUAGCAAUGAUGGAAGGGUGAGAGUGCGUAUAAUCCAUGGACUCAACAUUAGUCAUAAAGAACUCACAUACUUAUUGCAAAAAUCUACAAGUCAUCAAAAACCAAGCACUACGCGCAUGCUCCUAGGGGGAUAGAUUGGUAGGAAAAGACCAUCGCUCGUCCCCGACCGCCACUCAUAAGGAGGACAAUCAAAGAACACCUUGUGUUUUAAAUUUGUUACACAACGUUUACCAUACGUGCAUGCUACGGGACUUGCAAACUUCAACACAAGUAUUUCUCAAAUUCACAAUUACUCAACUAGCACAACUUUAAUAUUACUACCUCCAUAUCUCAAAACAAUCAUCAAGCAUCAAACUUUUCUUAGUAUUCAACGCACUUAUAAGAAAGUUUUUACUAAUCUUGGAUGCCUAUCAUAUUAGGACUAAUUUCACAAUUUAAGAAAAUUGCCAAGAUGUUUUCUAGGACUCUCAAAAUGAUAUAAGUGAAGCAUGAGAGAACAAUAUUUUCUAUAAAACAAAACCACCACCGUGCUCUAAAAGAUAUAAGUGAAGCACUAGAGCAAAAACUAUAUAGCUCAAAAGAUAUAAGUGAAGCACAUAGAGUAUUCUAAUAAAUUCCGAAUCAUGUGUGUCUCUCUCAAAAGUGUAUUCAGCGAGGAAGAUUGUGGUAAACUAAAAGCAAAGACUCAAACCAUACAAGGCGCUCUAAGCAAAACACAUAUCAUCUGGUGAAUAAAAAUAUAGCUGCAAGUAAAGUUACCGAUGGACGAAGACGAAAGAGGGGAUGCCUUCCGGGGCAUCCCCAAGCUUUGGCUUUUUGGUGUCCUUGGAUUUACCUUGGGGUGCCUUGGGUAUCCCCAAGCUUAUGCUCUUGCCACUCCUUGUUCCAUAAUCCAUCAAAUCCUUACCCAAAACUUGUAAACUUCACAACACAAAACUUAAGAGAAAAUCUCGUGAGCUCCGCUAGCGAAAGAAAACAAAAAACCACUUAAAGGUACUGUAAUGAACUCAUUCUUUAUUUGUAUUGGUGUUAAACCUUCUGUAUUCCAACUUCUCUAUGGUUUAUAAACUAUUUUACUAACCAUAGACUCAUCAAAAUAAGCAAACAACACACGAAAAACAGAAUCUGUCAAAAACAGAACAGUCUGUAGUAAUCUGUAUCUAACGCAAACUUCUGGAACUCAGAAAAAUCUACCAAAAUAGGAAGACCUAGAUAAUUUGUUUAUUGAUCUGCUGAAAUUGGAAUCAGUAUUUUAUCGCGUUCUGGUGAUUUUUAACAAAUUUUUUAGUGAAGAGAAAGUUUUGACUUUUUCAGCAAGAUCAAAUCACUAUCAUCCAAGAAGAUCCUAUAGGUUUCACUUGGCACAAACACUAAUUAAACAUAAAAAAAUCUAACCAGAGGCUAGAUCAAAGAUUUAUUACUAAACAGAAAAAAAAGCAAGAAACAAAAAUAAAAUUGGGUUGCCUCCCAACAAGCGCUAUCGUUUAACGCCCCUAGCUAGGCAUUGAGAUUUUGAUGAUGCUCACAUGAAAGACAAGAAUUGAAGCGCAAAGAGAGCAUCAUGAAACAUGUGACAAACACAUCUAACUAUAACAUACUUCCUAUGCAUAGGCAUCUUAUAAGCAAACAAAUUAUCAAGACAAGCAAAAGCUAGCAUAUGCAAGGAAGAAGAAAGAGACGAUAGCAAUCUCAAGAUGAGGAGAGGUAAUUUAGUAACAUGAAAAUUUCUAAAACCAUAUUUUCCUCUCUCAUAAUAAUUACAUGUGGGAUCAUAAGAAAAUUCAACAAUAUAGCUAUCACAUAACAUAUUAUCAACACGAUCCACAUGCAUGCAAAGUUGACGCUCUUCCAAAAUAGUGGGAUUAACAUUAGCUAAAGUCAUGACCUCUCCAAACCCACUUUUAUCAAAAAUACCAUAAGAUUGAACAUUCUCCAAAUAUGUGGGAUCUAAAGUUGACACUCUUCCAAACCCACUUUCAAUAUUAUUGCAAACACUAUUAUCAAUCUCAUAUUCAUCAUUGGGCUUAAAUAAAUUUUCAAGAUCAUAAGAAGAAUCACCCCAAUCAUGGUCAUUGCAACAAGUAGUAGACAUAGCAAAACUAGCAUCCCCAAGCUUAGGGUUUUGUAUAUUAUUAGCACAAUUGACAUCAAGAAAAUUUAUAGUAAAAUCAUGGCAAUCAUGCUUUUUAUUCAAGGAGCUAUCGUGAAUCUCUUCAUAAAUUUCUUCGUCACAAUUUUCAGAUUCACAAAUUUCAAGCAAAACCUCAUAAAGAUAAUCCAGUGCACUCAACUCACUAGCAAUAGGUUCAUCAUAAGUGGAUCUCUUAAAAAGAUUAGCAAGGGGAUGAGGAUCCAUAACCUUUUAGCAAGCGAAGAUGCGAGCAAAAAGAAGGUACAUGGUAACACAAGCAAACAAAAGAUUGAACGGAAGAAGGGCGAAGAAUUUCCAUAAGAAUUGUUGUAGGAACUACCAUAAUUAUUAGAGGAAUUACUAGGAACGUCCUAGGAUUAAAAUUACCUCUUGAUACGUCUCCAACGUAUCUGCUACCUCUUGAGCACUAUGUUGGUUUUCCCUUGAAGAGGAAAGGGUGAUGCAGCAAAGUAGCGUAAGUAUUUCCCUCCGUUUUUGAGAACCAAGGUAUCAAUCCAGUAGGAGACCACGCUCAAGUCCCACGCACCUACACAAACAAAUAAGAACCUUGCAACCAACGCGAUAAAGGGGUUGUCAAUCCCAUCACGGCCACUUGCAAAAGUGAGAUCUGAUAGAGAUGAUAAGAUAAUAUUUUUGGUAUUUUUAUGAUAAAGACUAAAAGUAAAGAAAGCAAAAUAAACGGCGCCAGAAAUAGCUUGUUGACGGGAGAUUAAUAAGAUAGAAAAUAGACCCGGGGGCCAUAGGUUUCACUAGUGGCUUCUCUCAAGAUAGCAUAAGUAUUACGGUGGGUAAACGAAUUACUGUCGAGCAAUUGAUAGAAUUGAGCAUAGUUAUGAGAAUAUCUAGGUAUGAUCAUGUAUAUAGGCAUCACGUCCGUGACAAGUAGACUGACUCCUGCCUGCAUCUACUACUAUUACUCCACACAUCGACCGCUAUCCAGCAUGCAUCUAGAGUAUUAAGUUCAUAAGAACAGAGUAACGCUUUAAGCAAGAUGACAUGAUGUAGAGGGAUAAACUCAUGCAAUAUGAUAUAAACCCCAUCUUUUUAUCCUCGAUGGCAACAAUACAAUACGUGUCGUUUCCCCUACUGUCACUGGGAUCGAGCACCGCAAGAUUGAACCCAAAGCUAAGCACUUCUCCUAUUGCAAGAAAGAUCAAUCUAGUAGGCCAAACCAAACUGAUAAUUCGAAGAGACUUGCAAACAUAACCAAUCAUACAUAAAAGAAUUCAGAGGAGAUUCAAAUAUUGUUUAUAGAUAAUCUUGAUCAUAAACCCACAAUUCAUCGGAUCUCGACAAACACACCGCAAAAGAAGAGUUACAUCAAAUAGAUCUCCAAGAGAAUCGAGGAGAACUUUGUAUUGAGAUCCAAAGAGAGAGAAGAAGCCAUCUAGCUAAUAACUAUGGACCCGAAGGUCUGAGGUAAACUACUCAGACAUCAUCGAAGAGGCUAUGGUGUUGAUGUAGAAGCCCUCCGUGAUCAAUGCCCCUCCGGCGGAGCGCCAGAAAAGGCCCCAAGAUGGGAUCUCACGGGGUACAGAAGGUUGCGGCGGUGGAAAUAGGGUUUUCGCUCCGUAUAUGAUAUUUCCAGGGUAUAUGAGUAUAUAUAGGCGAAGGAGGUCGGUCAGGAGAGCUACGAGGGGCCCACGAGGGUGGAGGGCGCGCCCAGGGGGUAGGCGCGCCCCCUGCCUCGUGGCCUCCUCGUUGAUUGCUUGACGUCCACUCCAAGUCCUGUGGAUCAUGUUUGUUCGGAAAAUCACGUUCCCGAAGGUUUCAUUCCGUUUGGACUCCGUUUGAUAUCCUUUUCCUUCGAAACACUGAAAUAGGCAAAAAACAGCAAUUUGGGCUCGGCCUCCAGUUAAUAGGUUAGUCCCAAAAAUAAUAUAAAAGUGUAUAAUAAAGCCCAUUAAACGUCCAAAAUAGAAUAUAUAAUAGCAUGGAACAAUCAAAAAUUAUAGAUACGUUGGAGACGUAUCAGUAUCUAUAAUUUUUGAUUGUUCCAUGAUAUUAUAUUAUCUAUUUUGGAUGUUUUAUAUGCAUUAUUAUGCUAUUUUAUAUUAUUUUUGGGACUAACCUAUUAACCUAGAGCCCAGUGCCAGUUUCCGUUUUUUCCUUGUUUUUGUGUUUCGCAGCAAAGGAAUAUCAAACGGAAUAAAACUUCACGAUGAUUUUUCUUGGACCCGAAGACACCCAGAGGACUUGGAGUCCAAGCUAGAAGAUCCACGAGGUGGCGGCAAGGGUGGAGGGUGCUCCCUAGGGGGGGGGGCGCCCCCUACCUUGUGGCCCCCUUGGGACUCCCCUAACCUAACUCUUCGUCCUAUAUAUUCACAUAUAUUCCAGAACCAUCAGAGAGAGACACAGAAGUACUUUUCCGCUGCCGCAACCUUCUAUUCCCGUGAGAUCCCAUCUUAGGGCCUUUUCCGGCAUCCUGCCGGAGGGGGAUUCGAUCACGGAGGGCAUCUACAUCAACCCUAUUGCCCUUCCGAUGAAGCGUGAGUAGUUUACCACAGACCUAUGGGUCCAUAGCUAGCAGCUAGAUGGCUUCUCUCUCUCUUUGAUCCUCAAUACCAUGUUCUCCUCGAUGUUCUUGGAGAUCUAUCCGAUGUGAUCUUCUUUUGAAGUGUGUUUGUCAAGAUCCGAUGAAUUGUGGAUUUAUGAUCAUCUUAUCUAUGAAUAUUAUUUGAAUCUUCUCUGAAUUCUUAUAUGCAUGAUUUGAUAUCUUUGUACUUCUCUUCAAAUUAUCGGUUUGGUUUGGCUAACUACAUUGGUUUUUCUUGCAAUGGUAGAGGUACUUAGCUUUGGGUUCAAUCUUGCGUGAUUUCACCCAGUGACAAAGUAGGGGUAGCGAGACACAUAUUGAAUUGUUUCCAUCAAGGAUAACAAGAUGGGGUUUUCAUCAUAUUGCUUGAGUUUAUCCCGCUACAUCAUGUCAUCUUACUUAAUGCGUUACUCUGUUAUUAUGAACUUAAUACUCUAGAUGCAGGCAAGAGUCGAUCGAUGUGUGGAGUAAUAGUAGUAGAUGCAGGCAGGAGUCGGUCUACUUGAUAUGGAUGUGAUGCCUAUAUUUCAUAAUCAUUGCCUUGGAUAUCGUCAUAACUUUGCACUUUUCUAUGAAUUGCUCGGCAGUAAUUUAUUCACCCACCAUAUUAUUUGCCUGGAUGAGAGAAGCCUCUAGUGAAACCUAUGGCCCCCGGGUCUAUUUUCCAUCAUAUUUGCUUUCCGAUCUACUAUUAUGCAAUCUUUCCAGAUCUAUAAACCAAAAAACACAAAAAUAUUUUAUCUUUUAUCUUCUCUAUCAGAUCUCACCUUUGCAAUUGACCAUGAAGGGAUUGACAACCCCUUUAUCGCGUUGGGUGCAAGUGUUCGAUUGUUUGUGCAGGUGCAUCGAUUGGGGACUUGCUUGUACCUCCUACUGGAUUGAUACCUUGGUUCUCUGAGGGAAAUACUUAUCUCUACUUUGCUGCAUCACCCUUUCCUCUUCAAGGGAAAACCAACUCAAGCUGAAGAAGUAGCACCUCUAUACGCGUUAUUACCAAAAUUGUUCAUACCAACAAAAUUCACAUCCAUAGAUUCAUUAUUAUUCUCAAUCAAAGUAGACAAAGGCAUAUCAUUAGGAUCAAUAGGAGCACUCUUACUAGCAAACAAUUUCAUAAGUUCAUCCAUCUUUCCACUCAAAACAUUGCAUGCACUUUUUUACUAGUAGAGAAUCUUUCGGUAUGCCGUUGAGAGUAAUUAGCCAUGAUGUUGUCUAGGAGUUUAGUAGCUUCUCCUAAUGUGAUUUCCAUAAAAGUGCCUCGUGUGGCCGAAUCUAAAAGAUUUCUAGAAGCAGAAUUCAAUCCGACAUAAUUUUUUUGUAUGAUCAUCCAUGAACUUAAACCAUGAGUAGCGCAAUUUCGUAUCAUCAAUUUCAUCCUCUCCCAAGAUUGUGCAACAUUUUCAUGAUCAAGUUGCUUAAAAUUAAUUAUAUCGUGCCUAAGGGAGAUGAUCUUAGCGGGAGGAAAAUACUUGGAAAUAAAAGCAUCUUUACACUUAUUCCAUGAAUCAAUACUAUUUUUAGGCAAAGGUGAAAACCAAGUUUUAGCACGAUCUCGUAGUGAGAACGGAAAUAGCUUCAAUUUAACAAUAUCAUUAUCCACAUCUUUCUUCUUUUGCAUAUCACACAACUCAAUGAAAGUAUUUAGAUGGGAUGCGGCAUCUUCGCUAGGAAGGCCGGAAAAUUGAUCUUUCAUAACAAGAUUCAACAAAGAAGCAUUGAUUUCAUAAGAUUCCGCACUAGUGGCGGGAGCAAUCGGAGUACUAAUAAAAUCAUUAUUAUUAGUAUUGGAAAAAUCACACAAUUUGGUAUUAUCUUGAGACAUCGUGACAACAUAAGCAAUCUAACACAUGAGCAACCAAAAAGCAAACGAAAAGCAAAUGAAAAGACGAACAGAAGAAGGGCGAAUAAAAAGGCAAUUUUUUUGUAUUUUUCUGAAUACGUUUUAGAAGUGGGGGAGAGGAAAACGAGAGGCAAAUGGAAAAUGCAAGAUAUGAGAGUUUAUGAUGGGUACUUUGUAGGCUUGAUGUGGAUCUCCCCAGCAACGGCGCCAGAAAUUCUUACUGCUACUUCCCGACCUUGCGUUGGUUUUUCCUUUGAAGAGGAAAGGGUGAUGCAGCAAAGUAGAGAUAAGUAUUUCCCUCAGUUGAGAACCAAGGUAUCAAUCCAGUAGGGGAUACAAGCAAGUCUCCAAUCUAUGCACUUGCACAAACAAUCAAACACUUGCACCCAAUGCGACAAAGGGGUUGUCAAUCCCUUCACGGUCACUUGCAAUGGUGAGAUCUGAUGGAGAUAGAUGUAAAAGAUUACUAAAACGUAAAACAAAAUAAAAGUAAAUAAAUUGCAGCAAGGUAUUUUUGGGUUUUUGGUUUAUAGAUCUGAAAACAUAUGAUGAAAUAUAGACCCGGGGCCAUAGGUUUCACUAGAGGCUUCUCUCUUGAAGGAAAAUAAUACGGUGGGUGAACAAAUUACUGUCUAGCAAUUGAUAGAAAAGUGCAAAAUUAUGACGAUAUCCAAGGCAAUGAUUAUGCAUAUAGGCAUCACGUCUGUGUCAAGUAAACCGACUCCUGCCUGCAUCUACUACUAUUACUCACACAUCGACCGCUAUCCAGCAUGCAUCUAGAGUAUUAAGUUCAUAAAGAAUGGAGUAACGCCUUAAGUAAGAUGACAUGAUGUAGAGGGAUAAACUCAAGCAAUAUGAUGAAAACCCCAUCUUUUUACACUAGAUGGCAACAAUAGAAUACGUGUCUCGCUACCCCUACUUUGUCACUGGGUGAAAUCACGCAAGAUUGAACCCAAAACUAAGCACCUCUCCCAUUGCAAGAAAAACCAAUCUAGUUGGCCAAAAAAACCGAUAAUUCGAAGAGAAAUACAAAGAUAUCAAACCAUGCAUAUAAGAAUUCAGAGAAGAUUCAAAUAAUAUUCAUAGGUAAGCUAAUCGUAAAUCCACAAUUCAUCGGAUCUCGACAAACACACCGCAAAAGAAGAUUACAUCGGAUAGAUCUCCAAGAACAUCGGGGAGAACAUUGUAUUGAAGAUCAAAGAGAGAGAAGAAGCCAUCUAGCUACUAGCUAUGGAACCGUAGGUCGGUAAACUACUCACGCUCCAUUGGAAGGGCAAUAGAGUUGAUGUAGAUGCCCUCCGUGAGCGAAUCCCCCUCCGGCAGGGUGCCGGAAAAGGCCCCAAGAUGGGAUCUCACGGGAACAGAAGGUUACGGCAGCGGAAAAGUAUUUUGGUGGAUGCUUCUGGUGCUUUUGGAAUAUUUGAGGAUUUAUAGAGUUGAGAGGGAGGUCGGUGGACUCCCGUGGGGCCCACAAGUGAGGGCCCCCCUAGGGCGCACCCUGAGGGCUUGUGGAGCCCUCGGGAUUCUUCUGACUUGGCCUCCAAGUUCCGUGGAUGUCUUCUGGUCCAAGAAAAAUCCGUAAAGUUUUAUUCUAUUUGGACUCCGUUUGAUAAUCCUUUUCUGUAAAACUCAAAAACAAGGAAAAACAGAAACUGGCACUGGGCUCUAGGUUUAGGUUAGUCCCAAAAAUAAUAUAAAAUAGCAUAUUAAUGCAUAUAAAACAUCCAAAACAGAUAAUAUAAUAGCAUGGAACAAUCAAAAAUUAUAGAUACGUUGGAGACGUAUCACACGCGUCCUGCAUCAAGAAUCAUUUGUCCAACCGAAUGCCCUAUCCGUCGUGCGUGGUUGCCUCGAUAAUUAAGAUUAUAAUAAUCAGACAAGAGCUUUGGGCGUUUAAUGACUACACCUCUUGAAUCCCCAGAGAUUGGCUUAACCCUUCUGUCACCGAUGUUCAGAAUAACACUUCACGGUCUACCUGCCCUUAGACUCUCCUUGGCCCACUCUCCAUGAUCCUGGGUACCUGCAGGGAUGUGGAACACAGACGAGACAAGAGACAUCUACGGAACAAUUUUAUUUCGCACAAACGGGAUGUUAAUUCAAAGCACCUACAUUGAUCCCCACAACAAAUGCAGAGGGUUGCAAGGCCUUUUCCUCAACCCAUACCUUACCGAACUACUUACACAUGGAGAUCAGAUCACACGAAUAACGCAUUGAAGAACACAUCACGGAGAUUGAUUGAUUGAUAAUAUUUCUUACAAUGGAUGUCGUGUGCGAUGCACGAUUACAAGUGUGAUCUAGAGGAAUAUGAACUAUGGUGGUGAUGGUGGCUAUGGAGACGGGAAUGGUGGCGGCCAGGGUUGAUGAAGAGGGAUGAAGAUAUCUCUGUUCUGGCUUUGCUCUGGAUGUUCUGUUUUUUCGAGAUGAAGAGGGAAUGGUGCUCUGGAUGUUUUUUUUGAGACGGUCAAAGCCCUUUGACCAGACGGUAACGGCGCAAAAGGGCAUUUUUGUAAGGGCACCUAACGACAGAGGGGCAAAUUUGAGCAGGCUUUGAAAUUAGGGGCAAACCUGAGUAGGUGGUUCGAGUUAGGGACAUAAAUGCAAACGGCCCAAAAAUAAAAUAGGAAAAAGAAAAGAAAACAAAAAAGCAUAGAAAACGGGAAGAAAAAUGGAAACAAAAAUAAAAAACCUACUGAGACCUUCUAGAACCAUAACCUUCUGUGAUAAAGGAAGUGCAGUACGUAGUAUGCCCUGUAUGGGCUAGCCCGUUACAAAGGUGGUGUGAGUAUCAUGUAUGAAAAUGCCAUGUAAGAGUAUCUACAGCCGGACUUGGCAAAUCCGGCCCCUCAAACACCCGCGGACGGGCCUAGGCACGCCCGCGGACGCAUUCAGACAGGCCCUUAUAUUUCGUUCCGGCAUCCACAUAUCUCAAAUCCGGACUCUCAAAUCCAUGCAAAUACAUGCACAUCGAUCAUGCAACAGAAUGUCUCACGUAAAUAGCUAUUGUUCUAUCAAGCAUGCAUAGCGUUUACAAUAAUUCCGGCCGGUCAAUGUGUCGAACACAUCAAGCGCAAGGCGGAUCCGGAGAGUUGCCGGACGUACCACGGUGGCAUCUGGGCCGGCGACGACGUCCCCGCGGCGAGGACGGGAGCGCUCUUCCGGACUUACUGGCGGAGAGCCUGGGAAUGGCUGUGGAGCAGGCGGAGCUGCGAGCCGGACGACACGGAGGAGGAAGAAGAGAGGAGAGAGCAAAUGGAUCCGGCAGCUCGCGGGGUGGAUUUGGUGCAAUUUGGGGUGGGGUUGGGCUGUCGGGUUGGACGUGAUGGGCGUGCCCAGACGCCCCAUAUCCGCCCCAUAUUUGGGCUGGAUAUGGGGGUGCUGGUCAGCCCGGGCCUUGAAAGCAAUCAUGUGGCCUGAGGGCCAAACGGCUGUUGCGGCCUUGAAAGCAAUCAUGUGGCCUGAGCGCCAAACGGCUGUUGCGGCCUUGAAAGCAAUCAUGUGGCCGAGCGCCAAACGGCUGUUGCGGCCUUGAAAGCAAUCAUGUGGCCUAAGCGCCGAAUGGCUGUUGCGACCUUGAAAGCAAACAUGAGGCUUGUGAGCCAACGGCUAUUGCAGCCUUAAAAGCAAAUAUGCGACCUAUGAGCCAACUUUUUUUGGUCAUGCCUUGAAAGCUGGCCUAACGAAUAUUUGAGAUUUGCAUAUUUUCUGUUUUGGUUUUCAAAUGUUUUUAUGCCACAGGUACGCAUCGGUGCUAUACAAACGGUUUUUAACCCCUUUCCGGGACGGCGUUCGGAACCGUCACCUAGUGAGUGUGGGCGAUAGGGGGGUCCUUCCCACAUGACCCAGAAACCGUCGAGGGUAUGCCCUCCUGGCACACACGCUCGGCAAAAUAAGGUCGUGUGCGACCGGCGAGCACUCAAAUACAGAAAUACAUACAGUAGUGCUAAAAAAUACAAUUAUACAGGCGAAAUCAUUUCCGGUCUUAAGUACAUCCCACACAGUUAGUCACCGCUAAACGUUUCCGUUCGUAUAUACAUCCCACACAGUCACUCCAAGGAAAACGUUUGCGCAAGGUGGCGUAACGCAAACAGUUUUCAACAGAAUGUCGUGUGUGAUUGUUCAUUGAUCCAACAUGGUUUAUUCCUAGAAACUGUGUGUGUUGCCUGAGGUCAUCGACCACGGUGUUUUCUUAAUAACCGUUUGCAAUAGGAAAACCGAAUUAGCGGGCUAAUUGCCUUAUUAUUAAUAACCCAUUUACUAAUCUAAUUGACAUUCAUAUUAAGCACAUAAUAUAUUCCAUUUCCAUAUUAAGGAAGCAGGAUUUCAUAAUUGAAAUACAUCGGAGUACAACAUGAUAGAGCUUCAGCACUCAGCUAGCCCAUUACACAACUGCACUAGUAGCAAGUUUCACAUGCAACAUCUAGAACCUUUCAAAAUUAGCAUCAUAGACGGUACAUAGAGAGAUGCAUCUCAUCUGGAAAACUGCUGAAGCAGAAGGCGAAUAUUGAGCCUUCAUUCAUGUUGAAGGUCUUUGCAACUUUAGGCCAGUGCCUGUGGAUGAUUGACCGUCCAUCCUUCGACCUCUUCAGGAACACUUCAAUAUUGAACCAUGGGUGUUGUAUGAAAACUUUCCUCGCCUCCUGACCACAGAGGUGGUUUGAGAGGUAAUCAUCAGUGAAGCCUGAAAACAAGGAUGUGCAUAAAUAUCUUCUCUAUAUUAGAAAUGGGGCAAAGGAAUAAAAAAGGCAAGGUAUAAUAGUUAGUACCAUCUUUUAAACCUUAGUGCUUCCCAUUGUUUCCCUGCAACACAUAUAAGGUAGUUAGUCAUCAGGUUAAGCAAGGGUUCGCAUGCUAUCAGUAAAAUAUGUUGAUGAUAAAUAAGCACAUUGCAAAUUCAUCAGAUUAGUUCAAGCCACAUGGAAAACCCAUUUAUCCAAACCAAGCAUGAUUAAGAACUAGGAAAUAUAGCACUUGUAUAUGUUUCUCAUGUAUUAAGUGCAGCCAAAUUCGAUUUAUUCCUCGCAUGGUAUACAAUAACAGAAUGCAGCCACAACAAUUGAACAUCGCAUUGCAGAAUUGAACCAAGCAGUUAACUAAACACCACAACAAAUGAACCAAACGUUAACUGAGCACCACAUUGCACAAUAUAACAUACUCCUAAUAGAAGAUCAGACAGUUAACCAAACCAAGCAUGCUUAACAACUUGGAAAUAUUGCACCCUGAAGAAUUGAACAUCACAUUUGCAGAAUUGAACCAAGUAGUUAACUGAACACCACAUUGCACGACAUAUAGAACAUAUACACUAUAGCAGAAGAUUGCAUGGUAAAAGUAGAUAGCACAAUUCACUAGAAUUUUUUAAGGAAAGGCAUUGGCUAGCAAACUGAACAUGGGUCCUUAUAGUGAGCUAAUAAGACAAGCUACUCCUCAAUGUUGGAGAUAUCGAUGACGAUUGGCUCCUUGGACAUGGAAGAGGGCGAGGCCUCCGCAUCGUGGGUGCCCUCGUUGUAGCGGUGAGUUGCCUGAGCCGCUCCGGGCACCAACCUGCUGGCUCUCGAGAUGAGGUAAGCACGUGCACGCUGCGAAAACACCUCGUAGUCUUUGUCAAAGGCACCGACGGUGGCCUCGAGAAAACACCACGAACUAUUGUUUAAAGCAGCCAACCGCGUCGCGGCGUUGGUGCGCGAGGCGUCAAUGGUGGCCUCGAUGGCGAGGUGCUCCUCCAAGAUCUGGGGGUCGGCACGAAUGGCAGCCAUCGCAACCUCAUCCGCGCGUGCGGCCGCGAUUUGCUUCUCCGCUGCCAGAUGCUCCCUGAGAUCCUGGCUAUACUACGUGCACCAUGGCUUAGGCCAGCGCUUAUUUGGUGGAGGGGUUGGUGAUUUGGGUGGAAGGUGUUGCGCUCGCGCCGGCGGUCGGGGCAUGUGGGAUGUGGAAGGAGGAGGAGGAUGGGGGUCGGGUGUGGAAUACCUGCCUGGAUAGGCGAGGCUGAGCAGCGUGAAGGAGGGUCGCCGGCGAGGAGGCGAUGCUGCAAGCAAGGAGUGAAGGUUUCAACUUGGAAAGGAAGGCGGAAACAGGGGAAAUGUGGCUUUUGGUAAGGAGGAGGGGGCGGGCAGGUAGAUAUUUCCGCGGAAGCCGAAAAUUUGGAAUCGCUUCAGCGAAAAAACUGGCGCGCAAAGUGUCAUCAGACACGGUCCCUUAUUCAGAGCGGGCUGUGGACUGUAGCCGUCGCACCUUCUCGCGUAAGCCGUAUGCGUACUAUACUCCGAUGAUGCUCCAAGAUAUUUUGUGCUGCAUCUCACACGGUUGGUUAUAAUAAACUAUGUGGGAUCUACUUGAUUUUUCGUCUUGAUUUGAAUUACAUAAUGGGGUCACAGCGGCCAUGCACGGUGUUUGAAUUGCUAGACCUUUUAUCUGUAGUGAACAUGCAACUAUAUAUGUGUCAUAAAAGAAUUGUAAUUAUUCAGGGUUUGUUUGGACAUUUUUACGCAUUAACUGAGUUUUCAAUGCAUUUAUGUGCAUAUUUCAAAUUUGAACUACAUGCACAUGCUCUAAUGCAUAUAAAUUGGUUGAAGAUUCAAAUAUGUGUCCUUGGGUGCAUGCUUAGGUCCCAUGUAAGAAAUUGGAAUGAAUUUCAAACACCAGGGCGACGUUGAUUGCCGGCAAAACAUUGAGAUACUUUGUUUUUAAAUUCUAGUAAAUCCAAAACUCGUCUGAAAUUCAUGAAACUUGGCAUGCUUUCAUGGAAUGGCAUCAACAUGCCAUGGUAAUUUUUUUGUCCCAUUGGGGGCAGGUUUGGAUAUAUGCUUCUCACAAACCAGAGCUUCUCACAAACUAGAGCUUCUCACAAACCAGAGCUUCUCACAAUAAGCAUGAUGGUUUCGGUAGGGAACGCCCCACCUUUGGGGAUGAAACGAUAUCCAUUGCCUCUUAUUGGUUUCAAAUUUUUUUCUUGUGUCAACAUAGAACAGCAGGAGUGUUGUGUUAUUUUUUGUGAUUUUUUCGGGGUUCAUUUGGACAUUUUUAUGCAUUAAGUGAGUUUUCAAUGCAUUUAUGUGCAUAAUUCAAAUUUGAACUACAUGCACAUGCUCCAGUGCAUAUAAAUUGGUUGAAAAAUCAAAUCUUUGUCCUUGGGUGCAUGCUUAGGUCCCAUGCAAGAAAUGGGAAUGAAUGUCAAACACCCUGCCACCGUCACUCGGCAGCAAACAUUGAGAUACCUGGUUUUUAAAUUCUAGUAAAUCCAAAACUCGUCUGAAAUUCAUGAAACUUGGCAUGCUAUCAUGGAGUGGCAUCAACAUGUCGUGGUAAUUUUUUGUCCCAUUUGGGGCAGGUUUGGGUAUAUGCUUAUCACAAACCAGAGCUUCUCACAACAAGCAUGAUGGUUUCGGUAGGGAACGCCCCACCUUUGGAGACGAAACGAUAUCCAUUGCCUCUUAUUGCUUUCAAAAAAUUUCUCGUGUCAACAUAGAACAACAGGAGUGUUGUGUUAUUUUUUGUGAUUUUUCGGGGUUCGUUUGGACAUUUUUAUGCAUUAACCGAGUUCUCAAUGUGUGCAUAAUUCAAAUUUGAACUACAUGCAAUGCUCCAGUGCAUAUAAAUUGGUUGAAAAAUCUAAUCUUUGUCCUUGGGUGCAUGCUUAGGUCCAAUGCAAAAAAUGGGAAUGAAUUUCAAACACCAGGGCACCGUUGAUUGCCGGCAAAACAUUGAGAUACUUUGUUUUUAAAUUCUAGUAAAUCCAAAAAUCAUCUGAAAUUCAUGAAACUUCGCAUGCUAUAAUGGAAUGGCACCUGACAUGCUGUGUUAUUUUUCGUGUCCAUUUUGAGAGAAGGCGCACUCGAAUAACAGCCAACAAAGGCAUUUUGAAAAAAUAGCUGCCACUUAAAUAUCUCAAACGUUUGUAUAAUUCAAACCAUGUGCGUUAUGUUAACCAUUCACGUGACGCCACGUGUCUUGGUUUUAAUGGCUUAAUGGCUCUUGAUCGCAAACGUUUUAGAUAGAACACCCAUAUGCAAAGUGAGAGCAGGAUUUGUGCAUCACUUGAACACAAACGGUUCUUUUGGAUGACCCAUGUGAACCACUUACAAACAUUUUGGUGCGAUUUGCAUCUGUCAUAUUGGGUAUGUUGCCAUUUGUCAAACUAUAAAGAUUGACAUUUGUUGAUCUAGUAACAUUGCCAUUUGCCAACCUUGUAACACUGCGAUUUGUCAAAAUAUGAAGCUAAAAAUCACUAGUAGUAUCUAAUUUUUGCAACUAAAAUUCAGUAAUUAAGCAUAGAUGGAAGCGAGGAGGCGUGUUCAGCCGGGCGUGCAGCGGGCAGCGCAGUACUAUUUGAUUGGACAGCGGGCAGCGCAGUUCCCGAUACGGCUUUAAUGCAGACGAGGGAGAGGGUAGCAGUUCCCGAAAUGUUGCGGCCAAUGAUGCAUCCUCCUUCAAUUAGCAUCGUGUGAAUGCAUGAGGUAAGUAAUGGGAGGAGGACCAGGAAAAGAGGCAGCACGAUGUGAAUGAAACGCAGUUUGCACUCAUAUAAAGGCGCCCCUCCAUUCCAAUGCAUCUACCACAUCGUACACACCUAAGCAUUUGCCUAAGCACCUACACUAAUAAGCGCAAAAGUGCUCACUCCAGACCCAUGGCAGCGAUGCGCGCGAGCGGCCAGCGGCUGUGCCAGAUGGUCCACGACGCCGGCCUGCGGCAUGGCACCGUGGAUCGUCUCCACACGGUGUUGGCGACCGGCUGGUCGAUGGCCGCCGUCGACGCCAGCUACGACUCUCAGUACGACUAGAUGAUCGUUCGCACCACCAACAGGUUCACCGUCGUCAAGAAGCUCAUGGACGACAUCGCCGUACUCCUCUAGCCCACGCGCCCGGGCUCCUCAUUGCCUGCCACGCUAAUCGGCCUCCAUGGUCGGAACCUCUUUCAAGCACUGGUGGCCCUGUGACUGCCUGCCGACGCCAAGAAUGUCCACCUGGAGGUCGCGCUCGCCGCGAGGCGCCUCACCCUGCAAGAAACCAUAGACCUACACAUCUAUGUGUACGAGCAAAUCGUGUACAUAGGUAUCUACAAGGUCAGUGAGGACGCUACAACGUUGGCCUUCUUCAACCGGCUGGAAGCCUUGGAUGCUUUAGUGUAGGAUCGAAAGUAUGUCUAGAGGGGGGGUGAUUAGACUACUUGACCAAAUAAAAAUCUAGCCUUUUCCCAAUUUUAAGUCUUGGCAGAUUUUAGCAACUUAGCACAACUCAAGUAAUCAACCUACACAUGCAAUUCUAAGAGUAUAGCAGCGGAAUGUAAAACAAUUGCAUAUGAAGGUAAAGGGAGGAGUUUGAGGGAGCAAAUGCAAUGUUGACACGGAGAUUUUUUAUCCGUGGUUCCGAUAGGUGGUGCUAUCGUACAUCCAUGUUGAUGGAGACUUCAACCCACGAAGGGUAAUGGUUGCGCGAGUCCACGGAGGGCUCCACCCACGAAGGGUCCACUAAGAAGCAACCUUGUCUAUCCCACCAUGGCCGUCGCCCACGAAGGACUUGCCUCACUCGGGUAGAUCUUCACAAAGUAGGCGAUCUCCUUGCCCUUACAAACUCCUUGGUUCAACUCCACAAUCUUGACGGAGGCUCCCAAGUGACACCUAGCCAAUCUAGGAGACACCACUCUCCAAGAGGUAAUAGAUGGUGUGUUGAUGAUGAACUCCUUGCUCUUGUGCUUCAAAUGAUAGUCUCCCCAACACUCAACUCUCUCACAUAGGAUUGGAUUUGGUGGAAAGAUGAUUUGAGUGGAAAGCAACUUGGGGAAGACUAGAGAUCAAGAUUUAUGUGGUUGGAAUGGAAUAUCUUGACCUCAACACAAGUGUAGGUGGUUCUCUUUCAGAAAAUGUAUGUUGGAAGUGUAGGCAUGUUCUGAUGGCUCUCUCCACGAAUGAAGAGUGGGUGGAGGGGUAUAUAUAGCCUCCACACAAAAUCUAACCGUUACACACAAUUUACCAAACUCGGUGGGACCGAUUCAAAGAACUCAGUCAGACCGAUUUAGUUCAAAAUGUGAACGUUAGGAUUUUCGGUGGGACCGAUUUCGUUAGGGUUAGGGCAUAACGUAAUCUUGGUGAGACCGAUUACACAAACUCGGUGAGACCGAUUUUGGUAAUAGACUAACCAGAGUUGGUCAGGCAAACUCGGUGGGACCUAUUCGCACAUCUCGGUUGGACCGAAACGUUACGAAAGGGAAACAGAGAGUUUGCAUUGCAAUCUCGGUGGGACCGAUCGCUCAUCACAGUUUGAACGAAACGUUAUGAAGGGAAACAAAGAUAUUACAAUCCCAUCUCGGUGAGACCGAGAUCCCUAUCGGUGAGACCAAAAAGACUAGGGUUUGUGGCAGUGGCUAUGUCAAGUGAACUCGAUGGCCCCGGAUAGAUCAAAUCGGUGGGGCCGAGUUUGACUUUUGGUUCGGGACAUAUGUGGAUAUGAGAAAGUAGCUGAGGGCUUUGGAGCAUAUCACUAAGCAUUUUGAGCAAGAAACUCAUUAAUCAACACCUCACCCCUUCUUAAUAGUAUUGUCUUUUCCUAUGGACUCAAUGUGAUCUUGGAUCACUAAAAUGAAAAAUGUAGAGUCUUGUGCUUUGAGCUUGAGCCAAUCCUUUUGUCCUUAGCAUUUUAAGGGGUCCACUUUCUUAACCCAUGCCAUGCCAAUCAUUGAGCUUUCCUGAAAUAUUUAUCUUGAAAUAGCAUUAGCUCAAUGAGCUAUAUGUUGUUAGGAAUUACCAAAACCACCCAGGGAUAGUUGCACUUUCAAUCUCCCCCUUUUUGGUAAUUGAUGACAACAUAUAGAUCAAAGCUUCGACAAAUGAUAAUAAGAUUGAAGUACAUCUUCGCUUUGACAAGUAUGUGAUAAGCAAGAGCUCCCCCUAAAUUUGUGCAUUAUUUAAGAUUUGCUUUUGAAUGCAAAUGCACAAUCGAUUAGGAUCAUGGGUUACUCUUCCAUGUCACAUACAUCUUGGUGGAGCGCCCAAAAUGAUAGAAAUUAAAAGCAUGCACUCAUCACCAAGCAAGUGAAUGAUCAUAUAUGAGAUAUGAGAGAUAGUAUCAUCCAAACAAGCAUUAAGGGUAGCAUAUGAUCAAACACAUGAUCAAACAAGUAUCUCACAAGGACAUAAAGUAUCUCACACAAGCACACAAUCAAGAAGUUCAACCAAAAUAGCAAGAGAGAUAAAAAAAGCAACACUCUCUCUCGAAGCCUAUGAUCUAUACAUUUUUCUCCCCCUUUGGCAACAAGUUACCAAAAAGUUCAAAAAUGCAUAGUGCUAAACGUCUCUCAGGCUUGACCUUCGGGAGGUGGUGUAGAUAGAACUCCAAGGACGAAGGCAUCUGUUGAAGUAGUUGGAGCUGGUGGAGUGGCUGCUGUAGGUGGCACUGGAGCUGUAGCUCUAGAAUCUCUCACUGGCACUGCAGCAGACCUUUGUCCUCUAGGCACUCGCUCAAAAGCAUCAGUAGUUGCCUUGCCCUUCUUCUCCUCUGCUUCCUCCUGAUGCUGCUCAACUGCUGUCUGAAUCUCAGUUACCUUGACAUCAAGAUCAUAGAAUUUCUGCUCAAUGAUCCUCUCCAAGCUCUCCUGGUUUUGAGUCAGGGUGGCCAAGCCCUUCUCAAUCCUCAGUGUAGACUGGAUCAGAUAUGCAAGCUGGUCUUGCUUGCUCUUCAAGAACACUUGAUAUGCCUCUUCAGCAGUUGGCAUCUUUGCAGCUUUCUCUGCCCUUGCCUUCUCUCUCUUCUCAUGUGCUUGCACUGAAGAUGGAUCUUCCUCAGUCAUGACAACAAUGUUGUCCUCAAAGUCUGGCCUGAGUGGUAAAUUCUCUUUGUCCAAUAGAUAUUUGCCUAUGCCCAUCUUGGAGUUGAUGAGCUCCUGAAUUUGUGGAGCAUACCCACAAGAUCUCUUCUGAUCUACAGCUGUCCUUUUGAUUGUUUCCACAAUCAGACUCAUCACAUUGAACUUUUGAGGAACAUUAAAUAUAUGCAGCAAGUUGAUGGAGUGGCCUCUGAUCAUCCUGUGAUCACCUGACUUUGGUAGCAAUGUGUGCCUUAGGAUCCAAUUGAUUGUAGGCAGACCUGACAACAAGUGCUUUACAGAACCAAACUUGUGUGUCUCAAGGUCUGCAUCAGGAAUCUCCUUGUACAUGUGUGCCAUAGAGUUGUGAUCCUUCUUCUUCUUGGCAUAGACAUCCAAAUCAUCUUCAUGAGCUUCUGGAGCAUUGAUCAAACUGGCCCACUCAUCAACUGUAGAUUGGUACCUUGUACCCUCUGACAUCCAUACAAUCCUUCCAUCUGGAUAGAAAUGAGCAGUCGAAUAGAAUUGCAUGAUCAACUCAUCAUUCCACUUGGUGAGCUUUUGGCCAACAAACUUGUCAACCUCACAAGAUUUGAAGCUGUCAUAAACUCCUGGAAAAUGAUCUUCAUUUUCUUUGAUGUACUCUGAUGUCUACUACGCAACCUUCUUCUUGUAGACGUUGUUGGGCCUCCAAGUGCAGAGGUUUGUAGGACAGUAGCAAAUUUCCCUCAAGUGGAUGACCUAAGGUUUAUCAAUCCGUGGAAGGCGUAGGAUGAAGAUGGUCUCUCUCAAGCAACCCUGCAACCAAAUAACAAAGAGUCUCUUGUGUCCCCAACACACCCAAUACAAUGGUAAAUUGUAUAGGUGCACUAGUUCGGCAAAGAGAUGGUGAUACAAGUGCAAUAUGGAUGGUAGAUAUAGGUUUUGUAAUCUGAAAUUAUAAAAACAGCAAGGUAACUAAUGAUAAAAGUGAGCGUAAACGGUAUUGCAAUGCUAGGAAACAAGGCCUAGGGUUCAUACUUUCACUAGUGCAAGUUCUCUCAACAAUAAUAACAUAAUUGGAUCAUAUAACUAUCCCUCAACAUGCAACAAAGAGUCACUCCAAAGUCACUAAUAGCGGAGAACAAACGAAGAGAUUAUGGUAGGGUACGAAACCACCUCAAAGUUAUUCUUUCUGAUCGAUCUAUCAUAGAGUUCGUACUAGAAUAACACCUUAAGAUAAAAAUCAACCAAAACCCUAAUGUCACCUAGAUACUCCAAUGUCACCUCAAGUAUCCAUGGGUAUGAUUAUACGAUAUGCAUCACACAAUCUCAGAUUCAUCUAUUCAACCAACACAAAGAACUUCAAAGAGUGCCCCAAAGUUUCUACCGGAGAGUCAAGACAAAAACGUGUGCCAACCCCUAUGCAUAGGUUCAUGGGCGGAACCCGCAAGUUGAUCACCAAAACAUACAUCAAGUGGAUCACGUGAUAUCCCAUUGUCACCACAGAUAAGCACAGCAAGACAUACAUCAAGUGUUCUCAAAUCCUUAAAGACUCAAUCCGAUAAGAUAACUUCAAAGGGAAAACUCAAUCCAUUACAAGAGAGUAGAGGGGGAGAAACAUCAUAAGAUCCAACUAUAAUAGCAAAGCUCGCGAUACAUCAAGAUCGUAUCACCUCAAGAACACGAGAGAGAGAGAGAGAGAGAGAGAGAGAGAGAGAGAGAUCAAACACAUAGCUACUGGUACAUACCCUCAGCCCCGAGGGUGAACUACUCCCUCCUCGUCAUGGAGAGCGCCGGGAUGAUGAAGAUGGCCACCGAUGAGGGAUUCCCCCUCCGGCAGGGUGCCGGAACAGGGUCCCGGUUGGUUUUUGGUGGCUACAGAGGCUUGCGGCGGCGGAACUCCCGAUCUAUUCUGUUUUCUGGAGGUUUCAGUAUUUAUAGGACUUUUUGGCGUAGGUCUCACGUCAGGGGGGUCUCCGGGUUGUCCACGAGGCAGGGGCCCACGCCCAGGGGGGUGGGCGCGCCCCCACCCUUGUGGGCAGCCCGGGACUCUCCUGGCCCAACUCUUUUACUCCGGGGGCUUCUUUUGGUCCAUAAAAAAUCAUCAGAAAUUGGCACGUCAAUUGGACUCCGUUUGGUUUUCCCUUUCUGCAAAACUUAAAAACAAGGAAAAAAAGAAACUGGCACUGGGCUCUGGGUUAAUAAGUUAGUCCCAAAAAUAAUAUAAAAGUGCAUAGUAAAGCCCAUUAAACAUCCAAGAUGGAUAAUAUAAUAGCAUGAAUACUUCACAAAUUAUAGAUACGUUGUAGACGUAUCAGCAUCCCCAAGCUUAAUUCCUGCUCGUCCUCGAGUAGGUAAAUGAUAAAAGAAAUAAUUUAUGAAGUGUGAAUGCUAUUAGGUGCACAAGUCUGAUCAAUGAUAAUUUCAAUCACCUUUUCUGGCAUCAUUAUAUGUCAUAACAGUAGCUCAUAUCAUAAAGCUUCUUAUGAUCAAGUAACAAGCUAUUCACAUGUUAAAGUAUAGAUUAUAAACUUUCUUGAAAACUAACAAACAGUUCUCAGUCAUCAAACAAUUGCAAUUCAUCUUAUUUUCAGGAAGGGUCUAUGUAAGAGAUUUGAUUUAGCAAAUCCCACAUACUCAACUAUCAUAUAGUCUUCCAUGAUUGCUACCACUCAAAGCAUAUUUUUAGAACAAAUAGUAUUCAUCGAACACAGAGAAAGAUAGGGGCUUAAUGUUUCGCCUCCCAACCUUUUACCUCAAGGGUAAUGUCAACAGUAAUAAUUAAUGCUCAAAUAUAUUUGAAUGGCCAUAUAUGCUUGCCAACUAAAGAGUAGGUUGGAAUGAGAAGCAAUACUACUGACUCUUGCAUAAAAGUAAAAGAUAGGCCCUUCGCAGAGGGGAGCAGGGAUUUGUAGAGGUGCCAGAGCUCGAAGCAAAAACAGAGAUGAAAAUAAUUUUGAGAGGUAUGCUUUCAUUGCCAACAUAACGACCAAGAGUUCCCAAUAUCUUCCAUACUAGAUACAUUAUAGGCGGUUCCCACACAGAAAGGUAAAGUUUUUACUCCCCCUCCACCAACAUUCACACUCCACGGCUUGUCCGAAACAACGGGUGCUGUCCAACUAUCAACAUUCCUAGGGGAGUUUUGUUUAAAUUAUUUGCGAUUUUGUUUUUGAUCCUUUGAUCAUAGGACUGGGCAUCCCAGUUACCAGCCAUUUUCUCGUGAAUGAUGAGCAGAGUCCACUCAUCGUGAGAAUAACCCACCUAGCAUGGAAGAUACUGACAACCCCUAGUCGCUACAUGAGCGAUUUGGGCAUACAAAACAGAUUAUUAUUUGAAGUUUUAGAGUUUGGCACAUGCAAAUUUACUUGGAACGGCAGGUAAAUACCGCAUAUAGGUAGAUAUGGUGGACACUCAUGGAAGAAACUUGGUUCAAGGAAUUUGGAUGCACAAGCAGUAUUCCCGCUUAGUACAGAUAUUUUGGCUAGCAAAGGAUUCUAAUAGCAAGCACCACAUGUUAGAGGAUCCAUAACAAUAUAACUUCUAUACAAAUAUACCCAAGCAUAACUCAUUAUGUUGUCUUCCUUGUCCAACUUCAACUACUUUGCUCAGGUGUGAAAAUAAUUAAUGGGGCUCACAACCAUAGAAGAUGUCCAAGAUAGUAUAUUUAUAUGUGAAAUCUCUCUUCCUUCAAUAUUCUUUCAUGAAUUGUUCAAGUGACCAAUACAAUGUUUGCUAACCUUCAAUAAAUUUACCACCUCUACUUCUUAUAUGUGGAGGCAUUACUCCCCAUGGGAAAGGCAUAUGAAACAUAUAUAAUUUCAGAUUUAUGACAUUCAAAUCAUUCAACCAUUUACUCAUAGGAUAUAAGUGAAGCACGUGAGUAAAUGACAAACUACUCCAAAAAGAUAUAAGUGAAGAUCAAUGAGUAGUUAAAUAAUUAUAUAGCUAUGUGAAGACUCUCUCUCAUUUAAGAAUUUCAGAUCUUGGGAUAUUAUUCAAACAGCAAGAAAAUCUAAAGAAAAUAAAAUGACGCUCCAAGCAAAACACAUAUCAUGUGGUGAAUAAAAAUAUAGCUCCAAGUAAAGUUACCGAUGAAUGAAGACGAAAGAGGGGAUGCCUUCCGGGGCAUCCCCAAGCUUAGACGCUUGGUUAUCCUUGAAUAUUACCUUGGGGUGCCUUGGGCAUACCCAAGCUUAGGCUCUUGCCACUCCUUAUUCCAUAGUCCAUCGAAUCUUUACCCAAAACUUGAAAACUUCACAACACAAAACUUAACAGAAAACUCGUAAGCUCCGUUAGUAUAAGAAAAUAAAUCACCACUUAGGUACUGUUGUGAACUCAUUAUAAAUUAAUAUUGGUGUUAAACCUACUGUAUUCCAACUUCUCUAUGGUUUAUAAACUAUUUUACUAGCCAUACAUUCAUCAAAAUAAGCAAACAACACAUAGAAAACAGAAUCUGUCAAAAACAGAACACUCGGUAGUAAUAUGUAUCAAACGUAUACUUCUGGAACUCCAAAAAUUCUAAAAUAAAUUGGUGGACCUGAGUAAUUUGUCUAGUAAUCAUCUGCAAAAAGAAUCAACUAAAUAGCACUCUCCAGUAAAAAAAUUAGCUAAUCUCGUGAGCCCUAAAGUUUCUGUUGUUUACAGCAUGAUCAUAAAGACUUCACCCAAGUCUUCCCAAAGGUUCUACUUGGCACAAACACUAAUUAAAACACAAAACCACAUCUAAACAUAAGCUAGAUGGAUUAUUUAUUCCUAAACAGAACCAAAAAGCAAGAAACUAAAAUAAAAUUGGGUUGCCUCCCAACAAGCGCUAUCGUUUAACGCCCCUAGCUAGGCAUGAUGAUUUCAAUGAUGCUCACAAAAAGAUAAGAAUUGAAACAUAAAGAGAGCAUCAUGAAGAAUAUGACUAGCACAUUUAAGUCUACCCCACUUCCUAUGCAUAGGAAUUUUGUGAUCAAACAAUUUAUGGGAACAAUAAUCAACUAGCAUAGGAAGGCAAGACAAGCAUAACUUCAAGAUUUUAAGCACAUAGAAAGGAAACUUGAUAUUAUUGCAAUUCCUACAAGCAUAUAUUCCUCCCUCAUAAUAAUUUUCAGUAGCAUCAUGAAUGAAUUCAACAAUAUAACCAACACCUAGAGCAUUCUUUUCAUGAUCUACAAGUAUAGAAUUUUUACUACUCUCCACAUAAGCAAAAUUCUUCUCAUUCGGAAUAGUGGGAGUUUCAUAAGAGACUUGAAUACUAUAAAUUGUUUCCACAUUAAAAGAGUAAUGUUCAGAAAAAGGGUAAUCAUAAUCAUGACAAGUUUUAUAAAUAUAAUCAUCACUACUUUUUAUAGCAUAAGUUUCAUCACAAUAAUCAUCAUAAGUAGCAACUUUGUUCUCAUCAUAAUCAAUUGGAACCUCUUCCGAAAUAGUGGACUCAUCACUAUAUAAAGUCAUGACCUCUCCAAAUCCACUUUCAUAAAUAUUAUAAGAUUCAACAUCCUCCAAAAUAUUGGGAUCAUUACUUCCUAAAGUUGACACUCUUCCAAACCAACUUUCAUCAAUAUAAUCAUCAUAGGUAGAAGGCAUGCUAUCAUCAUAACAACUUUGCAUGUCAAAACUUGGGAGGCUAAAAAUAUCAUCUUCAUUAAACGUAGCAUCCCCAAGCUUGGGACAAACAUUAAUUUCAGCAAAUAUAUUCUCAAAUAUGUCAUUCUCAUCAAACAUAGCUUCCCCAAGCUUGGGCCUUUGCAUAUCAUAAGCAUAAUCAUUCUCAUCAUUAAUAGUAUGCAUAGCACCAAUAGUAUAGCAAUUAUCAUCAUCACAAUGAGUAGUAGGAGCAACAUCAUUUGGGAGGGAUACCUUUUUACCUUUACUUCUCUGUUUUUGCUUUUUCUUAUUCACAUCAUGUGCGGGUUUAUCCCUCCUUUUUGAGCUCCUUAUUGAUGAGAUUGGUUGAACAGAAGGCUCCUCCUUGUUACCUGAUUCAUCAUAAGAAAUAAUAGGAGAAUAUUGGGAAGUCUCUUCCCUUUCGUUAGUAUUCUCUUCAUCUUCUAUUUGUUUUCUUUUCUUUAUGUAAUUGGCAAUAUAAGGAUUUUCAAUGCAAUUCACCGCACAAUACAUAUAAAUUUCCUCUAGAUCAAAAUGAAGAAUUCUAUCAAGGGCAAAUUCUGGAAAAAUCUUAGUUAUACGUUUCAUUUCUUCAUAACCCAAGAGCAAACUAAGUUCAUUAUGAUGUGCAAGGGAAAUCAAGUCAUCACAAUUUUUGGACAUGACACGAUCAUGAAACAAUUUGCAUUGGUUACUGAAAUGAUCAUGUUCAUUGCAAAGUUCACAAGUACGGCUAAGAAAAUUUAAAUUUUUAGCACAAACAUCUAGCCUUUCUUGCAACAAUUUAGUUUCUAAAUGAUUAUGCUUCUUGCAAUAUCUAUCUUCCCUAUUUGGUGUGUACUUGCAAACCCAAUACACUCCACAAAAAUUGACAUGCUUAUAAGAGAUAUUUUCAUCAUGACUAGUGCAAUCAUCAUUAGUACCAUGGAUAUUCAAAGGGUUCAUACUAACAACAUUGCAAUCAUGCUCAUCAUUCAAAGAUUUAGUGCCAAACAUUUUAUAGACUUCCUAUUCUAGCACCUUGGCACAAUUUUCCUUUCCAUCAUGCUCACGAAAGAUAUUAAAAAGAUGAAGCGUAUGAGGCAAACUCAAUUCCAUUUUUUUGUAGUUUUCUUUUAUAGACUAAACUAGUGAUAAAACAAGAAACAAAAAGAUUUGAUUGCAAGAUCUAAAGGUAUACCUUCAAGCACUCACCUCCCUGGCAACGGCGCCAGAAAAGAGCUUAGUUGACGGGGUGUGAGUGCCGCUUACCUAGCCUCCCGGGCAACGGCGCCAGAAAAGAGUUUGAUGUCUACUACGCAACCUUCUUCUUGUAGACGUUGUUGGGCCUCCAAGUGCAGAGGUUUGUAGGACAGUAGAAAAUUUCCCUCAAGUGGAUGACCUAAGGUUUAUCAAUCCGUGGGAGGCGUAGGAUGAAGAUGGUCUCUCUCAAGCAACCCUGCAACCAAAUAACAAAGAGUCUCUUGUGUCCCCAACACACCCAAUACAAUGGUAAAUUGUAUAGGUGCACUAGUUCGGCGAAGAGAUGGUGAUACAAGUGCAAUAUGGAUGGUAGAUAUAGGUUUUUGUAAUCUGAAAUUAUAAAAACAGCAAGGUAACUAAUGAUAAAAGUGAGCGUAAACGGUAUUGCAAUGCUAGGAAACAAGGCCUAGGGUUCAUACUUUAACUAGUGCAAGUUCUCUCAACAAUAAUAACAUAAUUGGAUCAUAUAACUAUCCCUCAACAUGCAACAAAGAGUCACUCCAAAGUCACGAAUAGCGGAGAACAAACGAAGAGAUUAUGGUAGGGUACGAAACCACCUCAAAGUUAUUCUUUCUGAUCGAUCUAUCAUAGAGUUCGUACUAGAAUAACACCUUAAGAUACAAAUCAACCAAAACCCUAAUGUCACCUAGAUACUGCAAUGUCACCUCAAGUAUCCAUGGGUAUGAUUAUACGAUAUGCAUCACACAAUCUCAGAUUCAUCUAUUCAACCAACACAAAGAACUUCAAAGAGUGCCCCAAAGUUUCUACCGGAGAGUCAAGACGAAAACGUGUGCCAACCCCUAUGCAUAGGUUCAUGGGCGGAACCCGCAAGUUGAUCACCAAAACAUACAUCAAGUGGAUCACGUGAUAUCCCAUUGUCACCACAGAUAAGCAUGGCAAGACAUACAUCAAGUGUUCUCAAAUCCUUAAAGACUCAAUCCGAUAAGAUAACUUCAAAGGGAAAACUCAAUCCAUUACAAGAGAGUAGAGGGGGAGAAACAUCAUAAGAUCCAACUAUAAUAGCAAAGCUCGCGAUACAUCAAGAUCGUAUCACCUCAAGAACACGAGAGAGAGAGAGAUCAAACACAUAGCUACUGGUACAUACCCUCAGCCCCGAGGGUGAACUACUCCCUCCUCGUCAUGGAGAGCGCUGGGAUGAUGAAGAUGGCCACCAGUGAGGGAUUUCCCCUCCGGCAGGGUGCCGGAACAGGACCCCGAUUGGUUUUUGGUGGCUACAGAGGCUUGCGGCGGUGGAACUCCCGAUCUAUUCUAUUUUCUGGAGGUUUCAGUAUUUAUAGGAUUUUUUGGCGUAGGUCUCACGUCAGGGGGGUCUCCGGGUUGUCCAUGAGGCAGGGGCCCACGCCCAGGGGGGUGGGCGCGCCCCCCACCCUCGUGGGCAGCCCGGGACUCUCCUGGCCCAACUCUUUUACUUCGGGGGCUUCUUUUGGUCCAGAAAAAAUCAUCAAAAAUUGGCACGUCAAUUGGACUCCAUUUGGUUUUCCUUUUCUGCAAAACUUAAAAACAAGGAAAAAACAGAAACUGGCACUGGGCUCUGGUUUAAUAAGUUAGUCCCAAAAAUAAUAUAAAAAUGCAUAGUAAAGCCCAUUAAACAUCCAAGAUGGAUAAUAUAAUAGCAUGAAUACUUCAUAAAUUAUAGAUACGUUGGAGAUGUAUCAUACUCCCAGUCCACCCAUCUCAUGUCACAGACAAUGGGCUUCUUGUCAAGCAGGAUAGUCUCAUAGAAAUCUUGAUGUUCCUUUGUGUGGAACCUGUAAUCCACAGCAGUUCUCCUCCUGACAGCAUAUGGAUCAGACUGUCUCCACAAUCUCAGUCCUGAAUCCUUCCUGAUCCUCAUAUCUUCUGCAACAGGAUGUGCAUCAUUAUGGUCAGGGAUCUUGGGCUUCAACUUUCUUAAAACAAGUGAAUCAUCUUCCUCGUCAUCAGCAGCUUCAGGCACUGGGGCCUUGUUCUUCUCUUCAGCAGGGAUGUUCCUGGUGCUCCUCUUGGGUGCAGACUUUUGAGCUGAAGCUUUGGGAGCAGACUUGGGCUUAGAUGGAGCAGCCCCUGAUCUGAUCAUCUCCCAUAAGCUUCUGAGCUUUGGGUGUUGGUGCAGCAUCCUCUUCCUCUUCAUCAUCAUCUCUCAUCAUGGAGGGCUUCCCAAUAACUCUGGCAAUGGUCUUCUUGACCCUUUCUUUCCUCUUCUUGCCUUCACCUCCUUCUUUGGGUUCAAGAGUGAACUCCAUUGUAUCUUGAGUAGAGGCUCUGGCCUUAGACAUAGGAACUCUUCUUGCUGGAGCCUUUGUUUUCAUUCCAGGCUUUGUUGCAGCAGUUGUGCCAUACUCCUUUUUCAGCACCUUUUUCCUUAAAGUGGCCUCAUCCUCAACAGCCACAUAAUCCACAUCCUCAGAAUCUGAGGUUCUCUUCUUCCUUGUCCUGGUGGCUGCCUUUGGCAAGUUACUAGGUGUGCUCCUGCUGCCCUCAUCAUAGCUGCUGGAGGGACUAGUGCCCUCACUCAACUGAACCUGUUCUUCAGACUUGUUCUGGUUGUCACUUUGAUCAGACAUCUUCAGGCAAACUGUCAGCAGACCCUGUGAAUAGGUUGUAGAUGAGGUAGAGUGGAUGAGCAUCACAAAGUACAGAGUUUUGUCAACACAGAUGACUUAAAAACUUAGUUUUAGUUCUUCACAGAAAGCAUUUCGGAUCUACCGAUUUGUAAACUCGGUGAUACCGAAGCAGCUUUUCGAACCUAAACUAGUGAACUCGGUCAGACCGAGUCACAGUUCGGUGGCACCGAGACUGCUAGGGUUUCACAAAGAAUCGAACUCGGUCACACCGAUUUGCAAUUUUCGGUCGGACCGAAAACGCAUGUGCAAUGGCCUAAGCCAAAUCGGUGAGACCGAUUUCUACAACUGGUCGGUCCGAGAUGAGUUUGGCGGAGACCUAACCCUAAAUUUCCAAAUCAAAUCUAAUCUACGGGAUGUUUUCAGUGGACAGGAUGAUUUCAUAUGUGGCAAGAAUCAUGGCAAAGCAAUGUGCUAAGAAUCAGAGUUAAGGAAUAGCACAAAGAUCAAGUUCGUACCCUAGUUCAGCGGUGAACUCGCUACGGCGGCAACGGCGGGGCAGAUUGCCGUUGACGGCGGCGGAGACCAGCGGCAGGAGGUCACUGGCGGCGAGAGGAUGAUCCGGAGACCCGAGGAGGCAGAGCAGGUCACGUGUGGGUGAAAGGUUUUGGAAAUUUUUCCAAAAUUUGACCCGUCAGUAUAUAUAACCUGACCCUGUUGGUGUGACCAAGUGGAACAACUCGGUGGCACCGAGAUGCAAAACUGUAAGCAGUUACUGCAACUCGGUGUGACCGAAGAGUUCUAAUCGGUUGCACCGAGAUUGAAAACCUAGAUCAACUUAGUGAUCUCGGUAUGACCGAAAAGGAUGUAUCGGUCAGACCGAAAUGCACAAAGAGGUUUUGGAAGUUUAAGUCUACGACGAAUCGGGGACUCCGAGUGCUCCUCACACAGAGUGGUUCGAAUCUGACUUGAUCAAACUUUGUGAUGUAGCAUGAAUAGAGUUUGAAACGAGGAAAGCAUAGAUAGCUAGAGGGAGUUCUUAGACAUUUUUGUCCAUCCAUUUGGCAAAAGAGAAAAAGCCAAACAAUCAAAGCAACAAAUGGAUGUCCUCGAAUGAGUAAAAAUAUGCAUCCAACAUUCUCACACAAUAAAAUGAAAAAUGAAAUAUGUGACAAAGCAUGCACAAACACUUUAGCAUCUAUCAAGCAAUUUGGCGAUGUCUAGGUCAUCUAUAUAUGAGUAUAUUGACUUAGGAGUCAAAUGAGAACAUUUGAUCAUAGGUCAUACUCAUCGUUUAUGCACAAGUGGGGUUACCACUUUUACAUAAAGCAUUGUUGUGCUCACACCAUUAGAGUUGCUUUAGCUCAAUUCUUAGAGUAAAGCUCCCCCUAGAUGUGAUAUCCCCCCUAAGAGGGAUGAACUAACCUUGGGUUUUGUCGGUGAUGACUUCAUGUAGGUGUUGAAGAUGUGGGUGCUCAAUGUUGAUGUAGAUCAUUCGGAGCAAUCCUUUGGAGUGAGUUGCACUUUCAAUACCUACACGGGUUAGCCCCACAAGGAACAAAUAAGGAUAUCCAUAGACAUAGAGUGAUGUACACACAAGAUGAUGUCCAUGAAAGCAUUAGGUUACCUUGUCCCUUGUCUUACCAACAAGAGGGUUUGUGACUCCUUGAACUAGUGCAAGAUAUGGAAGUUGUUUGCACUUGUCAUUGCCAAAAUGAUAAGAGUGAAGUAUGUUGGCGGAUUCACCCUCAAGAACUCUCUAGUUCCUCUUCUUAGGGAUCCACACCAUCUUGAUGGGAAUCCUUGGAGUUGUAGUCGUACUUGAUGAAGUGGAACUUGAUGUGGUUUUGGGAACCCAUUUGACCAAGGCCUUAGGUGCUUCUUCAAAUGCAUCAAUCUCCUCUUGAAGCUUGUCCUUGCCUUUUUGCUUGUGGUCUUGUGGUGGAAGAUCAUCUUGAGCUUGUGUUCCUUGGAAAGAAGUAGGAUCAAACUUCUCUUGUUGAGGAACAAACUUCAUCUUGGGGUAUUGAUCUUCUUCCCACUCAACUCCAUUGGCAUUGAACUUUCGUUCAAAAUCAAUACCUUGAUUCUUCCGGUGCCUUCCUUGCUUGCAUACAAUUUCCUCAAAUUGCUUACUUCCGGCAAGGCUCUUGUAAACACCUUUCUCUAUAAUUCCCUUCAAUAAGCUAUUUUCUUGCUCAAGUGUAACUUGGAUAAGAGAAUCAUUAGUGGAAUCAAGAGAACCUCUAGAAGCAACAAUAUUGGAUUUAGCAUGAUUAUUGUUACUACUAGAAGAAGAAUCUUUCUUGUUCUUGUUGCUAGAUUUAACUUGUGGCAUGUAAGUAGACAAGAGUAAACGCUUGGCAGUGUAAGAAGAACUUUUCUUGCGAAGAACAUCAUUGAUUGCUUUUAAGAACUCAUGCUCUUGCUCAAGGUUGAGCUUUUCAAAGCGUAGCUUCUCAUGAGUCUUUAAAAGUUCUCGAUGAUCUUCCAAGGUAGUUUCAUGAGCUAACUUAAGAGUGUUUAGUUCUUUAGUUAGACGCUCAAUCUCCUUCUUAUCAUCGUCAUUCGUUUUAUCUUGAUUAGCAUGAUCAUUAGCAAGUUCAUCAUAGUUUUCAUAACUAGAGUUGUCAACAAGUAGAUCAUCAUCUCCUAGCAAAUCAUCUUCAUCACUAUUGAAAUCAACAUACUCGGGGUGUGUUACCUUUGGACCUUUGGCCAUGAAGCAUCUUCCAAUUCCUUCAUUUGGUGAGUCAAAUAUGUCGUAGGAGUUGGUUGACACAAGUGCUAGACCGGCAACACCUUCAUCUUGAGUAUAUUCGGAGUCAGAGUGAUAACUUCUUUCGGAGUGAUGGUCGGAGUCGGAGCCGGAUACCCAUUCACCAACAUGAGCUUGAUGUCUUCGUUUUGUGUAGCUCCUUGAUGACUUGUCCUUCCUCUCCGAAUCCUUGCUUCUCCGAGAGGGUCUUCGUUCAUAACGAUCAUCUCUACUCCUUCUCUCUCUUGGAGGCGAUUCUUCUCUCCUACUCCUUCUUUUGGGAGAAUCUUCUCUUCUUUUGUAGGGAGCCGUACACUCAUUGGAAUAGUGUCCGGGUCUUCCACAAUUGUAGCAAUUACGCUCACGACUAGAAGAUCUAUUGUCAUUGUAGGACCUUGACUUGGAGCUUCUUUCCUAGCUUCUACUCUUGUAGAAUUUGUUGAAGUUCUUCACCAUUAGACUCAACUCUUCAUUGAAGGUUUGCUUCUCACUUGAUGAUGUGGGAGAUUCACAUGAGGCUUUGUAAGCACCACUUGACUUGUUGUGGAGCUCUUCCUUAUCCUUGAGUGACAUCUCAUGAGCAACAAUUCUUCCAAUGACUUCCGUUGGCUUGAGAUCUUUGUAGUUGGGCAUCAUUUGGAUCAAUGUGCACACGGUAUCAUAUUUUCCAUCCAAGGCUCUUAGGAUCUUCUUGAUGAUGAAUCUAUCGGUCAUCUCUUCACUUCCUAAGCCGGCAAUCUCAUUUGUGAUGAGAGCAAGCCUAGAGUACAUUUCAGCGACACCUUCACCAUCCUUCAUUUUGAACUUGUCAAGUUGACUCUGAAGCACAUCCAAUUUGGAUUCCUUGACGGAGUCGGUACCUUCGUGCAUAUCAAUCAAAGUAUCCCAAAUUUCCUUUGCAUUCUCAAGACGGCUGAUUUUAUUGAAUUCUUCGGGACACAAUCCGUUGAAGAGAAUAUCACAAGCUUGAGCAUUGUAUUGCAGCAUCUUCAACUCUUCCGUGGUAGCUUCACGGUUUGGUUCUCUCCCAUCAAAGAAUUCACCUUGCAAGCCAAUACACACAAUAGCCCAAACGGCGGGGUUAUGUCCAAGAAUAUGCAUUUUCAUCUUAUGCUUCCAACUAGCAAAAUUUGUACCAUCAAAGUAAGGACCUCUACGGUGGUAAUUUCCCUCGCUAGACGCCAUACUCUCCUAGGUUGUGAAACCAAGGCUAUGACCACCAAAAGCUAUGGAAAUUAAAGAAAAUGGAGACCAAAGCACUGAUACCACUUGUAGGAUCGAAAGUAUGUCUAGAGGGGGGGUGAUUAGACUACUUGACCAAAUAAAAAUCUAGCCUUUUCCCAAUUUUAAGUCUUGGCAGAUUUUAGCAACUUAGCACAACUCAAGUAAUCAACCUACACAUACAAUUCUAAGAGUAUAGUAGCGGAAUGUAAAACAAUUGCAUAUGAAGGCAAAGGGAGGAGUUUGAGGGAGCAAACGCAAUGUUGACACGGAGAUUUUUUAUCCGUGGUUCCGAUAAGUGGUUCUAUCGUACAUCCACGUUGAUGGAGACUUCAACCCACGAAGGGUAACGGUUGCACGAGUCCACGGAGGGCUCCACCCACGAAGGGUCCAUGAAGAAGCAACCUUGUCUAUCCCACCAUGGCCGUCGCCCACGAAGGACUUGCCUCACUCGGGUAGAUCUUCACGAAGUAGGCGAUAUCCUUACCCUUACAAACUCCUUGGUUCAACUCCACAAUCUUGACGGAGGCUCCCAAGUGACACCUAGCCAAUCUAGGAGACACCACUCUCCAAGAGGUAAUAGAUGGUGUGUUGAUGAUGAACUCCUUGCUCUUGUGCUUCAAAUGAUAGUCUCCCCAACACUCAACUCUCUCUCAUAGGAUUGGAUUUGGUAGAAAGAUGAUUUGAGUGGAAAGCAUGGAAGGCUAGAGAUCAAGAUUUAUGUGGUUGGAAUGGAAUAUCUUGACCUCAACACAAGUGUAGGUGGUUCUCUUUCAGAAAAUGUAUGUUGGAAGUGUAGGCAUGUUCUGAUGGCUCUCUCCACGAAUGAAGAGUGGGUGGAGGGGUAUAUAUAGCCUCCACACAAAAUCUAACCGUUACACACAAUUUACCAAACUCGGUGGGACCGAUUCAGAGAACUCGGUCAGACCGAUUUAGUUCAAAAUGUGGACGUUAGGAUUUUCGGUGGGACCGACAUGUCAACUCGGUGGGACCGAUUUCGUUAGGGUUAGGGCAUAACGUAAUCUCGGUGAGACCGAUUACACAAACUCGGUGAGACCGAUUUUGGUAAUAGACUAACCAGAGAGUUGGUCAGGCAAACUCGGUGGGACCGAUUCGCUCAUCUCGGUUGGACCGAAACGUUAUGAAAGGGAAACAGAGAGUUUGCAUUGCAAUCUCGGUGGGACCGAUCGCUCAUCUCGGUUUGACCAAAACGUUACGAAGGGAAACAGAGAGAUUACAAUCCCAUCUCGGUGAGACCGAGAUCCCUAUCGGUGAGACCGAAAAGACUAGGAUUGUGGCUGUGGCUAUGUCAAGUGAACUCGGUGGCGCCGGAUAGAUCAAAUUGGUGGGGCCGAGUUUGACUUUUGGUUUGGGACAUAUGUGGAUAUGAGAAAGUAGUUGAGGGCUUUGGAGCAUAUCACUAAGCAUUUUGAGCAAGAAACUCAUUAAGCAACACCUCACCCCCUCUUAAUAGUAUUGGCUUUUCCUAUGGACUCAAUGUGAUCUUGGAUCACUAAAAUGAAAAAUGUAGAGUCUUGUGCUUCUUGAGCCAAUCCUUUUGUCCUUAGCAUUUUGAGGGGUCCACUUUCUUAACCCAUGCCAUGCCAAUCAUUGAGCUUUCCUGAAAUAUUUAUCUUGAAAUAGCAUUAGCUCAAUGAGCUAUAUGUUGUUAGGAAUUACCAAAACCACCCAGGGAUAGUUGCACUUUCACUUAGCUGAGAAGCACCUUGACCUCGCCACAAAAGCCGCCGCUCCUUAGCCGCCGGACCGUGGCCCGGCGCACUGAGUUGAGGAGGAGGAGGUCGUACAUUGAUGGAUGCAUCUUUCUUCUUGCCUCCUGUAACCACCACUGCGAUCGCAUCAUCGUGGCCUUAAUUCUUAUUGUGCUAUUGCAUUCUCGUUCUAGGCAAUACAGACAUGUGCGAUCCCUUUGCUUAAUUAUAUGCAUCACUGUAACUAGUACUCCAUCCGUCAAUUUAUAAGUUGUGCUACCAGUGUUUGGGGCCGGCGCACGAUCACGCACGUUCGUGUGCAUGCGGUUGUGCCGGGCGCGGCGCGACGAUGCAGUUACCCGCUGCAAAAACUGCCAUGCAGGGGACGUGGCAUUGACCAUUGAGCAGCAACAGCCGGUCAUCCGGGUGCCCGAUAAAGGAUGCAAAGAGGGAUCCUACAGCAGCAAGGACCAGCUUCCCUACCGAUAGCUUAUCUAACAGAACUCCCGUUACUUUACGACAUGUUUCCAAAACAUGGACCUCAAGGUUAAUUCAACUAAUAGGACGGAGCAUUAUAUACAUUUAACGCAAUUAAAUGUUUUCCAAAAAAAGUGAUAUGAUUUCUGUGAAACUUAUAAGUCAUGUAUGUCAAAUUAACCUCUGUGUACUUGUUCUCGAAUUAACCUCCGGGCCUUUUUGCCGUGUAUCACACACAUCUUGUUAAGUUGAACCAUUUAUGUUCUCUUCCCUAAUCGAAAACAGUUCAUUCGACUGAACCGUAUGCCGUAUAUCACACAUACCUUGAUCUAGCUGACCGUUUCUGUUGCUUUCCCUAAUAGCAAACAGUUCAUUGAAGCGAACCGUAUGCCGUAUAUCGCACACGCAUUAAUAUGGCUGGCCGUUUCUGUUGUUCUGUCUAAUCGCAAAUAGUUCGUCUGGAUCAACCGUAUGCCCUGCUUCGCACACGCAACUAAAAUCUGAACCCUGUUUGAUGCAUCCGUCAUCGCAAAUGUUUUGCACCUUUUUUGAUGGAUUUUUUACACCACCGUUUGCGAUUAUGGCAUCGCACACAGUUUCGUCGAAGGGUCUCUGAUCAUAGUGUCGCGUUAGCAGCAUCCUGCAGUAGUGUGCUCUCAAGUUUUGGCUUUUGACUUUAAGUCGCCAGUAUGUUGUGGCUCAUGUUUGAGUAUUUCGGGUUGUCACCCGCCCUGGCGUGUGAUUUUAAGUCGUCGGGAUGUUUUAGCUAAUCAGCCAUGUUCAUGAUUUUUUCAAUGGCUGGAUAAGACUACAAGUCUUUGGGGUUGUCACCCGCCCUGGCUCUUGACUAUAAGUCGCCAGUAUAAAUUUGGCUAACAACCGCUAGCAUAAUCUUUUAAAUGAUUGUUUAUGACCAUGAGUCUCGGGGUUAUAACCCGCCCUGGAUUCAAGCCUUAAAAGCCGACUUAUGAAUUAUAUUAUUGUGCAUAUUUGCAAUUUUUAUAACAUCUCUGUUUGCAGGGGUUAUCAGUUCUUACAAAGGCUAUAGGCCGCCGGGUUAAAAAAAUCCCGGGUUACAAUGAAUGCGCGUUAAGUCGUCGUCGGCCCAGAGCCACCGGGUAUUUAACUCCGGAUUUACUUGUCAAACAGAUAAGGUCUUGUGAUUAUAAGUCGCCAACAAGCAAAUUGUUGAGUCUUUUCACAGCUACGACGAGUUGAUUACAGUUGCAUAUCAAGCACCCAUUUUUAAACUGGGUUAUACGUUCCAAUCUUUAAUAGCCAACAUGGCUGGAUUUUCAUUAUGGUUGUCAUAACCAGUAUUAAAUGAUUGAGGUUGGAAUUUUAAAUAGCCAAACAUGAAACAUGGCUGGAAUUUCAUUAUGGUUAUCAUAACCAAUAUUGGAUGAUUGAGGUUUUCAAAGCCCAUUCAGAGUAAUGGCUAUUAUUCCUUCAUCCAAAAAUACCAGCUCACAGCAGAGAGUAUGGCUCAAUAUUAAUAUGUAAGGAUUUCAGCAACAUCAUCCGAACAGUCGAUAUGAUUUAUUCUACAAUGGAAGGAAUAGUCCCAAGUCGUUGCAGGCAUACGACCCGACACUUGGGGGCUACAUUAUUCAAAUCAAGAUUACAUCAAAUAUGCAAGUCCCAUGUCACUACAAGCAUGCUCCAUGGCAUUUGGGGGCUAAUGCAAGGUCAUUUUUAUCUCACCUCAUUGAAGACCCGACCCAUCACAUAGUGAUGAGCUGGCCCUUGGGGGCUACUAAUUGCUCCUGUCAAAAAUUCAAAGUACACAUGCCUUAAUCCAUUAUAUCAAAGGUAACCCGAAACUUGGGGGCUACAUCAUAUGAUGUUAUUUUCAAUGAAGUACAUGUAAAGUCCCAGCUCAAUAUUAUCUUACUGAGCCGGCCCUUGGGGGCUACACGUUGCUGCUUAAGUCUACAUAAUUAAGUCUACAAAGUCCACGCUCAUUAUUACAUAAUGACCUGGCACUUGAGGGCUACACAUGGGAAGUACAAAAUGUUCAGUUUAUGAUUGGCGACUUACAUGAACAACUCGGAUUUCUCUAGAGUUGCAACAUUUAUAUUUGAAGCAAGUCUUAAGCUAUCAAUACAUUCCCCUCUUAAGACUUGGGGGCUACAGGUAAUAUGGAUAUAAGGUAUGCCUUCAAAUUCCCAGUUAUGAGCAAACCAGGUAUCAUAUUCUUAUUGGCGGAAUUUACAAAGUUUAUUUCCUCCAAGCUAUUCAUAGAAAGGCUUGGAGAGCCAACUUAACAAUUGAAAGCUAUAUUUACAAAAGCAAGCACCAAGUCAGCAUAAUAUUGACCCAACGUUAGCAACAAUCAUGACCCGAUUUCAUCGGUUUUUAUAACCCGACAGUUUUGGUGAUCGUAACUCGACAAAUUCUACAUCCUCAAGCCGGCUCAGCACCAGAAGGAUAUCUUAAAUCCAAUAUUUUUGUCAAGUCGGAGCAUUGGAAGCUGACUCAAAUGGAUUAUUUUUCACCAAUAUUUCUUCUGCAAAAAACCAAUGUCAGCAAAUCGAUUUUGAAGCUGGCCUGCUGCUAUAAUGAAGAGACAGGAUAUGGAAUAACUCAGGAAUUGCAUGAUCCGACAAAUAUUGACCCAGUCGAGUGUUUUCACAGAAGGAGAUGACAAGGACUUAAGGAUGAACAUAAGCCGGCUCAGAAGAACCUUCGACCUGGCGCACAACCUGUCCAAUUUGUUCUUUUGUUUAUUUUGCAGGAUAAGUUUAACAUGGAUAAAUCCAAAUUAAAAUGGGGGCUAAUGUCGGGGAUAUACCCUGCGGUACGACCCGGCCUGAUGUAUGACCCGACCGGAGCUUGUCAAUUCACGAGUGACCCGGCUGAAGCUUGGCGACUCCCUGGUGACCCGGCCGAGCCUGGCGACUCACUGGUGACCCGGUCGAAUCUGGCGACUCACUGGUAACCUAGAGGACGGGUUAGACGAAUGACAAGGCCCAAGGACCAGAAGGCGGCUUGUGAGAAGACCGGCUCUCAAGGUACGGUGUCUGGUGGGCCGGUUUGAGAGGAAAGGCAUAAGGAAUAUUUCCCUUGCAAGGGAAGCACGAUUAGGAUUACACUUGUAAUAGAGUAGUCCUAAUCCUACUAGGACUCCACAUGUAAACCGCCCCUUCAACUUAUAUAAGGAGGGGCAGGGCACCCUAAGGAGGACAAGUUAAGACAGACAAGUCAAUAGCUCUCGAGGGAGAGGUAGCAAAAGAGCACCCUUGUAAUCGUGAGCAUGAUCAUCAUCAAUAUUAAUGAAGCAAGAUGUAGGCUUUUACCUCCACCGUGAGGGGCCGAACCUGGAUAAAAUUCCGCGUCUCUCGUCCCGCUCAACCCCUCUCAAGCUACCAGUUAGAUGCGUUGGCCUCACGACUAAGUCCUCACAUUAGGACAUCUGCCGUGACAAAACCACGACAUGGGCCGUUUGAGGGGGCCGUCUGAGUCAAAAAAUCGUGACCAAGACGGGCGGCCCGCCCGGCCGGCCGUAUGCGGCGGGUUUGAAAGGUCCGGUUAUAGAUGCUCUAAUGAUUCUAAAAUAAAAUAAAAUUUUAAAUUCCAUGUAACCGAUGUCUUGGAGCCUAGUUGGUUUGAUGCCAAAAGUUGGCAUGCCAAAUUUUGACAACUGCCAAAUGUUGGCUAGAGAUUGGUUGUAUAUCCAUUUUCGUUGUCAAUCUCAUAAAAGAUUGUCAACUUUUGAUUUUACCAAAUAUUGACUUGCCAAAUAUUGGCAAUGUCAAAUGUUGGUGAGUUGGUAACAAACCAAUCAGUAGGGCGCUCGUCCACCAAGCACUUCUUCUAUGGCCAUUUGGCCAUGUGCUGCUCUUGUGCCCGAUUUUGAAGCUGGAGAAAGCAAGUCACUGUUAACAAAUGAGAGUGACUCCGUCCAAUUGACAGCUUUGAAAGCAUCUCGAACCCAUUCUUUUCUUGUUAAGUUCUUUUUUCUAUUUCAAUUCAAAAUCUUAAUUUCAUUUCUUUUAUGGCUAUUUUUGCUUCAUAAUAUGACCAUUUUCUCUUUUUUUGCUUAAAAAGCAUUUUUUUAGGGAAAGCAACUUAUUAAAAUAAAAUUGAGCAAAAAGCAACUUAUUAAAAAAAAGACAAAACAACUUUUGUUUUGAGGGAAAGCAACAUAUUGAUUUUUUUUAGACAAAGCAACUUAUUAAAUGGGGAAGGAAUUGGCCGCCGAGGGGCAAAUAUAAACGAGGGACACGGCCCAGCCCAGUAAGAGGGUAUCUUCUUUCCUUUGCCCUAGCGAGCAGGCCCAGCCCAGACUCUCCCCCAAUCUGGACAACUAGCGGCGAAUCCCCAUUCUCCGGCGAGCCGCGGCGAGGCCCUUCUCCGGCACGACCGCUGCUUGCUGCAGCAUCGAGCUCCCCGUACUUCCGCCUCACCUCCGCAGCCUCGUUCCCGCUUGCCGCCUGGCCGACCGCACUCGCCGACGACCGGAAGCAACCAUUACGCGGUGAGCUCCCAUUCCUCUCCCUCUCCUCGGUGCCUAUGCCGCAUGUUUGUUCUCGUGAGCCGUUUCUUAUCUGAGCUCGUCGCAGAUGCGACCUGGAUCUCACCGCCGUCCGUUCCGCCACCCUGGACACCCCCCUCCCCCCUAGCUGGUGAUUCCUCUUUUCUCCUCAUCCUGUCGUCUUCAUGCCGCGAAAAGAACUCGAGUUCGUUUAUGUUGGUCAGCCGCACUAAAGUAUCCAUACCAAAUCUGUUCUUUCAUAUACACAACCGUGUCAUUGUCAUAAGGCAUGAACAUGAUCACAUAUGUUUCAAGGGCAACUUGUUUACUAAUUCAAGCAUCGAUCGGGGCCAACAAAAAAUAUUAGCACUUGUCAGUCGCACCAAGGAUGGAUACGAUGAUAUUCUUGAUUUGCCCUGGCUUAUCUCACAAGUUAGCACUUGUCUCAGCUUUUCAUGGUGUCUAAUAGGUACAUGAGAUUAUAUAUCCUGAAGGUGCAUUCCGUUCCCUUUUUACCAUAUCACAUUUUGUUUCAACACGUAUUGUAGCAACGCGUGUAUUAUAUUAUUAUUAUUGCUUACUUGUUGUGAAAUGGAUGGCGAAAUUGGAAAAACUUAUGGUGAUUUUAUUAUCUGCAACUUUGCAUAUAAUUACUUAAUUACAGAGAAGUAUCCCCAUGCGACGGUGAAUCCGUGUGGCCCCACUCAGCAUAGGUCAUAAGCCCAUACUGAAAUAUGCUUCACAACUUUUCUCAUUUGCAAAUUCUUGUGUAAACUGCAAAAGCAUUGUUAGAAGGAGACCAACAAAAAAAAUCAUGGUUUUUAGUGUGAGUGUUGGAUAAUAUUUCAGUUCAUUUGACAUCCAUAUUUCGAGCAUGGAGUCGACGUUUACCAUUUAUCAAGUGCCGGUCAAAGCUUCAAUCCAUUAAUUCGCUCAGCUCUGUUCAAUCGUUAAAUAAUGGGUAUCACUACUUCUUGCAGUUCUGCACAAACACUAAGUUUCUCAGUUUUAUAUCAUCUAUUUUCUUCUUUUUUGAUGUAGAUAUAAGUUCAUCUGCUAGAUAAGCUCAAAGGAGAUAUUGAAUCUCGGUAGGAGAUGGCCACAACCAUACUACCUGAUGACCUGGUGGUGGAGAUCCUGUCUCGGCUGCCACUGAAGUCCUUUUGCCGUUUCAGAUGUGUCUGCAAGUCUUGGCUUGCCUUCUCAUCUGAUCCGCACUACCGCAAGAAGCUCCCAAGAACUCCCUCCGGUCUCCUGUACCAAAAAAAUGAGCAUGGCAAUGCCAUCCAUUUCGUGGGCCUUCCCUCAGGUGACAGGGAUAUUGACACAACACUUAGCUUUGUGCCAUGCUAUGAGCAUCCCUUGGAGCUUAAGGGUUGCAGCAAUGGCCUGCUUAUGUGUUAUCAUGGUGGUACAGGCUCUAAAGAAAUUUCCGACGCCAUUGUGUGCAAUCCAGCAACUCAAGAGUGGAUGGCACUUCCAAAUACUGAACCUGGACCAGCCGUCUCUUAUGCUGAUCUCAAGUUGUGUUUUGAUCCAUUAUGGUCUCAACACUUCUAUGUCUUCCAAUUUGAGACGACUCCAAAUGGUGGAUAUGACACCGAAGUUAAGGUAUUUUUCUCUGAGGAUUCGACAUGGUCUAAUUGUCUAUGGGAAACUUCAGAUAUACUUGGUGGUGAUUCACUAUUCUUAAAUGGGGUGUUGUAUGUGGAUCACUUAUGGGGGCAUUACCUUCUGGCACUCGAUGCACCUGACACAUGCACACAAUUGCUCAAUCAUAGGAUCCUUCAGCUGCCUGGAUUUCCAAAUGGACCAGAACAGAGGUUUUAUUGCUUUGAUGGCUGUCUUGGCCAGUCAUCUGGGGUCUUAUGCUACGCACAACAAGAAUUGGAUGGCUGCAUCAUCCGAAUUUGGAGUUUGGAAGGAUCUGAUAGGUGGGUGGUGAAGCAUCGUCUAAAUAUGAACAACGUAUUUGGGAGGGACAUAAUGCUCCGUGCUAACAAUGAAGGAUUAUGGUAUUUUGAUUAUGAAAUCCUGGCAUUUGACUUGGAGAGAGAGCUAGUUUUCGUUGCUGACACGAUUGCUGAUAAUAAGAUCAUCUCAUAUAGCAUCAGUACUGGAAAGGGCUCGCAGAUUCUAAACAUUCCAAGGUUCGUUGACCUAUAUCGAAGUCGACUCUACGUGCCUUACUAUGGCAAGUUUCCAGCUUCUGUGCUUCAAGGAGCUCAAGACAAAUGUUAGAUUAUUUACCCUAUGAAUGCUGUAAUCUCUAGUUAUCUUUUGUGCACUAGCUAUACCAAACGGCUGUUAUGCAUGUACCGGAUUGUUGGCUUGGUUAUGUGUUAUGUUAAUCUAAUUGGCACUUGUCAUUUCUCCUGUCAAGUCCGGUCUUGCUUAUGCUAGCCUAAUUUAGAAAAACUGCAGAGCAUGAUGUUAUGAAGCUUUCUAUACAAGGGCGUGUGAGGCAGUGUGAGCUUUCUAUACAAUGGCUGGGAGAACUCUUGUAAUCCUGCCAUGCUUCAGUCUCUUGACAUAGCAGCUAGCGAUCAUAUAUUAGAUUGAUUUACUAAGAGAUAAUGUUUCAGCCAUAGCAAAGUCGAGUAGGAUCCGCCUCACCGAGACUGCGGAGGUUUGAGCAGCUAGCGUUCAUUGCCGACGAGUUCUUGAGGUACAUCCAGUUCCAGUUCGGAGGCCGUCCGAGGAGUUUGGCCAUGGUAUCCUCCUUCAAAGUUCCCACGGAGCCCCUGCUUGCAGGCAAGGAUGCCCUCCUCAUGCAGUCAUGCUUCAUCCAUUCGCUGGUGGCAUCGCCGGUGACGGCAGCGUGGACGAAGAACAUACUGACAAUUUAACCACUGAUCCAUCAUCAGAGCUAUUCCACUGAUCCAUCGUCUAUGCCAACGUGAAGGAUCUCCACGCUACAUUCGUGUAACAAGAAUUUCACCAACGAGGGAAGUGCUGCCACCAGCGGCAAGCCGAUCAGUCAAGUUGAUGCAAUGUAUUUCAUCUUGCUUCUUAAACUGAUCAAUCAUGAGGCACAGUUGCAGAUAACACGCUGCCACACAUAUUCGUCUGUGGUAUCACUCCCCACACGAUAAUGCUCAUUGAGAUGAAUGACCUCCUAAUCUCAAACCUGAAGUUUCUCCCGCUCUGUUUUGAAUCUAUGCCGGGGCUCAAAAUUAAUCCUCUUAAAGUAAGGCCAUCCUUUUGUGUUUUAUACCCUGGAUGUGCGCAAGAUUGCUAACAAGUUCGUAACAAGGGAUCCUUCCUUUUACACACCUCGAUUUUCUGUUUUGGAUAAAAUUUACUCGGUGAGAUAGGUUGGGCCGUUGGGGUGCCAUGGAAACAAAGCAUAGUUUAAAUAACGGGACCGGUGAUGCCGCCGGUUUAGGUUUUUACCGGCCGGACCGCCGGUUCAUUCGCUGUGUUUUUAAACCAUAAAAAUAUGUAAAAAUAUGUCAAACAUACUGAUUUCUUUAUGGGAAAGGCUUUGCUUCAUGCGGUGGAUAUCAUGCGGACGUCCGUCGCCUCGUCCGUGCAACGCGUGUCCUGCCUGGGCUCAUCUAACAUUUUCUCUUACAGUUUUGCAACUGAGCGCUUGUUGCGGUUUGCCUACCGCAACAACUCGUAUGUUGCAGGAUCUGAAUCUGGCUCCUUCAUGGGCAGUCGCCUCCCGUGUUCUUCACAAGUUCCCGUUCUACAUGACAUUCUACCUCUAAUUUGUGCAACAUCAUCUAUGUUGCAAAAGUCCUUCCGCAACAUCAUCUGUGUUGCAAAAAAAGAAGACAAAAAAAUCUGCAACAUAAUCUCUUUUGAAUAUUUCUGCAACAUGAGCUCUGUUGCAAACGGUUCUGCAACACCGACUUUGUUGCAAUAAUGAGGACGGGGUUAGGUCAUUGGAUUGAUCAGAUCUAACGACUGCUGAGGUGGUGGAUCUUAUCAGAUUAUCCACCGGCGGACGCGUAGCGCUUUCUUUAUCCUUUGACUUUUUUGAGGCAUCUUUAUCCUUUGACUUUUUUGAGGCAUCUUUAUCCUUUGACAGCUAAGUUGGAUGGGGACUUGGUUGUUUCCUAGUGCCCAAGGAUCAAUCCCCGGCGGCUGCAACUAAUUUUCUUUCGGUUCAAUCGGUUUGAGCCAAAAAAAACAGCCGGUUCAAUCGGUUUUAUUUUUCUUUCGGUUCAACCGGUUUUUUGUGUCCAACCGGUGGUCCGGUCUGUCUUUUUAAACUAUGCACACAAGUUCUUCUUGAGUAAGGAAAACGAUAAAUCUACAUAUAGGACGGUCAAAUGGAAACCUAUCCGUAAGCUUAAAAAUGUGAGAGGCUUAGGGGUCGUUGAGACUUCGGUCACUUUUAGGGGGAGUUUUUUUAUUGUACAGGGUGGAGACGCGCUGAAAUUUUUUUUUUAAGUUAAAAAAAUCAACGCGUCUCCACCAAGUACCAUAAAAAAACUCCCCCUAAAAGUGGUUUUACGCAGUCCAUAUUAUUUGGGGAAGGUUCACUAGUGAGGUAUUUAGGUAGAUCCCAUAAACUUCUUCCCCUAAAAUCAGUUUUCCCCAUAUUUCUCCUUAAACUAGCAUACAAAUGGCAUAUGCAUUUCUAUUCUAUCAACCUAAAAAUUCAAAUAAUGUUAUUUCAGAAUCACAAUUUAUGAAAUUUUAUUUGAAAUACAAAUUCGAAACAUUUUCUUCCUCCCCACGAGCUACCCUGUGUGACUAGAGUUUUUCCACCUUCCGUCGGUGCCACAGCCUCCUAUGGCCUUAAGGCCAUGGAGGUGCGGUCGAUUCAGGCCCAUGCCGGCGGGAGGGCCCCUACUCCGUUUUAGGUGCUUUCUUAGUUUGUUUAGGUUUUUUGUCCUGCUCUGGACAGCGAGGCGUCGUAGCCACCCUAAAGAUGGAAUAAGGUUCUUCCUGCCUAGCCCUAGUCCCAGCGAUGUGUCUGGCCUCGUCGGAGGGGAGGUGUGUCUUCGGUGGAUCUCACAGGAUUCAGUCGGUGUUUCUUGGGUGGAUUUGCUUGGAUCUGAUCUACGUGUGUGUAUCUACAAGUUAGAUCCUUUCCAUAUACGCUUCUCUUCAUCAAAGAUGAUUGUUUUUUUUACUAUGAUCGAAGAUGGUUGUUGUUCCGGUGCGCUGAUCUUUUGGGUCGUAGCAUGAUGACUUUCCGACUGUCUACUUCGAUAAGGUUUGCCUGGCUUCGAUGAGGGAGGGGCAAUGCCGGUGGUGCUUCUUCGGCUCACCCCUUGUAGUCCUCGUUAGGUGGUCUACAAACAUUGAUUUGAUUCCUAUUACUUCUAGUGUUAUUUGUACCGCCAUGAUGUUUGACGAAUAGACCUGAAGUUUUUCUCGCGAAAAAGGGAAACAUAACAAAGGGUCUAAAUCAUCCGAAGUAGAACAUAAUAUGAAGGAGUUUAUGGAGCAUGAAGCGACCACAAAUGCUCAACUAGAUCAUCACGAGGUUGUUCAUGCCCCACACGGGUUUCGAUCUACAAUGCAUUUCAAGAAAUUUCUGGAGUCGUCGUUCAUCCCUUUGUAUCCCAACAGGUGGCAUAUAAAUUUUGUUUCCCUCAUUAUUACAGUGAAAGUCUCGAGGUGGCCGGCCGGCGUGGAGAGGUGGGCGGUUAUAAGGGUUAAUGUUUCUUCUCCUUGAUGGAGGGGAAGUUGGGCAGAUUGUACGGGUUCCUAUAAUGUUUCUUCGUGUUUACACAAUAUGUUGGAGCAACUUUUUCUUGUCCACCAUGUCCUCUAAAGAUCCCAACAAUACCUGUGGAGAAUUGCGUAUAACAGCCUUCCAGUAAGAACAAACCUGAAGAGGAGAGGCAUGGAAGCUGACACUUUAUGCCCGGUAUGUCAGUGGCGUGAUGAGGAUGGAGGGCACCUAUUUUUUCAGUGUAAACCGGUCAGAACAAUCUGGAGGACAGUGGGGCGUAAGGACGUACGACUGAAGUGUAUAACAAUGCAUGACCCCUUGGAAGUUUUACGUGCAAUCCUGAAUUUGCCGAACAGUGAUAAAGCUACAGUGUUGGCACUCCUCUAGACAUGGUGGACGACGAGAAAUGAAAUUCGAGCUGAAGGCCGGAAAGUGGAGUUAGAAAAGAUAGUGUGGCAAGUAAGAAGAUUGGCACAAAAGUUCAGAGAUUUCUUUGACAAGCCUAAGAAGAAAGAUAGUAACACCCAGACCCAUUGGUCACGUCCUGCCCCGGGAUGCCUAAAACUGAAUAUGGACGGGAGUUUCAACGUGGUCGAUGCUAGCGGUGGGUGGGGAUUUGUUGUAUGAGAUGAUGCUGGCGAUGUAGUGUUGUCUGCUGCAGGACGCAUUCUACAUGCACAAGACCCCCUCCAUACAGAAGCAUAAGCAUGCCGACAAGUCCCUGACACUGAUCCAAGAUUUUGGCAUCACUCAGAUUGCAGUUGAGACAGAUGUGUUGCUAUGAACAUGAUCUAGCUCCUAAUGGUGUGUUUUUUAGGGAGGUUAAAUCUAUUGCUAUGCUGCAGUUUAGUCACUUUACUAUCUCACAUUGCCUGAGGGCUUGUAAUAAUGUCGCAGACGCUCUAGCGUUGUUCGGGUCGAACAUGGAACAUGAGCCCCAAGCCGUAUGGCCGGGCCAUGUCCCUGCCUUUGCUCAAUGUUUCGUUGCCAGCGAUCGUGCUAAUGGAAUGAGAUUUCCAGUUUCAAAAAAAAAAGUUUCUAGGAAUAUGGAAUCUAUUGGAGAUGCUCUAAUAAAAAAAGUUUCUUGGUGUUAGAAGCUUCUUCAACAAACAUAUGCUAUCUAUGGAGAGCUAUUGUGUUAUAAAUAUUUCCCUCUUAGUGAUCCUUUACUGGCAUUGCAUAGGGGUUAGAGAACAUUUUUUAAAGCCUGAGAUAUUUUCCGGUCACAUGACAAAUUUAUCCUAGGGAAUGGUGGGCGAACAAAAUUUUGGCCCGCUUGGUGAUGUGGUGACUCUCUGCUGCAAGUUCGCGCUCUCGCCUACUUCGAUUAUUGUGAAAACCCCGAAUUUCUUGAUUGCUGAUGUAGCCAACACUAAAUGGAACAUCGCUGGACCCUUUCCAAGCAAGUGAUAUAUUGGCAAAGUCUUACUGUUGAGAUGCCUUAACCCGCGGGGAAGUCCAUCAAGUCAUCUGGCCCCAUUCAACGUUGGCCCAUGAGAUAUUUUUUCAUAUAUCUGUUGAUAAGCGAUCCAAAUAUCGGUCAAUCCUAUUCCCUGCUCGCAGUGGGAAAUACUUCAAUAUCGAUAUGAAGCCACCCCCUGCCUUGUGUUUGCUUAAUGGGCCGCCCAUGAUUUUUUGUGUUCUUUUUUACUAUUUUCUUUUGUAUAUUUUCUAUGUUAAGAAUCCAAGAAUAUUUUGAAAAUUAAUAAACAUCUUUUGAAUUUUAUGAACAAUUUCAUUUGUGGACAUAUUUCAAAAUUUAUGAACAUUUUGUUUUUGAAAUUUUAAACAUUUUAAAAUUCACUAACACUUCUAAAAAAUCAUAAACAAUUUUUAAAAUUUUCUUUUUUAUAAUUCGUGAACCUUUAAAAAAAUUGCAACCAAUUUUUUUUUGUAAAAUGACGUGAAAUUUUUAGAAAUAUGUAGAAAAAAUGUUUAAAGUCACGUGAACCUUUAAGUCAUGAAAUUGAUUUCUGCCCCCUUCUCCGAAGCACAUUCCCCACUGCUCAAGCCCCACCACAACCACCAUGAAGUCGCUGCAUUUGCAAAUGUACUACCAGGGCUAGAGCCUCUUGUCUUGCUUACAGUAUCACUAGAUGAAAGAUACCGUCCAAGACGACGUCAUACGCGCCCUGAGAUGCUCCUGCGUCUUCUCAGAUUAGCUUGGGCUAGGGGAAAGAAAGCUUCCAUCUAAAUUAAUCUUAGAACUUCAUUUUGAUUGAGUGACACAGUCCCUUUUGCCCCGCAAUAAAACCGAAUAUUUACUAACACAAGAAUAUGAAAAAAAUCCUAACAAAAAUUAAAAUAAAAAGCAUUUACCAAAAUUUUAAUUUGGUUAACUAAAUUUGAAUUUGGUUAUUUUUUUAAUUUCGUUACCUAAAUUUGAAUUUGGUGAUAAAUAUAAAUUUGGUGAAUGAAAAUUGGAUAGCUAAACUAGAUUUGAACUAGGUGAACUGUUUUGAAUUAGGGGAAUAAAAUUUUAUUUAGGUGAACUAAAUGUGAAUUGGGCGAACUAAAUUUGAAUUACGUGAACUAAAUAUAAAUUUGGUGAACUAAAUUUGAAUUCAUUGAGCUAAAUUUGAAUUAGAUGAGAAAUCUUUUCUUAGGUGAACUAAUUUUGAAUUCGGCGAACUAAAUUUAGUGAACUAAAAAUUAGCUGGACUAAUUUUGAAUUAGCUGAACUAGUAGAUAGUUGGAAAAAAGAUUAGUUCAGCAACUUCCAUAGGCAAAUAGAAAAAGCAUAGAGCAAGUUCAGGCCUACCACAGGAUUUUCCAUCUAGUGGCAGGUCUCAAUUUCGUGAACCUUUUUUUCAUAUGCAUUCCAUUUUUCGUUAUCAACUUCAUGGACUUUUCCCAAUUCCACAAACUUUUUCUGCAAAUUUUUAUUUUAUUUUUUGUGAACCUUUUCAUUUCAAAUCUAUGAACUUUUUCAAAAAAAAACAAAGUGUUUUUUUUCAUUUUUGCAAACUUUUCCUAGUGAUUUUUUUUUCAACUCGUGAAUUUUCUAUUAUUGUUGAUAAAUAAGAAAGUUUAGACCUGCCAUGGAAUUUAGCUCUCGUGGGCAAUCCCAUUUUCGUGACAACAAAAUCCUGUGGCAGGUCUGAACUGUGGCGCUGUGGAAGACUCAUUUUGGAGCUAAGAAUUUGAAAAAAGUUCACUAAAUUUUACUCAUAAUUUUGUUCAUCAAUUUGAACUAAAUUUUCCAUUUAUGUACUUGUCCACCUAAUUCACAAUUGUGAAUUUGGCAAACUAUAUUUUGAAUUAGGUGAACUAAUUUUCAAUGUCAGAUCUUUUGCAGUUGUUCAGUUAAUUGACUCUUACAACUUUGGCAAAUAAAACAAGCAUGGUCAUUUAAAAGGAAUGCCUGACAGUACAAUAUUUUGAUACGCAACACAGAAAGAACAGGAAAAAGGAUUUAAAACUAUGAUGACCAUAAUUAUGCGAAAUACAGUAGUACACAAUGAUGUACCAGUCUAUCACAGGUAUUAAUCAAGUUUCUGCAUGAGAGGACCUCCUCAUCUGUGCAGCACCCAUUUGUAGGGCGACAAAGCUAUGAAAUCUUGGAUUUCAGAUAGCGGCAUUCUUGAAUUCCAACUUGACAUAGUUGUGCUUUGUUCUGCACCAAAACAGAAUGGGGGCAAAGCUAAUACCUUACUGCACUUGUACCUUAUAAGGUAUCAAAAAAGCUGAAAGGAAGACAAAGAAAUUCCUACUCGCAGUUUAUCAAGUUUAACACGAUUUAUUUGCAGUUUUGCCUUUUCAUAUAAAAGCUUGCCAUGGAGCAAUUUUGCCUCAGCUAGUCUGGAAUCUUGAAUCCUCUGCGUUUAGAAAACGAACACAUCAGAUAAGUGGAAGUAAUUUUCCUAACAGCGACAGACAAUAUGACAACUAAUUAAUGAUAGCAUACCACAGCAGCAGAAAGCCUAAUAUAUGUACUAGCCACAUGAAUCUUCCUCAUCAUAUCUCCUAACGUAUCAAGCUUCAUUAAAACAAAACAAGAAAAAUAUAUAAGAUACAAUAAACUCAUGCUCCAUAGAACAUUUCCACAAGAUAUUUCAAAUGCUAGAUCAUUAGGUUGAACAAUAGAAUUAAACACACAAUAAGAAUAAAUCAUCUCGCAGAAAAAGGAAAUUCACAAAAGAGAUAUAGAGAACUAUAGAUUCUGAAGAUCAAUUAGUAACUGUACACAGACUCUGCCAAAAAUUGUUGGGGGAGGAAUUCACUCAGGACCACAACUUCCAGAUUUGUGAAUAGAAACAAACAUGUUUGGAACAAUCAAACGAUGUUUGAAGGAAUGGUGGUCAGAUGUAAUCCUAGAUUACUUUUUCACGCAACCUUGUGUUUAUUACAGAAGAUAAUGUUACCUCGAAACUCUUGAGAGUGAACUAUGUGGAGCCAAAGGCUUGAUCCUACAGAUCACAAUAAUAUAUUUGCUCAGCUAAAAUUGAAGGAAUAAUCAAGAUCAAGACAACACAAGUUGAGUAUGAGAUCGUGAUGCAAGAAGCUAUAGGACUAAUAAUUGUUUCCACAGUGCGCUAGAUUUUCAUCUAAAUAGUGUAAAGGGGUGCUAUGAAAGAAAUUAAUAAUCUAGCGUAAAACACGAAAAUUGGCAAUGGCUCCUAGGUACAUAUGCACCCAUUGUCUAAAUACACAUUUUGAAAAGUUGAAAAAUUCUCUACAAAAACCCCGCGUGUAUAUCCGGACAUUCUAUGUGCGUGCACAAAGUUUUCGGUGAAAAAGGAGGUUUUUUGUGGCUUGUGUAAAAAAGACAAUUUCUGAUGCUUCAUUACAACUAUUCAUUUUGCAUUUCUUUAUCUUUUUUACACAAGCCACAAAAAAACGUCGUUUUUCACCGAAACUUUGUGCAUGCACAUAGAAUGUCCGGAUAUACCCGCGGGAUUUUUGUUUCAAAAUUUUCAACUUUUCAAAAUGUGUAUUUAGACAAUAGGUGCAUAUGCACCUAGGAGCCAAAACACCGCUAAAACAGAGGAAACCUAGUAAAUGGGAAAAGUGACUUCAUUAUGUCGACUCGAGUAAGCGGAAAAGAAGAAGUGGGCCGAGCCCAACGCGAGGGCCCGUGUCCACCUGCAGCGUGACCUAGCUGCACCUCUCCCUCCAUAUAAAUCACCCCAUCUCGCCCAGCUCUCCCACCCCUUAGCCGCCGCCACAGCCUCCAGCUCCAAACCCUCAUCUCCCCCAUCCAAGCUCACUGCCCCCAACCCCCCACCCCCACCCAGCCAUGGCGGACCGCGGCGGCGAGCGUGGUGUCGGCGAGCGCGGCGGCGACCGCGGCGGCUUCGGGCGCGGCUUCGGCCGCGGCGGGCGCGGGGACCGUGGCGGGCGCCGCGGCGGCCGCCGUGGCCCCCGCCAGGAGGAGGAGAAGUGGGUGCCCGUCACCAAGCUCGGCCGCCUCGUCAAGGAGGGCCGCUUCACCAAGAUGGAGGAGAUCUACCUCCACUCGCUCCCCGUCAAGGAGCACCAGAUCGUGGAGACGCUCUGCCCGGGGCUCAAGGACGAGGUGAUGAAGAUCACCCCGGUCCAGAAGCAGACCCGCGCCGGACAGCGCACCCGCUUCAAGGCCUUCGUCGUCGUCGGCGACAGCAACGGCCACGUCGGCCUCGGCGUCAAGUGCGCCAAGGAGGUGGCCACGGCCAUCCGCGGCGCCAUCAUCCUCGCCAAGCUCUCAAUCGUGCCCGUCAGGCGGGGCUACUGGGGGAACAAGAUCGGCCAGCCCCACACCGUGCCCUGCAAGGUCACCGGCAAGUGCGGCUCCGUCACCGUGCGCAUGGUGCCCGCCCCCAGGGGUUCUGGAAUCGUCGCCGCCCGCGUCCCCAAGAAGGUGCUGCAGUUCGCCGGGAUCGAUGAUGUCUUCACUUCCUCGCGUGGAUCCACCAAGACCCUUGGCAACUUCGUCAAGGUAUAAACUUCCCCUGCCUUUAUCCAUGCUCUGCCAUGUUCCCGCCAUACUGCUACUUUACUGUCAGUACAUAAUGUUCAUUCCUUGUGUGUGCAUGGUUUGGAAUGUUUACUGCAAGAAGUGAUGCCUUUGGCAGCGUGUAAAAUAUUAUUUUUAUUAGAUUCAAGCCUGCAUAAUUUUGUUGGAAGGGGCGUAACUGGUUUACAGUCUGAUUCGUAUGAUUUAGUCUAGAUUCAGUUGGUCUGGAAAUUGUAGUUCUACUGUACUAGCCUAGUGUUGUUGACCAAACUUUAAUUUGUGCUUAGUACUUCAGGCUGGUCUUCAAUUGAUUGAUUGAAAAUGUGUCGCAACCUUUUUAAACAGUUCAGUUCAUUUUGUAUUACAAGCUUUUCAUGUUUUCAAUCUGUACAUGUAAUACAUUUUUGAGUUGCGGAAUCCUGGCUUGUGUCCUAAUACAUUUCGAGUUGUUCAUGUAUUAUAACCAUUUAGACAUUUCUGGUUGAGGGUCUAUUCUUGCAUAGUGAUGUAUCACUUCUCUUCUCUGUUUAUUUAUGCCUGCCAUGCUCUGUUUUAUUUCUCACGUUGGCAGUGGUGAGCUCAUAUCAAGUUGUGGUGAUGAUUUUUAUCAGGGUGAAUUUGUUCUUGUUUGCAUUGAAUAGUUGCAAACCUGAAGCUGACAAUUCUUUUAUUUCCAGGCAACCUUCGACUGCCUGAUGAAGACCUAUGGAUUCCUCACCCCUGACUUCUGGAGGGAGACAACCUUCACCAAGGCGCCGUACCAGGAGUUCACCGACAUCUUGGCGAAGCCGACCAAGGCCCUGAUGCUUGAUGCACCAGCCGAGAAGAUAGAAGCUUAGGAUGUUUGCCAUGAAAGGGUUUUUACUAGCUGGGAGCUGUCUGUUGCACUUUGCUUUAUUAUAGUCGAGAACAAGGUGUCUUUGAAUUGUGCUACUUGUGGAAGUCUCUGUUUGCUGUCAAAGUUUUGGAUUAUGGUGCAAUGCUACUCUCUGUUAUCGGCAAAGGAUGCUACAUAAUUAUGCCAAUCCAGUGUUAUUUGUCUAGAUGUUUGAUUUUUGGAUGCAGCUCCGCCUCGCCGUCGUCACCGACGCUCGACUGGUUGCAGCAAAAGAACACGCCAGUAGUAGCAAUUUUUGUUUGUGGAUGGUUCCAGCAAAAAGAUAUGCCGGACGUAGCAUUUAUGUAUGCUGAUUGUAACAUUUUUUGCCGUGGUUUGCAGCUCCGCCGCGUCGACUCUCGCAGCCGACUGGGCUGGUUCCAGCAAAAAGAUAUGCCGGACGAAGCAUUUUGGCGCGCCGGUCGGUAGCAUCUUUGCCCCGUGGAUGCAGCUUUGCCGUGUGCUGCCGCUGGUUGUAGCAGACUUCCCUGUGAUAGCAAAAAUCCUCGUGGAUGCAUUCAGCCAGCCGCCCCAUGGUUGUAGCUUGGUGUGCGAGCUCACACCAUGGCCGGCCUCGUCACAGCUUUGCCGUACUUGCAGUCCCAGCAAGUGCGGGAGCUGCACGCAGCACAUGAUGGCCGCCCCAUCGCAAAAACGAUAACAGCCGAACGCAUGGGGGUGUGGUCGCGCCGGGCACCAACAUCAGCGCGCGACGGCAUAUGUGUGGAGGCGCUCUAGCGGGGCAGGCGUUUGUGGGGCCGGAUUGGAGAGGGGGAGAGAACAAGGUGGGGUGAACGAAUGGUCGAGAACGCUUGGGGAAGAGGAAGGGGAUAAGGGAAAAAGGAAAGAGGGCGGCGUGUGGACAGGACGUGUGGACAGGACGCGACCGGCGCAGUUUCGGCCGGUCGACCGGAUACAAACAUUACCCCUACUUUGUGCAUUUGACAAAAUGUUCCAUAUGCUUGAUUGAAUGCUAAGUGAGUGUUCUAGUAAGCUACUUGUGCAACAGUGCAAGUGCAGAAUUGAACAGAACCGAAUUGAAUUUGAGCAUUUGCAUACUUCUGAACUAAACUAGAUGCCAAAUGUUAACUGAAAUUUUACUAAAGUGAAUGCAAUCGUUGCCCAGAACUGAACCCCAACAUAAGUGAUGGCAACUAGUGCCCAUAAUUCAACUGAACUGACCGGCGAAUUUGCCAAAACCAGGCUUGUUUACAUCCCGAUUCAAGUUAGAGUACAUGAUUGCCCAGAAAGAGUAGUAUUUCACCAGUGAUUGGUCCCUGUUCUAUCUCCCUUUGACGAAUGAAACUGCAGCGAUAUAUCACCUUGCUUGAGUUCUUCUGAAAAUGUUCUUUGAAUGCUCUCUGAAAAUGUUGUUACUUUUGCUUGCUGCUUUCCUUUUACUAGACUGCGCUGAAACAAUACUAGGAGUAGUAUAUUGUCAUAGUAUACCUCCAGAUUUAGGCAGAAGAAACAUGGUAAUUUCUGGUACUGUUCCUUAGAGUGCAUUUGCUCUAUACCUCAAAACAUGUAAAUGGUCAUUGCUUAUUAAUUAAGGAGCUAAACUUCAGUACCACAAAUUAGAUGACACUUGAUCAUUCUUCUUCUUGAGAAGCAACCAUAGCCCAAUAGAAUGACUUUAGGCUCUAGGAAAUAGAAUUAGUACCGGGGAAACAAGCUUCACGUUGUGUAGAAGGACCAAAUACUCAUACUAGUGACUCAGGCUUUUAAUUAGUCGUUGUAGAAUCAUUGUACUUGUACCAACGCCGCCUCCUCGACCGAGACUCCAUCUACUCCGUCGUCCCCUCCGCCACCUGAAGCAGGUAGCCAAUCUCGUCCUGUUGUUGUUAUGAUCUGCCUUGUUUAUAUUUUAUCUGCAAUUUACAUUGAUCUUGUUGCAAGAAAAACUAUGAAUGGAGAUGGUACCUAAUUAAGUUAAAUCCACAAUAUCCGUCCAACAUCAUACCUAAUUAAGCACAUGCAAUAUAUUCUCUUUGGGCUAUGGUUUAUCUGCAAUAUAUUCUCUUUCAGUACAUUAUGUGUCCAUGGUGAGGAAUGUUUGCUGCAAAUAAGAAAUAUAUUUAAUUAUUUAGUUAGGAGGUGUGGAGUGAGGAGCUCCUAAGUCUCUAGAACUCUAUCCAUAACCCUGCUCUCUGUUCCACAUUUCAUCUCAAUUUCCGUUGUUUUUGCAUUGGUACAUUUACAGUCGAUAUUAUUCUGCUCAUUAUCACUUAUUUUUAGUUAGUAUGAACACUUGUGGACUGUCUUACACACCGGUAAUGUUGGUACGGUACUAGCAGAGUCCAUUGGUCAACUAUGUAGUACCUAGUUGACUAUUUUUUCAUAAAGGAGCAACAUACUAUUUACGACCCAUUCCUAGCGAGAUACCAUGCUACUGCUUCUAGUUGGUUGUGAGGUAUGGAAUACUGAUUAAUUAAAUAAAAUAAGAUAAAAUUGCAAGACUUAGUCUGGUGUUUGUCACUUGAGUGCAAGUUGAACAAAAUUCUAAUAGGAUUCCUGUGGUAACUUUUGUGAAUACUUCAUUUGCCAACAUACGAGUCGAGCAGAUAGAAAAUACAUCUUGGCGAAGCCGACCAAGGCCCUGAUGAUGUCGUCGUAAAGGGUUUCACUAGCUGGGAGCUGUCUAAUGCUCUUUGCUUCAUUAUAGUUAAGAAUUUGAAUCGUGCUGCUUCAGAAUGUCUCUGUUUGCUGUCAAAUUUUGGAUUGUGCUACUAUGCUACUCUCUUUUAUCGUCAAUGGAUGCUACAUAAUUAUGGCAAUCACAGUCUUAUUUAUUUUAGAUGUUUGGCUUUUAUCUAUGCUUUGUGUUGUUGAUGUUCUCCUCUGCGUCCUUGUUUGUUUUGUUUCUUAUUCUGGUGCAUUGUAUUUGUGCAAAAUUCGACCUGAUAAUGAAUUACGUAUGAUUUCUGCUGUCACUGGCCUUUUGUAUGCUGGUUUGUUUAGUUUAGCUCAGGCUGGUGCCGUGCUUAUUAUCCAUCCGAUUCGACUUGCUGUUUUGUUUAGUUCAGGCUGGUGCCGCUUAUUAUUCAUCUGAUUCGACUUGCUGUUUUGUUUAGUUCAAGCUGGUGCCGUCCUUGGAUAUUAUUUGAUUAGUUUGCGAUUUUAAUCUACCUUUAGUUAUCCAUUAGUGGUUGCCGAGCUUUUCUCUGACAAUUGCCCAACACAGAAAUUCUAUUUUCUGACGCUGCAAGAGGCAACCGGAAGCUUCUCAGAGAAGCAUAAUUAAGCUCGGAGAAGGCGGUUUCGGAACUGUAUACAAGGUAAACAGACAAGCCUGGAGAAUACAGGGUAAAACUAUUUGCCGCACUCUGUUCUUCUACUGAAAAAAGAACCUCUGCUUCAGGGAAACCUUCCCAUGGACGUUUCUUUUCGCCUCCUAUCAAUGCAAAGGUACGCGCCAGGGUAUUCGCGGAAAAAGGAGGAGAUGCUACUAGUCUAUGAAUACAUCAGGAACGGGAGCUUCGACAACUUCCUUUUUGUAGAUGCUAGUCGAAGAAAUACGCUAAACUGGGAUGAAGAAUACAACAUCAUUCUCGGAAUUGCCAAGGGAAUAAUGUAUCUUCACGAGUGUAAGAAUCAUCCACCGAGACUUGAAAGCCAACAACAUUCUGUUUGUUGAUGCCAUGGAUCCGAAGAUUGCAGACUUCGGGUUAGCUAGGCUGCAAGUAGGAGGCCAUACAAACUCAAACCAUGACAGCUAGAGUUGUUGGAACAUACAGUAGUAAGCAACUGCAUACAAAAGGGCUUCCGUACAUUGCAGGUAUCAAGACGUGUGUUUCUAUGCCUAACUGAUCUAUGCAAUACACGGAAACGUGUCGCCAAAGAUCGACAUUUUCAGCUUUGGUGUCUUGGUGCUUGCUGAAAUUGUAACCAAGAGGAGGAACUGCGGUUCAGAUGAUUGCGAGACGGACACGGUGAGUCUCCCAAGUGAUGUAUGGACUUGUUGGACCAAAGGGACGACAUCGCAGAUGAUUGAUGAAUCACUCGAAGGACACCCGCGAAUCCAGGCGCUGAGAUGUAUGUAUCCACAUCGGGUUGCUGUGCCUGUCGUCCAAGCAGACCCUGACGACAGGCCUGACAUCCCAUCCAUCAUCCUCAUGCUGAACAGGGACGACAUGGAGCCUGUGGCUUAGUAUGUGAGGGUCCGUAACCAAUUUUCUUUUCUUUUAGAGAGUGUUGAGUAUACGAGGCUCAAGCAAUACAAUCAACGAUUCCAUCAAUCUCUCUAUUCCCUUUUAACAGAGAGCACGCAAAUUGCGUGCCUACGCUUUCUAGAAGGAGCUCUUUUACGGUACCGCUAAAUGAAUGUGAGCCAUCCAUCCAUCUUAAUCUGACGGCUAAUCAUACAUGGUACUCCAAUACAGAUCCUAGGGAGUACCAUCUCAAAAAAAAUAUGGAGUACCUUGAUGUUAGGGGUAAUACCGUAUGGAUGGAUGGCUCACGUUCAUUUAGCGGUACCGUAAAAGAGCUCUCAUGGGUGAUUUAUUUAUUUCUCAAUCAUAUAUCAAUUUAUUACAGAAAUACUAAAUAGAAUGAGAUUCCAAUUUAGUACGAACUUGCUUCUAAGGGUGUGAACGCAGACUUCAAACAAAAAUUUGUCAUGGACCCUAAUCCCAAAUCAAUAUCAUUCGCAAGAAGAAAAAUCUCAAAAUCGAGAUGAUGAUCAUGCGUGGCGGGGCAUGUUGAUCACAGGGUCAUCACCACUGAGGGGAUUAGGAUUAGGCCACAUCAGUUCACAAUCCAGGUUAUGCACCCGUGAUGUGCAUAUCAAUGGCCGCCACCGGUAGUUGCGCCUACGCGAAUUGGUCGGGGGAUGACACCGCCAUGGGAUACUGGCGCAUCAUGGAUGUAUGAGGAGGAGCACAGUCCUCCUGCAGCGCCUUAGUUCUAUUAAUCUGUAAUUAACAAGAAUUCACGGAUGGCUACAAGACGAAGUCUCCAGCCGCUACCACGAUGGGGGAACAAACAGUGCGAUCGCUGCGGCCUGAUGCGGUUGAUUCGGUUGGAAUAAAAGUCAAAACGAAUAAGACAAAAGUUCUAAAAUACCCCUGAAGAUGGAUGGUUGGAUUUAUCCGGCACUCCCUCCUCUCCCUAGGGAGUACCAGGGUACUGUAAAAACUCUCUUCUAGAAGAUAGAGGGUCUGUAACCAAUUGAAUUGGGAUAAGCAUAAAAGAAGUGACUAGAAUUCUGAUGGCGCCUUCCUCUCAGUCUCCCAUCCUUCCUCUGGUGGUCUGUUCCUCACCUACCCUUCUCCGUGCCUUCCCGGUCCUCUUUCUUGCCGAUCGCGAUCGGGUCGUCACAAUUGGAUACCAGGUACUUCAAAUUGGCCCCAAAAUUUGCUUUCGCUGUUUGCUCCUCAAUUCUCUCGGCAAGAAUCUAUAUUGAUGAAUAGAAGAAUACAAUUUGUAGAUUGCAUUUGAGAAACCAAGUCUUGACAGAGUAGCUUCAUGUAUUGCUUGAGUGUUUCAAGAGGGUCUUCGGGGCUUUACAUAGGCUGACCUUCGCCAACAAGUUUUCGAUCUUUUUUUUUUCGAAUAAAAUACUUUCAUUACUUAAAAGGAGACCUCACAGUCAAGUUUACAAAUUUCAACCACCUCCUCUGGUGCACACCGUAUCCAAACAGCAGUUUUUGGGAGCGUGUACGACCCAUUUGAGCAAGUACAUGGCUCGCUUUGUUCUGGUCACGUUUGAUGGACGUGAUUUUAUGCUGCCUGCUAGCCAGUAGAUGCCUGACUUCACUCACCAUUGCUGCCAUAGGUGAUCUGUCCAGAGAGGAAUCAGUAACCAUAUGCGCUGCAACAGCACAGUCCGUUUCCACGAUGAUACUCUCAGAACUCCGUUCGAUAGCCAGGGAAACCCCUUCCGUGAGCGCUGCAACUUCUGCUUCGAGACCACUUCUGUAUCUCUGAAUAAAACGACAUGAGGUAAAGAUAAUGGCACCUCUGUGGUCACGCAGAAUCAUUCCAGCUCCUCCAGUACCCUCCUCCUCCAUCCAUGAUCCAUCAAUAUUAAGUUUAACCCAGCCUAGAGGUGGCUUGCUCCAGCUCGCCAUGGACCUUGGCCUCUCUGUUGGUGUUUUAUUCAGUUUGCCCUUUCUAUCGCAGCCGCUGUGUGAGACCACCUCCUUCCCUUAGCAACAUCAGCAUUUGGGUUCUGCUGGAUGUUCAGAAGAGUUUCGAUGUAGCCACCUAAGAAUUUGGUAGAAGCUUCUACCGGCGGCGCCGGUUUGUGGUGGUAUAUCUCAUUCCUCACAUGCCAGUUCCGCCAUAAAGUCAUGAUCACAGAAAGGCGUUCUUCAGGGCUGCAACCAUCGAGCAGAUGAAUGAUCCAUUCGGGACCUGUGUUGGUGAUGGCUUCUAGCAUGGGUAUGCUCCAUGUUUGUGCCAUCGCCCUCCACAGACACCUCGCCCGUGGACAGCUGCACAGGGCGUGGAAAGAGUCCUAGCGUUCCAACCCACAUAAAGCACACGUGUCAGAGACCUCAAGUUUACGUUUACAUUUAUUGUCAAGUGUAGCCAAAGAAUUUGUCGCAACCCUCCAUGCAAAGACUCGUACCUUCGGGGGAGCAGGGGCACCCCCACACUGCCUUCCAGACGGCACGAGUGCCGUCCGGUGCCCUGCUAGUGGCGCACGUGGUGGUGCUGGUCCGCUCCUCUAGAGCGGUCUUGUAGGCGCUUCGUACGCUGAAUAUACCUCGCGAGUCUGGAGCCCAUGCUAGGACGUCGUCCAGCCGCCGUGGGCUGGCUUUGAUCGCCAAAAUACGUUCAACAUCUGGUGCAGAGAAAUGUUACUGAAGUAGUUCCACACGCCAUCGACCAUUGCCAUCAAGGAGUUCGGAUACCCGCCGUAUCCGGCAGGUACCUCGAGGAGUAAUCGGCCUGUAUGUCGUGGGGCGUGGGAUCCAUGGGUCUCUCCACACCCGGAUCCGCUCGCCAUUUCCCACUCGUCAAAUGAGCCCUUUGUUGAGCAGCUCGAGUCCAUGCUGAAUGGCGUGCCACGUCGGUGACGCGUUGCCUGAAAAAACUGUGUCCUUAAGAGAGCCAUUCGGGUAAUAUUUUGCUUUUAGCACUUGUGCACACAAGGACUCCGGCUUGAUCAGCAGGCGCCACGCUUGUCUUGCUAGUAGAGCUUGGUUAAAAAGACGAAAAUCUCGGAAACCAAUGCCCCCCUUCCCUUUUGGCUCAAGCAAUUUCUCCCAUGCAAGCCAAUGAGUCUUUCUUUGUCCCUGUUUUGAUCCCCACCAGAAAUUCCGUACUAGUCGGGUGAGAUCAUCACACACAGAACAAGGUAACUUAAAUACCCCCAUGAUAUAUGUAGGGAUGGCCUGCAAAACUGACUUGAUCAAUGUUUCUUUUCCUGCCUGCGAAAGAGAGUCUCCCCACACCAUGAUUCUUUUAGUCAAACUUGCCUGUAACAUCUGGAUUUUCCCUUGUGCAUACGACCAUCCGGAGUGGGUAGGCACCUGUUUGAUUUCAUCCUGUAUCGCCAUGGGGCAGCUAUCACCAAAGUGAAUGGAACAUUUAUGAGGGUUUAUGAGUUGACCAGUGGCUCUAGCAUACCGAUGGAGGACAUCUUUCACGAAGAUGGCCUGAUUAGCAUUAGCUUUGAAGAACAACAAAGUAUCAUCCGCAAAAAGUAGGUGUGAUAUUCCGGGUGCUCUGCUACAAGUCCUGACCGGAUGGAGCGCCUGUGACUGUACUCCUUGUCUCAACAGCCACUAGUAGAAAAAGGGUCAUCUGUCCCGGUUGGUAAGGGCCUUUUGUCCCGGUUUUUGAACCGGGACUAAAGGGUCGUUACUAAUGCCCUAGCCCUUUAGUCCCGGUUCUUACACGAACCGGGACAGAUGGGCCUCCACGUGGCCGGUGCGGCGAGCCCAGGCAGGAGGGCCUUUGGUCCCGGUUGGUGGUACUAACCGGGACCAAUAGGCAUCAACGCGUCAGCAUUUCAGGGGCUGGGGUUUUUNNNNNNNNNNNNNNNNNNNNNNNNNNNNNNNNNNNNNNNNNNNNNNNNNNNNNNNNNNNNNNNNNNNNNNNNNNNNNNNNNNNNNNNNNNNNNNNNNNNNNNNNNNNNNNNNNNNNNNNNNNNNNNNNNNNNNNNNNNNNNNNNNNNNNNNNNNNNNNNNNNNNNNNNNNNNNNNNNNNNNNNNNNNNNNNNNNNNNNNNNNNNNNNNNNNNNNNNNNNNNNNNNNNNNNNNNNNNNNNNNNNNNNNNNNNNNNNNNNNNNNNNNNNNNNNNNNNNNNNNNNNNNNNNNNNNNNUUUGGGGGGUUAAUUUAGGUGUUUCAUAUAUUGUGUUAGCUAGCUAAUUAAUAGAGGGAAGUGUCCUCUCUUAUCUCCGUGCUUGGUCGAUGCUACGUACUAUAUACGUAUAGAGAGGACUAGACACGCUAGCUAGUAAGCAAAUGAAGGAAACAGAAGAUCGUCAUGAACAUAUGCAUACAGAGAGAAGUGAUAUCGACCACCUCUCCUUCUCCGAGAGAUUGGUCGAACAACAAGUUCUCGUAUAUCUAUCCGACACUACCAGCUACAUAUAUACAAUAAUUAUCUCUUACAAUAUAAUCUCCUAAUUAAAUUCUAAGCACACAGGGUCCACAUAGUAUGCUCCGUUUUCAGCGAUCACUGGUCAAGGAAGAAUGCCGCCAAUUCCUCUUGAAUUGCUUGCAUACGAUCUUCUGGUAGGAGUUCAUCCCGCAUCCGAAAGAUCUAAUUUGAAGAAGGGGUCAAUACAUAUAUAUAUAUAUAUAUGAAUAAAUGAAACUCAACACAAAUGAUGGUAAUAAAAUAAAAUUGUGAAUAUUAUUGCUUACGCACUUCAUAUUGUUCGUCAGAGUAGCCCCGCUCACAGGUCGUGUAGCGGAUGGACUCGCAAACGUAGUAUCCACAGUAAUUAUUCCCGGGUUCCUGCCACAACCACUUUACAAGAAAUAGAGGUCAAUCAAACUGAUAAGCAAGCAUGCUAAAUGGUAUUGAUGAAACUAGCGCUUGAAUCACUAGGAGAUGCGCGGAACAUGCUAUUAUAGUACUUACUUUCGGGUGAAAUUGCAGCUUCUUCGGCAGUCCCGGAGCUUUUUUGGUGAAUUUUCUCCAAACCCUGCCAGACAAAGAAAACAAUUACUUGAUAUCAGGAAAUGAACAAAGUUGCUGAUAUGGUGGAUAAUGAUCGAUUUAACUUACUUCUCGAGCAUUUGAGUCAUGUCCGCAUAGUCCUGGGGAUCUUUUCGUCUCGAGUCUAAGACGGUUACUAGUCCCUGCUCAAGCUUAAUCUCUAGGAGAAUAUAGUGGAAGCUGCACAUGCAUGCAUAAGCCAUCAAUUACAUUACUAUCACCUGGACUAAUAAGGGAAACCGAAUAUGCACAAGACAGUAACACUCACUUGAAGUUGUAAGGAAAGAGUAUUAUAUCUUUGUUUUUAUUUAUUACCAACGAUCGUAGCAAGUUGGCCUUGGUAUUUUCGGCAUGAUAUUUAACCUCAGUUGCAUCUAUGAGAUUUGUGUUAAUGAAUCCAAUAUUACCGAUUUGUCUUUUCUUCAAUUCGGCGAUCUUCAAUCUGCAUAAUAUAGUGAGGAUAAUUAUAAAUACAUGCAAUGAAAGAGCUGACCUAUAUAGAGAGACUUAAUGACAAAAGUAGUACUACUUACAGACAGUAGCAAGUGAUCGUUGAUUUAUCGAGGGCCUUUUGAUUGAAAAACUAGAAGAACUCCUCAAAUGGAACAUUCAACAAUUCAGUUCCAACGAGGUCAUGCUCCUCUUUAACUCUCAGCGUCAAAGUAUUCCCCCCCAGACUCUCUGCAGGUUUUCAUGUACCAAUCAUGUAAUCUUCGCAUCAUCGUUGUUAGAGAUCUUUCAUCUUUGACGAGAGGCUUCCCGUAAUGGUAUUUGUGUUCGUCCACCUCCAAGAAAUCAUAAUGUACAUCGUCGGGCAGGUAAUCUCCAAGAUUGCUAUAACCGGGCACCAUCCUCGGAGCAUUAGCGACGAUGUCGCUAGACACGUUGAGCGGGGGACACGAUUGGUUCGCUUGUUCGCCGAGGUGGGCAAUUUUUUUCCCAACUCGUCGUUCUUUUAACCUUUGAUCACUGACAGUACUUCCCGACCGCUCCGCUCCGCUUCUUAUUUAUUUCUCCUCUUCUUCCUCUCCUCUUCUUCUCCUUUCUUCCUCUUCUUAUUUUCCUUUUUCCUCUCAUUCUUUUUCUUCUUAUUUUCCUUUUUCCUCUCAUUCUUUUUCUUCUUCUUCCUUUCCUAGCUAGAUAUAUAAAACUUUUCUAAAAAUGUAACUUUUGCAUAUAUACAUGGAAAAAAAUGUUAUCGGGGAGGGGGUAUAUCGACCCCCCCCUCUCGACCCUCUUUUCCUUCUUCUUCCUUCUUCCUUCUUCCUCUUUUCUUCUCCAACACAAAACACAUCUCAUCUCAUCUCAUUUCAUCCAAAAAUAAUUCUUUGCAUAUGAACAUACAUACAUUUACUUUUUUUCUUAAAUGUUGCAUAUGAACAUUUUCUUAAAUGAGCAUAUACAGCAUAUACAGAGCAUUAUACAGUGAACAUACAUACAUCGUAACAAAAAAAGUAAUGAAAAAUAGGCCGGUGGUCGGCGACGGCGACGAUGGUUGGCGGUGGCGCGCGCUUAAGGAUGGCGUGCGGGGACGGCAAUGAGAAGGAAAGGGGAGGAGGCAGGGGCUCACAGCGCGGGGAGGGGUCGAGGUCGCCGGCCGGAAUCGGUGCGGCGGCGGACGAACGGCCUCGGGGAUGAACGGGUCGCGGGAGCCGGCGUGGUGCUUUCCCGCAGCGACGGCGACGACGGGCGCGGGCGACGGCGACGACGGGCGCGGGCGACGACGAUGGCGUCNNNNNNNNNNNNNNNNNNNNNNNNNNNNNNNNNNNNNNNNNNNNNNNNNNNNNNNNNNNNNNNNNNNNNNNNNNNNNNNNNNNNNNNNNNNNNNNNNNNNNNNNNNNNNNNNNNNNNNNNNNNNNNNNNNNNNNNNNNNNNNNNNNNNNNNNNNNNNNNNNNNNNNNNNNNNNNNNNNNNNNNNNNNNNNNNNNNNNNNNNNNNNNNNNNNNNNNNNNNNNNNNNNNNNNNNNNNNNNNNNNNNNNNNNNNNNNNNNNNNNNNNNNNNNNNNNNNNNNNNNNNNNNNNNNNNNNNNNNNNNNNNNNNNNNNNNNNNNNNNNNNNNNNNNNNNNNNNNNNNNNNNNNNNNNNNGCGGACGACGUCGAUUUGGGUAGCCUGGCGGCGUCGAUGAGCUCGACGUCGUCGGGGCAACUGGCGAUGAGUUCGUCAAAUUUUCCUAAGUGCUACUUAUAUACCCAGGCCUUUGGUCCCGGUUCAUAGCACCAACCGGGACCAAAGACACCCUUUAGUCCCGGUUGGUGCCACCAACCGGGACCAAAGGCCUCUUUUCAGCAGCCCAAAGGGCGGGAAGCGGCGGCCUUUGGUCCCGGUUGGGGGGCAUUGGUCCCGGUUGGUGCCACCAACCGGGACCAAAGGCCCCCUUUAGUCCCGGUUGGUGCCACCAACGGGGACGGAAAGCCUUGCACAGCGGCGUGGUGGUGGGAGUUUAGUCCCACCUCGCUAGCUGAGAGAGAGCCGCACCUGUUUAUAAGGUGCGGUGCGCCUGAGCUGUCGAGCUCCUCUCUAAAGCAGGCUUACGGGCCUAACCUCUCUGUACAUGCCUGUGGGCCUACUGGGCCUUCUGCGGGCCUGAAUCCUGGCCCAUGGAUGGGUUUCUAGUCGUAUCCAGGCCGUGGUGGCCCAGUAGGUGGCAUAAUUUUUAUUUUUUGCCUGUUUUUUUGUUUUCUUUUUUUGCUUUAUUUAUUUUGUUUUGUUUCUACUUACAACAAAAAACUUAUUUAUCUUAUUUUAUUUUGUUUCUAAUUACUUAUUUAUUUUACUUUAUGAUAAUUCUUUUUGCCAUUAAAGUUUCUAACAAAAAAAGUUCUUUAUGAAAAUUCUUUUUGCUUUCAAUGAUUUUGAACAGAAAAUACUUCGAUAAUUUUAGUUGCAUCAAUUUUAUAUAAUUUUAGUUUCAAUAAUACUAGAGGUUGCUUAUAAUGUUUUGAACAGAAAAUACUUUGAUGAUUUUAGUUUCAUAAAUUUUANNNNNNNNNNNNNNNNNNNNNNNNNNNNNNNNNNNNNNNNNNNNNNNNNNNNNNNNNNNNNNNNNNNNNNNNNNNNNNNNNNNNNNNNNNNNNNNNNNNNNNUUGCUUAUAAUGUUUUGAAUAGAAAAUACUUUGAUAAUUUUAGUUUCAUAAAUUUUAUUUAUGUUAUUAAAGUUUAUUUUAUUUUGUUUCUACUUAUAUAUUUUAUUAAAGUUUAUAUUAUUUUGUUUCUAAUUACUUAUUUAUUUUAUUUGUUAUUUUUCAUGCACCAUUUUUCAUGCAUUUACUGAUUAUUUUGAGCUAUAAGACCCUAAAAUUGAAAAGCAUUUCAAAUGAACUUUGAAAAGGUUGAAAGUUGGCAUGGUAUCAUCAUUCCAUCCACAUAGCAUGUGCAAGAAAGUUGAGAGGGUUACGGCAAAAACUGGAUGCACUUCGUGUACAAAAUGGACAAUCUCUUUUGAAGUAUCAGGAUUUCAUACGGAAACUCGUCUGUUACAAAGGGAUUUCAUUUUUUAAAACUUAUUUGAACUCUUGACUUUGUGUGUGUCCAAAAUGCACCAUUAAAAGCCACAUCAUCAAUUUUCAACCCUUUCUGACUUCAUUUGUUAUUUUCAUGCAUUUAUUGAUUAUUUUGAGCUAUAAGACCCUGAAAUUGAAAAGCAUUUCAAAUGAACUCUGAAAAGGUUGAAAGUUGGCAUGGUAUCAUCAUUUCAUCCACAUAGCAUGUGCAAGAAAGUUGAGAAGGUUACGGCAAAAACUGGAUGCACUUCGUGUACAAAACGGACAAUGGUAUCAUACUCGUGUGUUACAAAGUUGGCAUGGUAUCAUCAUAAUAGUUGCGGGAGAAAGUCUUCACUUUUUCUUCGCUUGUGUCAUUUGCUUAUUGCGCCGUAACCAUGGAUAAUCUUCAUCGUUUAUCAGGAUGCUUGGGUCAGCCUUGACUUUGAAGGGAGGAAUUUCAUGAAACUUUUCAUAAUCUUCAGACAUGUCUGUCUUGCCCUCCACUCCCACAAUGUCCCUUUUUCCUGAAAGAACUAUGUGGCGCUUUGGCUCAUCGUAUGAUGUAUUCGCUUCCUUAUCUUUUCUUUUUCUCGGUCUGGUAGACAUGUCCUUCACAUAGAUAACCUGUGCCACAUCAUUGGCUAGGACGAACGGUUCGUCAGUGUACCCAAGAUUGUUCAGAUCCACUGUUGUCAUUCCGUACUGUGGGUCUACCUGUACCCCGCCUCCUGACAGAUUGACCCAUUUGCACUUAAACAAAGGGACCUUAAAAUCAUGUCCGUAGUCAAGUUCCCAUAUGUCCAUUAUGUUAUCAUAAUAUGUGUCCUUUCCGUUCUCGGUUGCUGCAUCAAAGCGGACACCGCUGUUUUGGUUGGUGCUCUUUUGAUCUUGGUCGAUCGUGUAAAAUGUAUUUCCAUUUAUCUCGUAUCCUUUGUAAGUCAAUACAGUCGAAGAUGGUCCCCUGGACAACGAGUACAACUCAUCACAAACAGUGGUGUCACCUCUGAGACGUGUUUCCAACCAACUGCUGAAAGUCCUGAUGUGUUCACAUGUAAUCCAGUCGUCACACUGCUCCGGGUGUUUGGAGCGCAGACUGUUCUUGUGUUCAUCGACAUACGGGCUCACUAAGGUAGAGUUCUGUAGAACUGUGUAGUGUGCUUGAGACUAAGAAUGCCCGUCCUUGCAUAUUAUUGAGUCCGCUCCUAGCACUACAAAAAAAAAAUACACUUCCGUGAUGAUACGUGUUUGUCACAGUAGGUCGCGUUUUUUGUCAUGCAUGUACAUCCAUGACAAAUUUAUGACAGAAUCAAG
RNAcentral lists this long non-coding RNA (94264 nucleotides) under Triticum aestivum (bread wheat). RNAcentral describes it as "long non-coding RNA (TAES_LNC009329)". Lineage: Eukaryota; Viridiplantae; Streptophyta; Magnoliopsida; Poales; Poaceae. The record is from RNAcentral.